AUUUUCUCUUGUCUUCUUCCUUGAUUGCUUUGUUCCUCAAGUAAAACUUCUCAUGUGCAGAUACCUUCUCUUUCUCCUUCUUCUUCACCGUCGUCGUCUCCUUGUUCUUCGAAGAUUCGUUAAUGGAGCUCGGAUUCAGGAAUUUGAGCGACUGUUUCCCGUCGCUGUUACUUCUCUUUAGCAGAUCUCUGAUUCGCCACCGUCUCUUCGACCACGACGACGUGGAAGACGAUCCAGUCGAUUUGCUCUUUCUGCAACCUCCGCUCGGUGACAUCUCCGCCGCGGAUCUCUCCGGCGUCCAUGGACAGUAGAUCUCGCUCGGGAUCGCGUCGAGCUCAUCUUCAUCUUCAUCUUCCUCCUCAUCGUCCGACGACGACGAAUACGCCUGUUGCGGCUGCUGCUCCUGAUCGUUACGUUCCCGGAGGAACAGAUCUUUUAACGGAGUCACAACCGCUUCCGGCGAAACGGAGUCAGGUUCCACGGCGGAGACGAGAUUUUGGUCGAAAACCGGGAAUACUAAUCCACCGUCGCCGGAAGAAGACGACGCGUCACGAUCCGAUUGGAGAAUCGCGAACUCGAAUUCUUCGUCUCCUUUGUCCUUGUAAUAGUCGUGGCUAACUCGUUCGGCGAUCUCGGCGAGUCGAUCGCCGGAGUAAGUACUGAAGCUAGGUGAGAAAGACGCCGUGGAGGCGAUAUAGUCACCGUCUUUCUCCAUUAUCUGAGAAGCUUUCUCUCUUACUUGUCUUCUAGCUCCGGGAUUUACAGUUGACAAACGAAAAGAGCGUGAGAGAGAGAGAGGUUUUCUUUAAUGGCGUUUUUUUUGUCUUCUUCUGUAAUUGGCCGUAUAUAUAGGAGAAGCGGUUGGGCACAUGGAAAUGGCAAACUCAGUAAUUACUCACUAAAAGCUUAAUGUGUGUCAUAGCAUCAAACUAUAAAAUAAUAUCAAGCAUCAUAACGUGGACUUUCUAGAAGCGUAUCCUGCUAUUUGAUCCAGAAGUUUUGGUGUGUAUUUUUUUAAUACAUUCUAAUCAAUGUAUAUAUUUCACCUAAUAAAUUAUUAUGGUUCAGAAAAAAGUUAGUGACAACAAGACAGUUCCUCUCAAAAUAUCGACCGAAAGUUUAUAUUGGAACAAAUAUUUUAGUGCUAUGCUCGGAAUUCUAUUAAUUAAUACUUUUGAGUUGAUUAUGAUAAGAAUACAGUAUUUAGUAUUUUGAAUUCAAAUGGUAAUAUUAAGCAUUGAAAAUUUGGCGGGCUCCGUUGAUUAUCAUUCGGAGUCGGACGAAAUUUGUAGUUUUUGAAUUGGCUAUAUUUUGAAUUUUAUAUGAUCAAUACAACGUUUAUAACUUAUUUGAUUGAGAAAGUAAAUUGGCAGAAUGUUUUUGCUCCCAAAAACUAGUUUGAUCAGAACAUUUUCAACCAUUUAUUAUUGUACAUUUUCUUAAAUAGAUGGAUAUUACAUAUAUAUUCUCAUGAUAAACAUGGCGACUAUAUAAGCAUUGAUCAUCGCUUACGCUCUGCUGUUUGAGUAAUAUUUUUAAUUUUAUGUCUAUUAACUAUUGAUUUACUUCUUCUAUUUUCUACAACAAUUAUUGAAUUUCUUAUGUCAUGUGUGACUGUGUUUGAAUUGAAAAGUUGAAUUGUAGCCCAAGCAGCCCAUAAUAAGGGAAUGCAUACGUAAUUGGUGACAAAGCAAGAAGAAUCAUGAAUCAUUGCUGCUGCGUUGCAUCAAAUCUUAUAUAUAAUAAUAUUGUAAUCUUAGCUUCUCGAAAACGAAGGUUCGAAAUUGUUUCUUUUUUGUUUCAACUUACUCACGCAAAAUAUAUAUAAUUGAAAGCAAUAAAUUCUAUCCUGCUAUAAGAAAUACGAUUCACAUCACAUGGGCACGUAUAUGUACAAUAUGUAUACGUAUAAUACUUCUAGAUGUCGUUAUCACUUUUCUUGACGAAGUCUUUCUUACGAGCAAAGCUAUAACUUGGACUUGAAUCGCUAUCAGAAUCAAAUCAAAGAUCUCUCACAUUUAUUUUCUCCCACCACUAGACCAAAAAUCGUCACACAAUAUGCGGAAUUAAAUGUCAUAGAGCUUAUAAUACUUAUAAUUAAUUAUUGUUUUGCUUAAUUGUCAAUAUCAAAUGCUAUUUUUUGCCAUAUCAUUAAGAAGAUGUUGUUGACAGAGGAAAUAGUAUUAAUCUCUAUAAACUAAACAAUUUCUCAAGACAGUCCACCAAGAAACUAAGUAGUCACACUACAAUCUACAUUUUCACUCUCACAUCUCCUGCGUAUAUUUACAAAAAUCAGAAGAAGAAGAAGAAGACAAACAAAACAAAGCUAUAAGUUGCGUAAAAUACGAAUCAAUUCCAAGAAUCUCUUCUCGAUAAAUUUGCUUUAAGAUGAUGCAGAGUAAACUCAACUUGCACCGGAAGCUCACCAGAAACGGCACUCGUCGUCCUCGUCGCAGUCUCUGGCCGUUCCGUUCUCCUCUGUUCAACAAUAAUAUCAUGGUACAUGGGUCUGAACUUGAUCUGAAACGCCCUGUAAGAGAAAUAAGGCAAGAGAGCAGAGACCAUGACGAGGACAAGAGUGAGCCAACAGAACGGACUCGGUCCCGAGGUCUCGACCAAGACCUGAAACGCUGUCGUGGAGAACGUUGGAGGAAGAGAACCGUAAACGACAAGAAACAGAUACCAAAACCCUAUGCUUCCCCAAAUGAAGCAAUGUUGGAUCCAAGUGAAGUAGUUUAUCGAAAUCGCCAUUUGGCAAUUCACUGUCCAUACCACGGAAGAGUACAUUGUCACGCCAAGAACAGAGUAAUCGACUACUUGGCCAUCUUUCUGAAAAGCUUGAGCCGCCAUUGUCUUGAUCGUGAGGAAGAAAAUGAUCAUCGAGCUUAUGAUUCCGUUCAACAUCCAACCGAGGAUCCGUUCCCAGCUGAAUAAUAUGUUCUGUACUCCUUCUUGGUACAGUAUCGGAUACUGCGAGAAAACAAGAAAAUCAAGAACCGGAAAGUGAUUCUUGUUCUUGAUCGAGAGAGAGAAAGAAUGUUUUUACCUUGAGACAAAGGCGAGCAGAGACGUCUUGAUCAAAGACUCCAAGAGCAAUGACGGGAAGUGAAGUGAAGAAGACGUUGUAGCACGACAUGUACCAAUCGUUAUAAGCCGGUUUUCCGGAGAAAGAUGCAUAAGCUUCGUACCAAAACAGUGUGAAUCCGAAUGUGAGAUUCUUGUAGAAGAAGUAGCAUAUCUGAAUUUCACAAAAAAAUACAAAAUCACUAAUAAAGAACAACAAACUUCAACCUAAUAAGUUCAGUUCUUAAAGCUUGUUACCAUAAUUGCUAUUCUUCUAUAACACCAAUGGCCGUGAACAAGCAACAAACGUUCCAGAAACCGAAACUGAGCAAUCGCAAAAUCACUAGCCAUCACUGCCUGUCAACAGAAAACUUCAGAGUUCUAAUUCUGAUGAUCAUUUCUUAUAGUAAAUUGAAGAAGAGAUAAGAAAAUCUGUAACCUGCAUUCCUUCGGCACCACUUAUACCGACUCCAAUAUCAGCUUCCUGAAGCAUUCCAACAUCAUUUGCGCCAUCUCCAAUGGCCAGUGUUGUUCUACCUGUCCCGCUUUUUACCAAUCUUGUAACCUAACAAAUAUAUAUAUUCUAGGUCUCUCAAAUCAGAUUACUAAGACAAGUGAAAACAGAAUGUAAAGUGGUGACAUGAAUCUUACGAGAGCCUUUUGUUUUGGGGAAGACCGGCAACAUAUAACAGAAUUACAUCGAAUCGCAAGUUCCAAGAACUCUUUCUCCAGCUUCUUGUCUAAUGCAAAAGUUAAAGACUUUCCAUCAAUCACUAAACCAAACGUUUCCGGAUUUUCAUUAGCUGAAUUGCCCGUUGCUGCAAAAGUUUGUGACAUUCCUUCUCGUAACUGUUUUUUAAUACUCUGAAAAGAAGCCUAUUUAACAAACGAACAAAACAAAUUCUCAUCAUUUUCCAAAAAAUUAGAGUGUUAAAAAUCACGGAAACAAAAAAACAAGAAAAAAACAAACUACCUUAGCAACAGCAUCUUUGUCUCCUUGUUUUUCUAAUGCUUCAACGUCAGGUGAAUCUAGAGUUAUCAAAAUCUUUUUCAUGCCUUCUCUUAAGAGACUACAAGCAUAUCUGUCAACAACAUCACAGCUUUUAACAUUUUUACUUUUUACAGAAAACAAAUGAUAAUCAAGAAAAGAUAUAAGAUGUCUAUGAAUACCCGAUAUUUAUUGCAGUUUCUGUCUUGUCGCCAGUUAAAACCCAUAUCUUGACCCCAGCUUGAGAUAACUUGUCAAUACAAUCAGGAACCUUUAUAACAAGAGAAAAAAAAAGAAAAAAAGAAAAGUAAGUCUAAAAAGAAUCAUAUCUUUCUCCAUCUUUAUCAGAACUUUUUGGUUCUACUUACACCCUUCUGUAGUUUAUCUUCCACUGCAGUAGAGCCAAGAAGAAUCAAAUCCUUCUCAAUAUUAUCAGCAGCUGCAUCAAUCAAAGCAUCUCUAUCUUCACUGACCAAAGUUUUGGCUUUCAGAAACUCCUCUUCCCAUAUUCUGUACUCGUCUUCAUCAACUUCUCUGUAUGUAAUCACCAAAGUUCUUAAACCUGCCUCUGCAUACCUCUUGAUGUGUUCUUUUGUCUCUCUCUCAUUUUGGCGUCCGUGUUUAGCAAGUCUUUCAAACAUUACACUGAAACACAUGACAGAAUAAGAUAUUUCCACUGAUAAAUAUAGGAUUACUUUAAGAUUUGCCUCCACAUAGAAAAAAAAGUAAUAACCUGUCUGCGCCUUUUGAAAGCAACAAUAACUGGUUUUCCGGAUUUCGCACAAUCACCGACAUUCUUUUGCGUGAACUGCUGAACUCUAGGACAUGAAGAAGCUCAUAUACUCUGAACAUUAAAAAAAAAAAAAAAGAAUCUGAUAACUUCAGAAAUGUUGUGUUCUCAUGUUAGCCAAUAAGAAAGAAUCCACACGCUUUGUUUACCUGUCAACUUUCUCACCGGUCAUGUGGUCAAUUUCAUGCAAGGAGAUAUUAGUCUGAGACCUUUCAAAGAAUUCAAAUCCAAGCUCUCGAGAAGCUAUGACAAAAGCAGCUUCAUCAGGAGACUCAGCUUCAUAUGUGAUCUCUCUAGUAUCACUGUUUACAUCAGGAACAGCAGUGUGGCAAAUAGCCAACACCCUAAAAAACUUCUGUAUCAGUUCUGCAUUUGGUUGAUUAAUCCAUUCCCCAUCAACUAUUCUCUCAUCCCAGAAGUUAAAGCCUUUAACCGACUUAGUCGAGCUCGCUUUUAUCUCCUUGAUAGAUAAAGAAUCAUCAUUAUCAGCUUCUUCUUGAGGUCUCAUCAUACCCUUUUGCUUUCUCAAGGCCAUUUCAACUUCCGUCAUACCACGACCAUAAGCAGUUCCAGCAAUCGAACAUUUCACAAACUCCAUUGAGUUGCAAGUCAGAGUACCUGUUUUAUCCGACAGAAUCGUGUCGACUUGACCAAGCUCUUCAUUGAGAUUAGACGUCCUUGCACGAGCAGGCCUGUCUGUUUCCUCGUGGUACAUCUCUUGGUCUUGGUUGAUGAAUAUACUCUGCAAGACCUUCACAACCUCAAUCGACACGUAUAACGAGAUCGGUAUUAAGUAACCGUAUAGCAUCAGAGCGGUCAAGAAAUGAAAGAAAGCAGCAAGAACCGCUCUCUGUGGCUCAUAAAAGACAGUAGUCUCAUCUGGUCUAAGAUACCAUCGAGUUAGCUUCCCAUCAUCACUGAGAUCUCUUCUUGUUAUAAUCCCAAAGAACACAGAACCAGUAAACGAUAUCACAAUCAAGAUACUGAAGAGGAUGUAAAUGAUCUUGUCCAUUUUUUUCUCAAUCUUGCUCCUCUUUGAAGGAGGAUCAGUAGCAUUCUGCAUCACCUUGGUGUCAUGACCAGUGAAAACAACCACGCCAUGGAUGUAAUCAGUGUUUUUCAGCUUCGAGUCUCUCAAGAGCAUCUGCUGAGGAGAGAGAGGAUAUUGUUUCCCUUGGAAUUGAAGUGUUCCUACAAAGGAAUAGAGAUGCUCAUUAGGAUCCUCACAUUUGAUCACACCCCUGAAGUUCUUGAUUGACUCUUCAUCGGAUGUUAUCUCCAAGGCGUGCUUUAGCUUCAGAUUAGUCUCCCCGUCUAGGUUCAUGGUUUCAACAUAACAGAUUCCAUCUUCAUAGCUAGACGAAAGAAGAAGAAGAUCAGCUGGAAAGUAAUCAUCUUUAUGAACCUUCACAAUAUCACCAACUCUGAGAUUUUUCCACUUCGUUUCUCCAAAUGUGCCGUUUUUACCAAAAACUUGGACUUUCCUAUUGUUAGCUUCAAUGUCCUAUUACGCAAAGAACCAUCAUAAGAAAAUCAAGAUCCUAGUCUAAACCAUCUUAUGCCAAAAUGAAAGAAUAAAAAGCCAUACUUGUUUCCUUCUCCUCCAAUCUUCAACUCCUUCUUUGACCAUUGUGGCACCGAUCACAAACAAGAGCGGUGCAAGAACACUCGGGGCGGUGUAAGGAGCCAAAGGGCUAAAGGAAACGAAAGCGACAACGAGGAAAUAUAUAUUUGCAACUCUUCUAAACUGCUCAAACAAGGACUUUGGGAUGAAAUUAGCAGCUGUGUACUUGGUGGUUGACACAUAAUUCCCUUUGUAAUUAAGCUCAAGAGCCUCGGGAGUAUCGGGAUCAUUACAGAACACAACUCUUGAGUAACCUCUUGACCCAAUAUGAGAAUGAUCUUCUCCAGAGGAAGGCUUAAAACACUUGAACGAAUACAAUUUACUCAAACGCACCCCUUUUCUCCUCUCUCCAGCCAUCUUCUUAAAAAUAAAAAUUCUUCCUUUAUAAAGACAGAGCUUUUCAAGAAAUCAAGGAUGAUUUCUCUCUGUUUUCUCAAAUCCACAAGAAGAAUUAGAGGAGAUUUCGUUCUCAACACGAAAAAAAGCAACCAUUUUUUUUUCUCGGAGAAAGUCCACAGCUACUUAAACACAGAUUUCAAACUAAAAUCAUGAAUCACCAACCAGAUCACGAAUCCAAAACCACCAAAUGUAGUAGCUGAGGAGAAUCAGGUGGAAUCUAAUUAAGAGAACAAAAAUUCCAAAAUCACGGAUAAGGAAAUCGAGAAGCUGCACUAAACAGUAACUAUCAGUUCAAUUAAAAAAAGGAAAAAAAAAAAAACAUUUGUCUGAAAGAUUCCUUACUUGGUCCCAAGUGUUCCCAAAGAUCUAAUUCCUUACAGAUAGAGAGAGAGAGACGAAAGAGAGAAAGAAACUCUAAAAUAGUAAAAGAAAGCAAAGAUCCUAAAGACUAAAGAGAAAGAGUGUGUGCUUAGCUCCGAUCGCUACUCAACUUUGCCUCUUUCGUAAGUAAACGACAGCAGAGAGAACGACGAGUCAAGACCAUUUCCCAAAUUUUCUUUUUUGUUUUAUUUCAUUUUUCUUCUAACAUUUUCCAAUCUUUAUCUUUAUUUUUAUUUUCAUUUUUCUGUUUUAAUUUUUUCCUCUGUUUGUGUUUUUGUUCUUUCCCCGUACGAUUCCGUGAAGACUUGCUGACAUUUGUCGGUCUUCGAUGAGUCCAACGUCACAGUAUGACACGUGGUGAUAUCUUACGGUAUUUACUGAUUAAUUAUUUGAAAACUUAGUAUCGCACCGUUUUCUAGCUAUUUCCACUUUAAGGAAGAUAAUUUAUACGACCAGUAGUUGUCAAAAAUUCGGUUUGGUUCAUCUUUUACGGUGAAAUAAUAAUUAUUAUAAAAAAGGAACCAAAAAUUAAAAAAUAGUACAGUAUAAGAUCAAAUGCAAUAGGUCACGUAAGAUGCAAUUGUAGUAAUAAAGUGAAUAUUUUUCUGUGAUGGAAUUUAUGUUUAUUUUAAACGUAACAAAGCUUCAACACCUACCAGUACCAUCCUCGUCUACUCUUCGUUAAUAAUACAUUAAUUUGCUGACAACAUUUAUAAUUUUACAUAAUUUUAAACAAACAACCAAAAAAAUAUAUUGUUGAAAAAAAAAAAGAAAUACUAUUAUUUGAUGGGCUUUGGAGUCUGUCAGAAGGUUUUUCAAGCCCAUUGGACCCACUUGCUCUUUCUCACGUGGCAUCUCGUAGUUCGCAAAUCUUCUCCUGGAUGAUAAACCCCGUGACGGUUUUUCCAAAAAAAUCCAAUAUAAAUUUGACACGUGAAAUUUCUUAAUAUGACUGUCACGGACUCGCAGGCAAUUGUCAACUAAUUUAUUUAUCGGCACCUACCUCCGCAGGUAGUGGUCAUUCAAAAGGCGAGGCGCUACUUUAUACUCGGUUCGGCUUGGCUCAUCUUGGCGGCUUAAUUUGAUCUAAGUGAAGAAGACUUAAUUUGAUUUUUUUUUUGUAUUGAAAUGUUUUUGACCAGCUUAUCAACUUAGAGCAUCUCAAAAGAAAGGUUUAUACAAGAGUUCUUAGAGUAAUUGAGAUCAAAAAUAAAUAAAAAAGAGUGAAUAAGUUUAGGACCGAUCUUUAAAUAAAGAUUAAAAAAACCAGUUCUUAGCAUCACGUAGAAAAGUAUUUACAGAAUGAAUUAUUUAUUUUUUAAAAUCUUUAAUAAGGUUCAACCAUUGAAAGAGAAAAAAUUAAGGAUUUCUAAAAAAUUUUUAAACUUUCAAUUAAUCAAAAUUUAUAAAUAAAAAAUUAGUAAGAAUUCAUGAAGAAUGUUUACCAUUGGAGAUGAUCUUAAACAAUGUACAAAGUUUUUGACCAAUCGCAUUAUACAUCGUUUUUUUUUCAAUAAACGAUAUAUCUCGUUUUCUCAGUGACAAAAUUACGAUGAUUUAACUGACAACUCUGAAGCAAUCAUUAAUUUUCACAUAAAGUUUGUUAUAGGAAUUGGUUUUGAUGAUAUAAUCCAAUGUUUUACCAAAGAAAUUUUUGAUUUCUAUAAAAGUUUAGAGAUGUAGAAAAAAAAAACAAAUAUACGUUAUAAAUUUAUGAAUAAAUAUUUCUAUAUAGCAUACGGAUCAUAUCAAAUAUCUAAAAAGUAUAAAAUUUAUAUUAGUGAUUUGGUAAAAGAUUGAAACCAAUUGAAAUAACAAAUGGGAACAGAUAUACAUUAACAAAAUCAUUUAGGCAGGCGUCCCCAGGCCUACUGGUUAUAUGCUCCACAUGAGCAAAAUAGAGUUUUUUUUUUAAUCUUUUCUAACAUUGUUAUUAUAUUUGACCGUAACGCCCGCAGAUGAAAGCCAAGCCGAACAUCCACAUGUAAUGGAACUACGUAAACCCUUUUGAUCUCCUUUAAAUUCGAAUCCUUCCCGUCAACUUCGUCACCAAAAGAACCAAACAGAUUAAGAAAAGGAAAAAUAUUAUUAACCUAACAACCCUUAUGAGAAUCGUCCCAAAGACGACAGAGAACUACGAAGCGGAGCUUGUGGAGCUAAGCUCAGCCAUUGCCGUCUCCACCGUGACUAAGAGAAGAAAAGAAGAUGAAGAGUGGUUCAAACGAUCAGAAAAUACCAUCAAUGGUUACGAUAUUGACGAAGGCAAUGCUAAGGUUGUCUGUAUAACGGACGGUCUCACAUUGCUCGGCCGAGCCAUUACACAACGUCUCUUGCUUCAUGGCUACACCGUCCGCAUCAUCGUCAAUGGCCCAGGUAAUAUAUAUUUAUAUAUAUAUAUAUAAAGAUAUACAUAUAGCAAUAUAGGAUAUAGGUUACUAAACCAAUUAUGUGUUCGUAAUAUACAAACUAUGGUUUAUACUUAUCAUCUAUGUUUUGUUUGUAUAUAUAAUAUGAUUUUUGAAUGACUUUUUUUUUGUCGGCUUGAACCAUAUUUGUAGAUGACCUUGAGAGACUGAGGGUGGUGAGGGAUGAAACGGCUACGUUUCAGGGGAGAAUCGAAGCAGUGACGGCGAAGUUAACGGAAACAGAGAGUCUAGUCUAUGCGUUUGACGGGUGUGACGGCGUUUUCCACACUUCCGGCUUCAUAGAUCCUUCCGGCGUCUCUGGCUACUCUGUGAGCUAUCUUUCUUUGCCUUCCACACAUAUAUUAUUAUCUAUUUUUAGAGUUUUUCUCCAAAGAACAUAAUAAUACCAUAUGAAUUAUUAAUCGUAUUCAUUCUAGUUUGGUAAACCAACAAAAUGAAUCUUGUUCAAAAUCCAUCUGUGAUUAAUACGUUGGAUAAUCCUUGUAUCGAUGCUUCAAGCUAAUAUGGGGAUUAUAAUUGAGGAGUUGCAUUUAUUUGUAUAUUCUGUAAUACAACUAUCGUAGAACGUUGUUGCAUUAAAUGAAAGCCGUCGACAAAUUGUAUUGGUAGUUUAUAAAAUGAAUGUUAUUCAGAAAUAUAUGGCUGAGAUAGAAGCCAAGGUUAGUGAGAAGGUGAUGAACGCGUGUUCGAUAACGCAAUCGGUGAGGAGAUGCCUCAUGACUUCUUCUUUAUUAGCUUGCCUGUGGCAAAACGGCACGCAGUUCGUCUCCCCUUCUGUGAUUGAUCACUCUAGCUGGAGCGACGAGUCUCUCUGCCACGACAAAAAGGUAAUUUCGAUUUAGUCUCUCUCUCAGUAUGUAAUAUAUCUGGUUAAUGAAUGUUUUGGAAUGGUGAUAAUAAUUGAAUAUUUGUUUUGUACUGAUUUAUGUAAAUAUUUUUUUGAAGCUGUGGUAUGCAUUAGGAAAGCUCAAAGCAGAGAAAAUUGCAUGGAAAAUAGCAGAAAAUAAAGGAUUCAAACUCUCAACAAUAUGUGCUGCUCUCAUCACUGCCCCUAACUUACUUCACCACCAUCCUACUCCUACAAUUGCUUAUCUCAAAGGUAUAUUCAGUACAUAGAUAGAUAUAUCCAACUAAAUAGAGUUGUAUUGAUUGUUUUCAUCUUAUGUUACUAUCAAUGUAUAAUUCGUCCACUGAGUACUCACUAUUGUAACUGUUCUAAGUGGGUCCCCCAAAAAGGAACCCUCACAGUUUUUUCAUCAGCAUUCGAGAUAAUCUAUAUUCAGCCUCGUAUACUCGUAUUCGUAUACUCGUGGAUAUUGAAUAGUUUUAUGGAUAUAUGUGAAGCUGUGGGUUAUCCACUAAGAAAGUUUGGACAUACAAAAUUCGAUAGAGUCCUGACAAAAGUGGUGUCUAGUAAUUUGAUCAUUUUAUUGAUUUGAGGGUUUAUAAGUUUAGUACCAACCAAAUACUUUUCAUGUUUUUAAGAUAUUUCAUAAUUUUUUUGUACAGGAGCCGAUGAGAUGUAUGAAAACGGGGUACUAGCCACAGUGGAUGUACACACGCUUGCAAAAGCGCACGUGCAAGUAUACGAAGAAAUGAAUAAAGCCGCGUUUGGCAGGUACCUUUGUUUCGAUAAGGUGAUAACGAGAGAAUACGAAGCAGAAAAAUUAGCAAACGAAACAAGGGUUGAUCUAGACAAGAUUCGAGGCGACAACUACUUCUACUGCUACAGGGACACCGUUUAUUUUGUCGAACAGAAGACUGUCUUCUCUAAAGUACAGAUCAUCGAUCACCUGUCUUGAUUAAGACAUGACGUACUAGUAAUUCUUUGUUUAUUUUUAGCACGUACAAGUCACCGAAUCUUGAUCAAUUUAAGAGAAUCGAACAGAAUUUUAUACAAUCCUUGAAGUCGAUAAUUGGAACAGUAGGGGCACGUAAUGUAAUGAGGAACAGCUUUCUAGUUUCUACUUGUUUAGUGGUGGGGAAGUGUAUUGACACUUUGCUUCCUGAUCCUAAAGUCAAUUGUCCACCAGAGAAAAAUAGCAUUUCAAUGCGUUUUACCAACUUCAUACUUUUUUUUUUACCAUCACGUACUUGUUUAGAGAGACAAAAUAACAAAAAAAAGUUAUUCGUAACACUAUUGAUAUUAUCGACAAAAGAAGCUGCAGCAAAGAAGCCUCAUGUUUUGAGGCGAAGGAAACGAGCUCGCUUGAGCAGAACAUACAAGUAACCUUAAAAUAUUAUUUUAUUAUUUUUUCAAUAGACUAAUAAAACCAACAUCGUGAAUUCAUGACCCAAAAACUCAUAAAACCAACUAAAAAACAAACGUCGUAGUUAAAUUAAAACUACCUAACUAAAUAAAUAUUAGAAAAUCUCUAAGAUAUUUGAAAAAAUAAAAUAAAAUAAAAGUAGUUAAUUAAUACGCUGUAAAUAAAAUCUCCUAGAGCUAUUAACCCAACAAAGUCCAAUUAGAUUGUUUGUUUGGAAACCAUUAGCUUUGACGAGUGCGGGCCAUUCUGCGUAAGCAUAUAACUUCCAUUGGAUUUUCUUUUUAAGGUUACAAUGUAUUCUUCUUCAUAAACAAGAACCUUCACUUUAACACCAUUUCCCAAAUUCUGGAUUAAAUCACCUACCAUCUCUGGAAUUAUAAAAUUUUCAAAGUCCUGUCUCGGUAAAUUAAGCUUACCUUGUUGGGAAACAUCAAUGUCACUUAACAUCUUCUUUAUGACCCAUGGAUCAUAUGGAGUUAAAUCUAAUUCUAGGUUGAGUUCUUGAUCUUGAGCCAUAGUUUCUAACUUGUAAAUACUAUGAAUUUUUUUUUUUUAAAUGUGAAAGAUGAAAGCAAGAUUGAAAAAUAAUAAAAGCCCAUCGCUAUGUUCUUAUAUAUAGUUCUUCGAUCAAAACAAAUUUUCCUUUUUUUGUUUGUUUAAAAAAGCAUUUUUCCUUAUUUCUGCAUUUUUCUAUUACAUUAAAAAUUCUUAAUAUGCUGACAAAUUUUUAAAAAGUUUUCAUUUUUUUUCUUCUGUUACUCUACAAGUAUUUUGUCGAAAUUUACAAUUCUUUUUUUUAUCAGAAAGUUAAGUUUAUAUGUACAAAAAUCAUUUGGGAUAUUUUACGAGUUUUACAUUUUCUAGUUGUGAUCACUGAUUUUGUUUCCCUUUUUAACAAUUCUAAAACAUAUAUAUAUAUAUAUAUAUAUAUAUAUAUGUAUAAGAAAGAAAGUUUACAUUUAAAUAUUUGAAAUUAUUCUUAUAUCACGUUUAAAAAUGCUUUGUACGAUUCUUGUGGAAGUUUUACAUUUCCUUUACGAAGGUUUUUCAAAAAUUAACGCUUAAAUAAGUUCUCAUAAGAUCGGGUAACACAUAUCAUAAUAGGCUAGAUGUUCACUUAUUGUGUUGCUCUUCGUUGUGGAAUUUGUUUGAGAUUGAUGAUGAUUUAAUUUAUAGUCUUUGAUGGUUUAGGGUUCGUGAUUUGUGGUUUCCAAAAGUUAUGUGGAAAUGGCUUUCUGCAAAAAUCUCGGUGGUCUACUGAGACAAUGGGUUGUUUCUCAGACCAGAAAUGUUCCGGUUUAAUUUAUGCUUGGUUCUCUCCGGUACAUGUCUACCAAGCUUUUCUCUGAGGUAAAUAAGUCUUGUUCAAAAAUGAAUCUUUGAGAAAUAGCUAAUUGGCUACUUGGCGUUGACCACCUUUCUCUCACUCUCUUUUGUAUGCAUUUCCUCUUGAUCUCUUUGAUGCUAAUGUGGGUUAACAUUCAUUGGACAUUGCCACGAAGGAUGAAUUCAAGUUCAUACCGGAAGGGGUUUACAAGCAGUUUUUGAAAGCUAGUGGCCUCAAGGGUAUGAGAUUGGGGAUUGUAAUGAAGCAUUAAUUCUGAUCCCGAUCAUGCUCAUCUUGAUCAUCACAUCGAAAUUGAUGUCAAAUUUCGUUAUUAUCUUGAUUCGACCUAUUUAGUAAACCAUAUAUCUGCGACGAAAAAAAGAAAAAAAAAAAAGUAAACCAUAUACAAUAUCUGAUUAUAGCUCUGUUUUCCUUGGAUGGAGACGAGAAGGCCUGACAAAUCUAUCGAUACUGUUGAGAUUUAUGCUCUGUUUAACACUAAAUUAGAGACCUUUUAGUGUCUUGAACUCUCUCUCUCUCUCGGAAAAAACAAGUUCACUCGUGUGUAUGAAGAAGUAUGGAAACGGAUGCAGAAAAGAAAAUGGCACAGGCGAUUUAAGGAGUUCACGCCCAAUGUGGGUCGCUACGUCUCCCCGGAGAGGUUCUCCGGAUGAAUCCACUAAAUCCUUUAGCUCUACACCGAGCUUUCUACAACCAUAUUCUCUCUGCAACUUUACACAAGCUCUCUCUAUCUCACACUCUUUCAGAGACAUUCCCUCUUCACCUUAUUUAUAUCCUCAAAGAGAUUAUUCUAGAUACAAAGCUUUGUCUCUUUGCAAUCCUUGUGCACAGAUACGAAGGCGCUGCUGCAGGCUCUGCUCCUCCGGUAUCAGAAAGCACGUUUGUGUUCCCUCUGCUUGCUUGAGUUUGUACGAGUUAGGUGGGAAGUCUUUUUCUUGCCUCGGAAUCAGAGAAUGGACUCUGCUUCUUCCUUUUGAUUUCAAGACCGUUAGAAGACUCUUUCUCAGACUGAGGCUUUUGCUGUUGGAUAAGACUCUUUCUCGUUCCAAGUCUUUGACCACAGCUCUUCUUCGUUGACCUUGAUACACCUGCAAGUAUUCAGACUAACUCCCACAAAACUCCACCUUGGUUUGAAUACUUAACCUUAGCUUAGGUUCCUGAUUUAGUUUCCUUUGGAUUCUUCCCCUCUCCGGAUUCUUUCACUCUUCUUAGUGACUUGAUAUUCUGAGCAGCUCCAACGCCUUUUGAAGCUUGCUCACAGGGACAAUCUUGGUAAAGAUGUCUGCAGGAUUCCACAUAGUCGAUACCUUUAAAACUUUGAUGUCUCCUUCUGCAAUCUUAUCCCUGAUGAAAUGCAGACGCACAUCAAUGUGCUUGGUUCUCUCAUGAUGCACAGAGUUCUUGGAUAAGGCGAUAGCACUCUGUGAAUCACACAUAACUUCAACAUUUUCUUGUUCGAAUCCCAGCUCUGCAACAAGACCUUUCAACCAUAUGGCUUCUUUCACUGCCUCUGUUAAUGCCAUAUAUUCUGCUUCUGUUGUAGACAAGGCUACGACCUUUUGUAAACAUGAUUUCCAGCUAAUGACAUUUCCGCCUGCAGUAAAAACAAACCCUGUGACUGAUCUUCUCUUGUCCAAAUCCGCAGCGUAGUCUGAGUCGCAAAACCCUCUGAUUUCUACACUGUCCUGUUUCUUGUAGCUGAGCUUCAACUCCUGAGACCCGUUGAUGUACCUUAAAACCCACUUGACAGCUAGCCAAUGUUCUUUUGAUGGCUUGCUCAUGAAACGGCUGAUUACACAUAGGAUAGGCCAGAUCAGGUCUUGAACCGAUCAUAGAGUACAUGAUACUUCCCACUGCGUUUGAGUAAGGAAUAGUCUUCAUGUAUUCUUCUUGAGCAACCAACUCUUCUUCUGUGGCAGCCUUGAGUUUGAAAUGAGUCCCCAACGGUGUCUGCACUUUCUUUGACUGAUCCAUCCCAUACAUAUGUAUAACUUUCUUCAGAUAAUCCCCUUGAGAUACUUCAAGCGUCCCAUUCUUUCUAUCUCUUUUGAUUUCCAUACCCAAGAUCUUCCUUGCUUCACCCAAAUCUUUCAUUUCGAACUCGGAUCCCAACAACUCUUUCAGCUCUUGAAUCUUUCCUUUAUCUUUUGCUGCAAUAAGCAUGUCAUCGACGUACAAGAGCAAAUAGAUAUAGGUGUUGUCUUCAAGCUUUUUGUAGUAAAUACAAUAAUCAUAGUUGCUUCUUUGGUAACCUGAAUUCCUCAUGAAGGUAUUGAAUCUCUGGUUCCACUGCCUUGGUGCUUGCUUCAGGCCGUAGAGAGAUUUCCUUAGUAAGCAAACUUGAUCUUCUUCUUUUUUUCCAUUCGAAACUUGAUAGCCUUCAGGUUGUUCCAUUAGUAUGUACUCAUCAAGAUUUCCAUGUAGGAAUGCAGUCUUAACAUCGAGUUGUUCCAACUCUAGAUCAAGGUUAACCACAUAUGACAGGAUGAGCCUGAUGGAGACGUGCUUCACUACAGGUGAGAAGAUCUCUUGAUAGUCGACCCCUUCUUUCUGCAGGUACCCUUUUGCCACUAGCCUGGCUUUGAAUCUCGGUUUAUCGGAUCCUUCUGCACCUGGUUUUCUCUUAUAGACCCAUUUGCAGCCUAUAACUUUGCAGUUCUUUGGUCUCUUAAUCAAGGUGAACGUCUGAUUCUUCUGUUGUGAAUGCAUUUCAUCGUCCAUAGCUUCUUUCCACUGAUCCCAGUCUUUAUCUCUCAUGGCUUCUUCAUAACAGCAUGGCUCAGGUAACCUCCAUCUUCUGUCACCAUUAGAGCAAAGCCAGAUACUAGAUCUUCUUCUAGUUCUACUAAGUUUGAAUCGUUGAACUUUUCAGGUCUUCUGGUCACUCUUCUUUCUCGGUCCCUUGCCAACUGAUAGGUUCUGAGAUCACUGCUGAGCUGAGAACUUUCUUCUUCUUCUGAGCUCUCGUCUUCCUGCUCAUUUCUUUCUGCACUUGAGUGAGGUUCUACUUCUUGAUCUUCUUCUAGACUUUUAUCAGCUCCACCUAGAUCCUUGAAGUCUCCACUGUUGACUUCGUAGAUCAAGGGUAUCCUUGAGCUUUGUGUUUCUGUUCCAGACUCUGAUUGUUGAUUUAAGUGCUUGUACAUCUUGUCUUCUUGGAAUACAGCGUCUCUAGAUAUGAUGCACUUCUUGUCUUCAACUAACCAGAAUUUGUAUCCUUUCACUCCACUAGGAUAACCGAUGAAAACUCCUUUCUUGGCCCUUGGAUUUAGCUUUCCCUGAUCACUAUGAAUGUAAGCCACUGAUCCAAAGACUCUCAUCUCAUAGUAUCUUGGCUUCGUUCCUGUCCAGAUUUCAUCUGGAAUCUCUAAAUCAACUACAGACGAUGGUGACCUGUUGAUUUGAAACACUGCAGUGGCAGCGGCUUCAGCCCAGAAGCUUUUAGGUAGACCAGACUCACUCAGAGCACUUCUCACUUUGUCUAGAAUGGUUCGAUUCAUUCUUUCAGCAAUUCCGUUUUGCUGUGGAGUGUAAGCACAUGUUUUGUGUCUUACUAUUCCUUCAUCUCUGCAAUACUCAUCGAAUUCUCUGUUGCAGAACUCAAGUCCAUUGUCGGUUCUGAGGGUCUUGAUCUUUCUACCGAGUUGAUUCUCCACCAUCUUCUUCCAAUCUACAAGGCUUCCAUAGGCUUCAUCUUUCUUCUUAAGAAAAUAGAUCCAGGUCUUUCUUGAGUAAUCAUCUAUAAAUGAAAUGAAGUAUUGACGCUUCCCUAGUGAUAAUGGAACAUUGGGUGAUCCCCAUAGAUCGGAAUGAAUGUAAUCCAGCUUCUCCUUUGUUACAUGCUUCCCUGUUCCAAAACUGACUCGGUGUGUCUUUCCAUACACACAAUCCUCACAGAAUGUCAUAUCCGUGACCCUGGUUUUGUCCAAAUAUCCUUUCUUUAGUAGGACUUUCAUCCCUUUUUGACUCAUAUGUCCGAGCCUUCGAUGCCAUAGUUGAGUUUCGUCUUUAGGGCCAACUGAGACACUUGCUUCUCCUGUGAGAACAGACCCGCUGAGAAUGUAAAGCAUAUCUGUCUUCUUUCCUUUGAUAAGUGUCCUGCAUCCUUUGUUGAUCUUCAUGACUCCCUCUCUAGACUGAAACCAACAUCCCUGAUCCUCUAAAGUCCCAAGAGAUAUCAGAUUCUUGGACAUUUCAGGUACGUAUCUUACAUUGGUCAGAAGAACUGUUGUAUUGUCUUCAUUCUUGAUCCUUAUGCUUCCGAUACCUUUGACUGCAGAGUAAGUGUCAUUUGCCAUUCUGACCUUUCCAGAGUUUACUUCGUUGAGCUCUACAAACCAGUCUCUUCUCGGAGUCAUGUGGAAAGAACAACCAGUAUCCAUGAUCCAUUUCUCCUUCAGUUCAUCUCCAAGCGACAACAAAACCUCUGAAACCAUCAACACUGCAGCAUCUUGAACCUGUCCUGUGACAUUUGACGAUUCACCAGCAUCUCUUUGUUUGUUUCUUUCUUUCCAAACGAAACACUGCUUCUUGUAGUGAUCGUCUUUACCGCAGAUCCAACAAGUCUUUUUCCCUUUAGACUUUGACCGAUGCUUCUGCUUGCCUUUGUCAUUCGGUUUUUCCCUUUUCUCAGAUCUUCCUCUGUCUUGAACGAACAACGCCUCUGAGCUACCUCUUGAGAGUUUACCACUUGCCCCCAACUCGAGCUCCUUGGAUCUAACGGCUCCAAUGAUCUCUUCCAAGGAAAGAGACGUCUUUCCAUACUUCAGAGUAUCCUUUAGUUGCUCAAAAGGCUUUGGAAGAGCCAUAAGCAGAAUGAUAGCCUGAUCCUCAUCAGAUACAGAAACUUUAACGUGUUCUAGAUCCGUUAUUAGCCUUAGAAAAUCAUUUAUAUUCUCCUCAAUCGUCAUACUAUCAGUCAUACUAUACCCAUAUAGUCUUUGCUUCAGAUAGAUACGAUUAGGAAGAGACUUAGCCAUGUAAAGCUGAUCUAGUACCUUUAACAUGGCCGCAGCUGUUUUUUCUUUGAUGAUUUUCCUGAGGACAUUGUCUCCUACGCUUAAGAUAAUGGUAGAUCUGACCUUCUUCAUCUUCUCAGAGAGAGACUUCUCUGCAGUAACCUCGUCUUUGCCUUUAACUGUUGCUUCGAGUGUUUCUGCAGACGAAUCUUCUGAUUCUUGAGCUUCAUCUUCUACCAAACCUUCUGCUAAUCCCAAGAUCUCGAUAUGAGCUAGCAGCUUUUCCUUCCAGAGCAUGUAGUCUCCCUUUCCAUCGAACUUUUCUACCUCCGUUCUUGCUGAAGACAUCUUUCUUCAGACUUUGAGAUAAGAAACCUCCGAACCUGGAGCUCUGAUACCAAUUUGUUGAGAUUUAUGCUCUGUUUAACACUAAAUUAGAGACCUUUUAGUAUUUUGAACUCUCUCUCUCUCUCUCUCUCGGAAAAAACAAGUUCACUCGUGUGUAUGAAGAAGUAUGGAAACGGAUGCAGAAAAGAAAAUGGCACAGGCGAUUUAAGGAGUUCACGCCCAAUGUGGGUCGCUACGUCUCCCCGGAGAGGUUCUCCGGAUGAAUCCACUAAAUCCUUUAGCUCUACACUGAGCUUUCUACAACCAUAUUCUCUCUGCAACUUUACACAAGCUCUCUCUAUCUCACACUCUUUCAGAGACAUUCCCUCUUCACCUUAUUUAUAUCCUCAAAGAGAUUAUUCUAGAUACAAAGCUUUGUCUCUUUGCAAUCCUUGUGCACAGAUACGAAGGCGCUGCUGCAGGCUCUGCUCCUCCGGUAUCAGAAAGCACGCUUGUGUUCCCUCUGCUUGCUUGAGUUCGUACGAGUUAGGUGGGAAGUCUUUUUCUUGCCUCGGAAUCAGAGAAUGGACUCUGCUUCUUCCUUUUGAUUUCAAGACCGUUAGAAGACUCUUUCUCAGACUGAGGCUUUUGCUGUUGGAGAAGACUCUUUCUCGUUCCAAGUCUUUGACCACAACUCUUCUUCGUUGACCUUGAUACACCUGCAAGUAUUCAGACUAACUCCCACAGAUACCAAACAUGGAAGUCACUACUCACUAGGGUUAGGACUGAGUUCAAGAUGUCACUCAACACAUAUCUUACAGAUCUUGUGGAAUCACCAGUCCGGUCCUUAGCAGAUGCAAUUGCCUUCUACAAGGAACUCUAGGCACGUCUUCAAUAAUCGAACAACAAUUUAAGCAAAUAGAUUAUGAUCAGAAAAUCUUUAUUCAAGAACUAAAACCAAUGCCACUAAUUUUAUACAAUCCUUGAAGUCUAAACUAGUGUGUAAAGGACAUGUUUUUACUAUGCUAAAGUGAAAGAAUAAAUAUGAAGAAAAAGGUCUCAUAUUCUAUGGGUGUAUUGUGAGUCUAUCAAGCCAUUGGCUAUCAGUACGAGGAAUUACUUUUACAAUCAUCGCAGUCAACCCAUUUCAGAUUAAAAUUCCAUUUUAAAAACACGAAUUUACGAAAAUACAACAAAAAAUAGAGGCUCAGAGUUUUGCAUAAUGUGCUCAAAGAAGAGUUUAUCAGGCUCUUCUCAUACAAGAGGUGUCAGAAAUAUUAAGCAUUAAUCAUCCUUGCCAAAAUCCAAUUUCUUCAGAAAUCAAGUUUUUUCUAGACUAAACAUCAAGUUUCAUAUUCGCAUUUUGUAAUCCAUCCCUUUGAUUAAUCCCUCAAUUUCAUAUUCGCAUUUCGUAAUCCCUCCCUUCGAUUAAUCCCUCAAGCUGAAUGUAAAGUUGAGAUCAAACACCCGAUUUCCAUUACGAAUAAGGUACUUGAGUAUGAAUGUAAUGUUAAAAGUUAUAGCGAAUAGGCAAUCUAAUGAUUCUUAAACGCUUUUUCCAUUGAUACAUUCACGAAGGUAGGAAUUCAAAACAAAUACUUGAAUAAUUCUCUAGUGAUCGUUUCAAUUUGUACGAAUUUGAAAUCAAGGCUCUUACACAAUUCAAAAUACCCCACAAUUCAAAACAAAUUGGAGUUUUAAGGAAGCAAACCACAGUUAAAAAUAGUGAUCUUAAAGAAGAAAUAUCGUUCUACCAAUAACCCACAAAAUUACAAUGACCUGAUAACAUAACGAGAGAAUUUCCUUAAAAAAUCAUCGAUAAAAAGAUUUUAAAAACCAAAACAGAAAAACAAAAAUCGAUUGUGGAAGAAAAGGGGUAGUGCUCAUAUUCUAUGGGUGUAAUGUGAGUCUAUCAAGCCAAUGGCUUUCAGUACGAGGAAUUACUUUUACAAUCAUCGCACCAUACCCAAAUUCGAAAAGCUCGAGCUUUUGUUUCUUAAAUCAAUGUAAAUUCCAACUAAAAAACAAUACAAAAAAUACUUAGAAAAGAAAUUGAGGCUCAGAGUUUUGCAUAAUGUGCUCAAAGAAGAGUUUAUCAGGCUCUUCUCAUACAAGAGGUGUCAGAAAUAUUAAGCAUUAAUCAUCCUCGCCAAAAAAAAGAUCUUUUCUUUCAAAAUCAACACUCACACACACAAAAAAACGGAAAAAGACUUCACAACGAACUUCAAACGGAGAAACGAGCUAAAGGGAAGAUAGAUGCGGCUGAGAAAGAGGCAUAAGGAUUAGGGUUUUUGUUUCAGAUGAUGAUGGAAUAGAACACGGGCAAUGAACUGUAUUUAUAGAUAUUUAAUGGGUUUAUUCAAUAGAAGGCCCAUUAAAGUAUUUCUCGCGUAAACCGUCGGUCUCAUUUAGCGGCUUGCGCUCUUAGGCUAUUUGCGGAACUUUAUUUUCAUUAAUAUUACAGGCCCAUUAAUGGGCCUAUAAAAAGAAUUACAAGGCAUAGUUUUAUGUUCUGCAUAAUAUAGUCUCAGAGACCUUUAAAACCUUUUGUCUCCUAAAAGCUAAAAAGUCUUCAACUAAUAAACAAACAUCUUAAUCAAGAAGAGGUUUAAGACUAGGAGGAAUUAACACUCAUCUUGCGUACUUUGUCCAGAAAGUUUCUUGAUUCGUCUUCAAGUUUCAUCUUCAAUUCUUGCGUAACCUCUCCCUGUGAUUGAUCCAGCAACGCUCUCAUCUCCUCAAGCUUCUUUUUCAAACACUCGAUUUCCAUUAUUUCAGCUUCCUUCUUCUCAUUUGUGUUUUCAGGUGAAUCCGAAGAAGGAAACUGGAGCUUGAAUGUAACGGUGGAAGUAGUAGCAAAGGGGCAUUUCUUUAAUGACUUGCGAAAUGCUUCUUCUCCAUCAGAUACAUUCAAGAAGUAAACCCGUGCGCAGGAGUUAUUGUCGAACAUACAGCUUCUGUUUUUGUCCAAAGCUCCAAACUUUUCGUAUGUUCUGAUCAAAUCAUCUUUUGAAGGCAGAGUUGCACCAGAAGGUCCAAAGCCAGACUUAAUAACUAGCUCAACACUUGAAAAUUGCUCCUCAAGUUCUCUCUUGUUCAUCUUCUUCACCGUCUCUUUCUCAUCCACUACUUGUUGCUUCAAUUCAGGCUGCUUAUCUUCCUCUGAAAUGUUUCUCUUGUGAUUGGCCCCAUCAUGAUAUGUAAAGCUUCGAUAAAUGGACACAAACUCUGUUAUCAUGUCACACGAGCUAUUAUAGUCUUCUACAUAUUGUGUAUCAAGAGCCACCGAACGGAUUAGAUUCAGUACUUCCUCUGGUGCAGCUUCUAAACUCACAAAAUCUAAGGCUUUUUCAGCAGCAUUCUUCGUCAUUUUGCUCUUUCUCGAUCCCCAACCAAAAUCUGUCAUAUAUUCUGGCGAAAGAUAUUUGCUUUUCUUCCUCUCUCUUUUACCUGUCUGCACUGUAGUCUCACCACUUCCAUUGUUCCUUUCAACACUUGAAGAAACAUCAGACCUGAGCCUUUUGCAGAGUGAGGCCAUUGGAGUUUCCAUACCUGAAUCCUCUUUCUUCUCACACUCUUCUAAAUGGUUUGAGUCGUUUGAUUCUUCUCUUUUCUCAACCCCAUCUUCAUCUUCAUCCUCCAAACCCCUUUUGUUCUUCCUCUUCCUCGACGAGAAACUUUUCGCAUCACGAGUUUCUUCCACUUGCUUCAGAUCAGAGUUUUCGUUCUUAGAAACCUCACUCAAUCUUCUCCUCAAAGUAGUAGAACCAGUGGUUGCUACAUCAGCAAGAUCAACGUUAAUAGCUUCAUCACCAUAUUUCCUCUUUUUACCACCAAGCGCAGAGCAUUUUCUUAAUGCUCUCUGCCAAGAAGAUUUGCUAAAAUCCAACGCAUAUUCAUCGUCUUUGUCUUCAAGCCCUAUGAUAUAUCGAUGCUCAUCAUAUUGAGCUAAACCAAACCUUCCUUUAGACCGAUAAAACGCAGAUAUUUUCCUCUUCAAAACCUCAAUCUCUAGCAGAUCACUAAAACUAACCGUCUUCGCAAGUCUCUCAACAUCUUCGAGAACUAUUCCAGGGUUUUCAAGAACCAAAGACGAUACAACCUCUUUUCUAACAUCAGGCACAAGAACACCUUUCUUUACACCAGAAUUCACUGCUACACGACUAACCAGAUCCUCAUCAGGAACCAACAAAUGCUCAACAUGUUCACCAAUCUCUACCACAGCUUCUUCCACAGCUCUGACAAAGCUUUUAGAACCGCUCGUCUUUGAAAACUCUCUGAAAUUCUCAAUAAACGGUUUCAACUGCGCUGGAUAGCACCAAGCAAACGUCUCCUUCCAAAAAUAUGCCACAAGUAAUUUACCCUUGUGCAUUUGCUUCAAAGCCAAGUCUGAAGCAUCUGAAGAAUCGUAAACCUUUCCAGGCCACCAUUGAUGGCUAUUGACUUCUCUUACCCACACAAAAUCUCCCACACGGAACCCAUUCUCUUCUUCAUCAUCAGCAUUGUUAAUCUCUUCCUCUUCUUCACAAUUAACUCUGGAAUCUUGCUUCGUAUUCAGCAAUGAAGAAGCUUCACUCAUCGCAUAAUCUUCGAUUGGUCCAGCGUCGUUAACACUCUCCAUCUUAACAUCAUUUCCCUUCAAAUUAUCAUCAGAACAACCGUCGAUAUGACCUGAAACAGCUCGCACUCCGUUUUCAGAAACCCUAGAAUCGGUCGUUACAAAAUUGCCCAUCGAACACUUCUCUUAACACAACCUAGCCUACAGUAAAUGCAAACUAAAACAUUCAGAAAACUACAAUUAAAGAAAACAUAAUCAACAUUACCUACGACUAACAGAAGAAACUUGUACUUGCGACAAAACCAAAACCAAAACAAAAAAAAAGGUUCUUUUUUGGACGAGGAAACACACAAGUUUUAAGAAUAAAGAAAUCGAAAUUACCUGAAGAUAAAGGAGAAGCGGAUAAAAAAAAAAAAUUUGGUUCGAGCAGAGAAUCCAAAAACACCUUCUUCCUCGAAUCCUGCGGCGCAAAGUUUUCGUUUUUUCCCCUCGAGAGAAAAUAAGAAGGAAAAAAAAAAGUAUUUUUGUGAUUGAAUGCUUUUGCCUUACUUAUCUAUUGUAUUUUCUUCUGAUAUUGUCCAAGAUUCGUUUCCUUUUUUGAUUUUACCUUACGUUAUCAACAAAAUUUUAAGUCUUGUUUUCCGACAUUAACAAGAAGAUCUAAUAGAACGUCAAAUACAAUUUGCCUACCUCUCUUCCGUUUUUUCCCUAUCCGGUUUUUGCGUUUGAGUUUACGAUUUAGAUACACAUAAGAUUAUCAAAAUUAUCAGAUUAAUAAUAUGCAAAUACAGUAAUUAUCCAUAUUUACUAGUUCGACACCAAACCCAGAUUUUGAAACUCGACCACAUUUGUCUACAUACCACGUGAAUGAGUGAGUAUGGUCGUGUAGUCUCUAUAGUUUCUUUGAGCUAGGCAUUUCAACAAACAUGUUAUGUGCAGUUAACAAAGCAUGCGUCGAGGGCUAAAUCAAUAAUAGGAAACGAAAUUUGAUUCAAAUUACAAUAAUUUCUCAAAGCUUAAUCAACAAUUCCAAACGCAAACUAUACUCUAACAACAAAAAGACCCAUAAAUCCCGGAAAAAAAGACACAUUUUUAAUAAGAAAAAACAUCCGAUUGUUAAAACUUAAGCAAUGGAAACCUUAGCACCAGCUUCUUCAAGCUGCUUCUUGGCUUCUUCAGCUUCAUCUUUCGUCACACCUUCCUUAAACUUCUUCGGCAACCCUUCAAUGAGCUCCUUGGCUUCCUUCAACGCCAAGCUAGUCAAAGCCCUUACCGCUUUGAUCACUGCAAUACGGUUACUGCUGGGCACUUCAUUGAUAACCACAUCGAAUUCGGUUUGCUCUUCCACAACCGCCGCCGCACCACCGUCUCCCGGAGCAGCCACAGCCGCCGCAGCAGGAGCUAGAGAGAGUGGUGAGACACCGAAUUUAUCCUGGAGGUAAUCGACGAGGAUGCGUGCUUCUUCUAGGGUCAGAGACGAGAUCUCGGAACCAAUCUUCUCGAUUUUCUCUGGAGCUUCGACGGCGGCGACGGGACGGAGGUUGAUUGCGCGGUGGCUGAGCGUGGAAGAAGAAGCGCCAAAGCGAGCCGGGAAUUCGACUCCGGUGGGUCGGGAAGGAAAGCGAUGGACGGAAGCGAGAGUGGGAGAAGAUGAUGAACGGAUUGAGCUUGCGAUGGAAAGAGUCGUCGCUGCCAUUUUCGCUCUUCCUCUUGGGAUUUGUUUUGUGUGUCUCUCUGAGUGUGUUUGUUGGGAUAGAUGGAGAAGAUGAGAGGAUAAAAAAACCAAGGAUAAGGGGUAAUUUGGAAAAUAUAAUAUAUGCGUACGCUUGCUGUAUUAUGCGCGUGUAUACACACCAUGGGACUUAAAAGCAAAAAGGGGCGUUCCGAGAAUCGAACUCGGGACCUCUCGCACCCAAAGCGAGAAUCAUACAACUAGACCAAACGCCCUCGUUGAUAUAUUGAGCCAUUUUUCUACUAAGUCCUCAAAAAUAUUCAGAGUUUGUAGUGGAACUGUGGAACAUUCUCCAUUUCAAAAGAAGCAUAUACAUAAUUGUAUUCAGAUUUUAUACUAGUGUACUCGCAUUGAUAGCCUACUAAUACCAAUGUUGAUGGACACCUAAUCUUUUUCAGCUUUCUACAAUAUUUGUUGCUUUUGUUUUCGCAUCUGUAGUCUAAUAGAACGUUGUAAAAUCUUAGAGGAAUGCCUUCUCUGCUUCAAAGCAGAACAACUCUUUCUUCAUUCUGCUUUAUAUGAUUGGUGAAGACAGCUACUUUGGAAGCCAUGCAUGUCUCAUAUAGUCAAAAGAGUCAUACUAUGUUCAUGUCUCCUAAAUCCGUGUAUGAGUAUGUGACUUCUCCCAUUUCCUAUUUGAAGCUAGGCAUUUCUACAAACAUGUUAUCUACUUAUCUGCAGUUACUAAAGAAGCACCCUACAAUGGCUAAAUCCCUUUUCGGAAUCCAAAUUGAUUCACAUUACAAUAAUUUCUCAAACCUGAAUCAACAAUCCCAGACGCAAACUAUGCUAAACAACACCAAACAAACAAAAAACGUUCCAUAAAAUUCCACAAAAGAAGAACACUUUUACAUUUCCGAAUUUCAAGAAGUUUAAGCAAUGGAAACCUUAGCACCAGCUUCUUCAAGCUGCUUCUUCGCUUCUUCAGCUUCAUCCUUCGUCACACCCUCCUUGAACUUCUUCGGCAACCCUUCAAUGAGCUCCUUGGCUUCCUUCAACGCCAAGCUAGUCAAAGCCCUUACCGCUUUGAUCACUGCAAUACGGUUACUGCUUGGCACUUCGUUGAUAACCACAUCGAAUUCGGUUUGCUCUUCCACCACCGCCGCCGCACCACCGUCGCCCGGAGCAGCCACAGCCGCCGCAGCAGGAGCUAGAGAGAGCGGCGAGACGCCGAAUUUAUCCUGAAGGUAGUCGACGAGGAUGCGGGCUUCUUCGAGGGUCAGAGACGAGAUCUCGGACCCAAUCUUCUCAAUUUUCUCCGGAGCUUCCACGGCGGCAAUGGGACGGAGGUGAGUUGCACGGUGGGUCAGUGUGGAAGAAGAAGCACCAAGGCGAAAGGGAAAUUCGAUUGCGGAGGGUCGGGAAAGGAAGCCAUGGGGAGCGGAAGCGGGAGUGAGAGAAGACGAAGAGCGGAUUGUGGUUGCUAUGGAAAGAGUCGUCGCUGCCAUUUUCACUCUUUGAACUCUUCGGAUUUGUUGUGUGUCUCUCUGUCUGUGUUGCUAAAUUGUGCGAGAGACGAAGAAGAUGAGGAUAAAAAAAACCAAGGAUAAGGGGUAAUUUGGGAAACUCAAAAAUACUAACCAUUGCUAUUGUGCACCUAUACACAUCAAGGAAGUUGUACCGUUCAUAGGUUGACGAAAAUACCCUUGAGAAAGGUAAAUAAAUUAAAAUGGGCCAUUCGGAAAAUCGAACUCAUCACCUAUAUCAUAAAUAAUGACAACGAAGGGUCACAAAGACUUUUGAAUAUAGAGUUCACAGUGAAACAAUUUCCCUUUUUCUUUUUUUGUCAACAACUUUGUAGUGGAAACAUUCUUUUAAUUCAAAAGAAGCAUAUAAUAAUCGUAUAUGUAAAUCACAUCGUGUUGUUUCGAUUUCUCCCUUCUAUAUUUUUCCCACCAAUGCUACAAACAAGAGCAAAUCCCAUUUCCUAUGAAUCCAAAAACCUCCCACGUGUUUAAAAGGCCUGCAAAGAGGUUUUUCACCAUCUACGGCGUCUCCUCCCAUACCAAAACGCAAACGCAGCCACAGAUGCAGCAACAACGACUCCAGUCGCCGCGUGCCAUAUAUGCAAAGGCUUCUCCACCAUCACCACUCUUGAACACUGCCUCGCCAUCUCUGAGCUCGGAACUUCCUUAACUUCCGGAACUAUAUGCUGACUCACCACGGUCUGAGCAAACCCAAGUCCUUCUCUUCCCAGUUCUUCCAAGUCAGUCACAGCUGGUUUCAACUGUGUCGCCUUUGAGAUAGUUUCGUAUUCUUCUUUAGUCCCUCCUUCAAGAAAAGACCCAACGAGGUGACCUUUUUUAACCCAAUAUGCUCCAAAGGCUUUACCGACUUCAUACUCCCCAAAGUGCACAACUUCACCUACAGGGUCUCCGUAGAACUGCCACGAGAAGGCAAAGACCCUUGAGUAGAAAAACGGCAAGAGGUCAAAAUCUCCGGUCUUUUCUGGCUCCAUGAUGGCUGAAACUGCGUGGCGUGCAGAUUUCCUAGCCGAGUCCACAUGCUCAAGCCUCCUCGUUUCGCCAAAUAGUUUCACUGGAAAUGUAGCUACAUCGCCUAUUGCAUACACCGAGCUGUCACUUGACUGCAUUUUGCUGUUCACUUUUAUACCACCUUUCUCUAUUGUUAGCUGUCCUUCAAACAAGCUUGUGUUUGGUCGUAUUCCAAUUCCAACCACGACCAAAUCUGCUGGUAACUGGUUCCCAUCUUUGAGAUUAACCGCCGUGACCUGCAAUUCGAAAUCCCAAAAAGAGCAUAUCAAUAAACAAACACAGCGAACAAUGCUCAUGAUUCUUUCCAUCAUGGGAUCAGGAGACUCCGUCGUUGUAUUGAUUCUUUCCAUCUUUUAGUUCUAUACAUAGAUGCAAAAAACCAGACAUCUUUCAAGUUGAAUCUCAAGCUUAAAAAAAAAAAUAUAUCUAACCUUUUUAUUCGAGUCAAACUCAAAUGAUGUCAAAACCGUUCCUUUGAUGAAUUUCACUCCUUUAGCCCUGUAGUAAUCUUCAUACAAAGUUGCAAUCUUGGGCGUAAAGAGACGCGCCACUGUCAUAAGAAACUGAAAAAGGUCAAGCCAACCACACAGACACAAGCUUUCUCUUUUUUACAUGUAAGUUGAGUAAUAAUGGAGAGUACUUACUGCAGUGAGCCUCUGGAAAAACCAUGGUCACAUUGAUCUUGUUGAUCACUAAAGAUGCAGCACACUCCAUGCCGAUAUAGCCACCACCGAUAACAACAGCAUUACCAUUGGAGCUUGAUUGGAUCGCAGUGGAAAGCCUAUUUGCGUCGCUCAGAUCUCGUAAGUAACAAACAUUUUCAGCAUCUGAGCCUUCCACCCCAAAUUCUUCGAGCUUCAACGGCUGCUUCCACAUGUGACAAUAAUAAGGCCACGACUUUAGCAGUUCAAAGCUCUAAGCUUUAAAAUAGUACAAAUUCCUUUAAAAUUGUCCAGGAUAGAGCAUAUUUGCCAUAUCAGUGUUCACAGCAUCUAAUAGACGUUCCAGUAUUACAGAUCCAUUGACUUCAGUCCAUUUAAGACUCUAGUGAUAAUAAGUAAUAACAGAUUGUAACAUCUCAAAGACGAUAAUAUGAUGGUGAGAACCAGUAAUUUAUCAUAUACGUUAAUGGCACCUUCUCACCUGCAGACGCUCUUACUUCGGAAAAACGAAAUCAUAUAUAUUAUUGUGCAAUCCAUACCCUGGCACCUGUUGCGAUGAUCAAGAAUUUGUAACUUAUAGUCUCCCCGGUGCUCGAUAAAAGAGUCUUCCUCCUCACAUCAACGGACUUAACACGAGUUCCAAGCACUAAUUCAAUUCCUGACAAGCAAGUCACAAAAUUGUCAGAGCUUACUCUCAUAGUCAUAGCCCAAGUAAAGUAGUACUUUCUCAAAAUUGGAUGUGCACAUGUAGUUACCAUGUUCCUUGUACCAUUUCGGGGUGAGCUUCUCAUCAUUAGCCCCAACACAAGUGUGGAAAGAAGGAAGGCGUGCAGGAGCUGCAGAUAAGAUCGUGGGUUAACCCUUACAGAGCCUAAUGAGUGAACUAUAACUGAAUCCCUUAGUUCUUGAGAACAUUCUAUACAUCUUAGCUUCCCCAAAUACCAAAAGCAGAAAAACGCAAGCUAUCACGUUUCUCUUACCUUCUGGCAGCAGAAAACCUUUACUUAACGCGGGCCUCUCAUAUGGUGCAACCUAGAGAAACAGAAAAUGCAGAAGCUAAUUACUUACAGAGGGAAACACAUCAUAUCCCUUUUCCUCCCUCUUUAAUAUUGAUUCACAACCAAUACUUUAUAAAACAAGCAGUGAAUGGAAAAACAUGAAUCACAAAUCAGAAGCAUUUCUUCCAUAGAGAUUCGAGGACUGUUUGCCUGUUUGGAACUAAUCGGUAAAACCAUAUCCAGAGCAUAUGUCACCAUAUUUGGAGGCUAGACGCUAACAAUGCAUUGAUGUGCUAUUAGACAUGGCGAUACUCGAUAUUCUUAGUCCAUGUAUUGAAUCUUGCAAGCUACUCUUUAAUUACUUUAACUUCACCAAAUGCCUCAAUAUAAUACAAAUUUCCACCGUAUCUUCAGUUUCAGUGAGAGAAUUCCAAGCAUGAGUUGCAAUUAAGACUCGAUGUAGAGAACUGAGAAUUUCAAGAACCUUGUGCAAAACCCAAAUCUUUAUGGAAAUCCACACGGAGUUCGUAUAGUAGCAUUACACCCUAUUAGUAUAAAGUAAGAGAAAAACUCUAGCGAUAAGAGACAAAAGAGAUAGAGACAAGCCUAACCAAUUUCAAUCUAAUAACACCAUCAAACCACCAAAUUUUAAAACGAGGUCAAAAAGAAGAAACUUUCAAUUAACACUAAGAAUUCCAAAACCUACCGAUAGUAAAACCAACUACAGAGUCACACUAAAAAUCCAGGUGAGAGAGCUAAUAUAUACUUCCUCAGAUGAAUCAGUAAAGGACCCACCAAGAACAACAAGAAAGAAAAAGCAAAUCAUAGAUAAAUUUCUUCUCGCUAUCAAACAAUAAAACUCAAUUUUUUUACGGGAGCUUACGGGUUCUUCGGAAAUGAUGCAGAGUUCGCCAUCGGAGACACCUCUCCGCGUGAAUUCGAGAGCUGCAUAACCAGCAGCAACACCUCCUCCGAGAAUCACAUACACGAACGCUCUUCCCAUCUCGCUUAGUUUCUCGUGAAAAUCCUAAACAUCUACGUAUAUGUAUUCUAGUGAAUGGAUUUUGUUUUUUAAAAAUAAUUUUCCCGAUAAAAUAAUUUUUUGAGGCACACAGAAUAGGAAUUUUUUUUUCUGUUAUCGGAUCUUUCCCACCAGUGAAUGAAACUCGACGAUUGCAGUGUUCAUUUACAAUUGUACCCCUCUUUGACUUCUUUACUAACGAACGGUGGAUGUUAAUGUUAAACAAGCGAUUACACAAGAUCUCGACCGUCCAUUUCUGGAGAAAGUUGUCACAGUGGGACCCAGUUUAGCUCUUUGCUUGCACGACUUGCUUGGCCCAUCAUCAUUGGUAAAAUGAUAAUAAUAUAACAAAUAUCAGAUCGUCAGAAUGAAAUCUGAUAAUAUGUUGAACAGAUUAAUACAAGUAAUAUAUAGAUGCAUGCAUCAAAGUUAUCCACAUCCACCUCCAAAUCCCAACUAUGCACAUAGUUUUUAUUCUCUUAUAAAUCACAAAAUCACAAACUGUAGACUUGGAGAUGUAAACAAAACAAAAAAAAAAAACAAAAACAUGUGACGAAUGAUAGUUAGCCGCGUGGCAAGACCAUGAGGUAGUUGGUAUUGGGAAGUGUGGUCGAGAUGAGGAUAUGAUGCCCCGAGAAUUCAAUCCAAAGCGUUAAAAGCGAAUUUUUUAUAUAUGUCGCAAGACAAAACCAAACUUUUAUCUUAGACUUGUUGGUUGGAGUUUUUUUUUUUUUUUUUUUGUGUUAUUGUUGGUUGGAGUUUUUCCAUUUCUCUGCCAAGUGGCUCUAUACAGGUAACUAACUAUUCUCUAUUUUAUCGAACUCUCUCCGUUUUCGCUAGAAAAAAAAAUUCUUAUUUUUUUUUGUUUCAUAAACAUAAUAGUUUUUACUUUUAUAGACUUUCUUAUUAACAACAAGGCAUUUAUGUAUUUAUUUCUUAGAACACGUUAAUGUAAGUUUUAAGCUUUUUAUGGUGAUGAGAUUGUGUUGACUAUUGAGUGCUAAGUAUGUUACAAAGACGAAGAAACUAAAAAUCCUCUGGUUCAGAACAUAAAAAUAAAUGCUCAAUCGGGCUUACCCUUUGGGUUCUUCUGCCAAUAUAUAUAUGGGCCUUCUCUCACAUGCAGGCCGUAAAUGUAAAAGACACAGCACAGUGUAAACAACCAACAAAAUAUAUAGUUUGUUUCGGUUGUGAUAAAACAAACAUAAACGCCUUAAGUGAUAAAACAAUCCAAAUUUCCACAGAUUUCAAAAAUUAUUUUAGGUGUUGGAGGGUUUGCCAAAUUAAAAAAAAAAAAAAACAUCAUUGGUAAUUUGGUAUAUAUAUAGAGAAGGGCCGAACAUCUCCUAGAUAAAAGUCUUGAGACAACUGACAGUCGUAUGAACCAAUUUAAUUGUCUUUUCUAUGUAAAUGAUUUAAUCAUUAAUUACAGCUUAUUUAACUAACAGCCCGGUAAUAAUCAAAAUCUUGUUACGCAGAUGAGCAGCCGACUUCAACAUUAACUGAGGAUAAAGAAAGUUAAAAUAUGUCAAACUCAUCAACACGGGAAGAAAAUGGUUUAUGCUAUAUAUAGAAAGUACAGCUAAGGCAUAAGGCUAGAACAAUGCACAAGCAAAUAAAUGAACGAAACAAAAGAGAGGAUAAAAAACCCAAUUCCUCCACGUUUAUUUAUGUGUAAAUUAUCAACCACUUGUAUAUAUGUUUGUGACCGACCUGCCAUGUGAUUUUUCCUUUAUAAUUCACAUGGGAAGUCGACAAUUCCCACAUGAUAAACACGUUGGCGUAAUAAAAUAAAUAAACAUGCGGCCCAAUUCCAUAUUAAUUCUGGUUAUAAAAUAUAAUAUAAGCAUGUAAUCUGGAUAUAAUUAAGAUACUAUAGAUUAGUCUGAGAUGUAUAUUUUAAUAUAUUUUGUUUGAUAAAUAUUGAAAACUCCAGAAUCUGGUUCAUAAGUUUUUUUUUUGUCCGGAUCAACCAUUGAUAAUACCACAUUUAAGACGUACAUAUAUAACUAGUGAUUUUGGAAACUCCCAGGUCCCAAGUACUACUAGACCACUUCUCACUUGGUUUUAUAUUGAAAUCUAAAAAUAAGAACGAGAAGAAAAAAAACUCAUUUCAAAAUACUUGUUAAAAAAUUCUUACAUCAAAAAGUAAGACACAAAAUAUAUAAUAGCUAUUGAGGCUGAAAGCAGUUGAGGUUAUAUGCAUAAAUUCGUCUAUUGUGUACUUUAUUAUAUGACAUUUAAUAAAUAUGAUAUUUGAUCUAAAAACCAAUUUAUGUUUUUAGACAUAAAUAUCUAAUUAGAUCAUGCAUAUUUCAAAAAUUCAAUCUUUAAAUAUUCCCGGAGCAAGUGAUCGCUUAAACAUGUAUGUCUCUCAUUUAUGUUUAUUCUAGUUACAAACUACAAACAUAAAUUAUAAACUUUUCUCAAAAAAUAAACAUAAAUGAAAAAUGUUUUGUUAUAGAAAAAUAGUUUAGAAUUCGAAUGACGACGUAAAGACCAGACGGUCCAGACCGGAAAAGAUAAUGCAUGCAUUGGACCAUUGGUUCGUUCCUUGCUACAAUGCACUAUUGUUUGUUCCGUUUCCUUUUUUACACCGCCGCAAUAUAGAUCUCAAGGAGUAUAAAACAUGAAAAUAGUUUUUUCAUUUUUAUAUAUUAAAAAUCUACCCUAAAAAAUGAAGACGCUACAAGACUACAAGUUAUAAGUGUAUUCGCGCUCUUUUUAAAAUUAUAUAUAUAUAUAUAUAUAUAUAUCAAAUUCAAAUUCAAAAUAUAUCAAUUAUAUAUAUAUAUAUAUAUACAUUGCCCGUCAAAAAUGAAAUAUCAAUUAUUCCUAUUCUAGCCAAUGCAUAGAGAAGAGGAAGUGGAGUUUGGAUUUAUCCUCUACACAUGCUUCGUUUGGACAAAAUGUGUCGCUGGCAUAGGACUUAAAGCUAAGAAGUUCGGUAAAGCUUAAAUGCUUUUGCCGUCUUGCUAUAGUGCUUACACUCCCCCACCUAACAUCAUGUCUAACAACCAAUUACUCAUUUUAUGUUGAUAAUAAACCUAUAAAUAUAAAACACAUAUAAUUCCAUGAAUAAUAUAUCUCAGAUAGUCGACUCAUAUUGGCUUUUAUAUAUAUAUAAUUGCGGCUCAGUUACUGAUUACGUUCCUAGCUCAUCGUAUCUUAUUUUUUGUCCCAUGUUGGUAUAUAUCUAUUUUAGGUGUAAAUAUUUAUUGUUUUGAAUCAGGAUGAACAAUAAAAAGAAGAAUAAAUUGUUCCUUUUUCCUUUUUUUCUUAAAAAACAAAUCGAUAUCUUCGCCUUAAAGGUUGUGGUUUUGGCUAGUGGAGUUAGGCUCACGUUGGGUUCUACAUGUUGAAUGGCGAUGCACAAAAAUGGAUAAAAAUUGCUGAAUAAAGGCAAGGACAACUGUACCGAAAGCUAUCUAUUUUUAGCCCUCAUCUGACACGUGUUUUAUUAUAAUUGGUGAGAUUAGGUUCUGUAUGUUUAUGUCAUGUGAUAUGUAUAUAAAUCGAUCCACAUGUAUAUGUAUACACACGCAACUCAUGUGUUCGUGAGUGCAUAUAUAUGGACGAAGAAUCAGUUCGUCUCGAUUACCAUACGCUUAAAAUAAUUAUUCUGCUCUGUUUAAAUUUUUAUUUUCUUACGUCUUCCGAUGUUUUAACAUUACAGGAAGAAAAGUUGUUUAUAAACUGUACGUAUAUAUGUUAACUUAGAUUCAAAUGUGCUUAAAUCAAUUCGUCAAUGAGUAGUUGUAUGUUCUAUAACGUUAAGUAUGCGGGUAAAAGGUUUUGUUUAACAGAACUACCACACUAUUAUAGUACUGUAUAUGUUUGGGAUGGUAAUUAGGGGGAAAAAUCCCUUUCAAAAAGGUACAUUUAUACCAUGAUUGACGCAAUCAUUUGCAAAUCCAGUGGAUCACAUAACUCUUAGAAUACGCAUAUACAACCAUUAUAUAUGUCAACGGGAUCAAUUACUUUCUCAGUUCAUGAAUAUUGAUCAUGUUAAUUAUUAUUUUUAUUUUUGGUAGGAAAUGUGAUAUGUUUUGUUAGCUUUUAGACAAUUGCAACAGAAUUUCCAAACUCCCCCUAUAUAAUUUUUAAUUGCUUUUUGGAAAGAUUAUUCUAAAGCACAAUAAAAAAAUAAUAACAAAUGGAUUUUAAGGAUAGUUAGACGUUUUCAAUGUUGGUUAAUGUGUAAAAGCUACAAUAAUGUAUUAAUGUAUAUCGGUAUGGAACAGAGGGAAAUUAUAAACAAACGUUAUAUAAAAAAUAAAUUAAUCAUGUGUAAAAAUUAAGUAGCUAGGUUCUCAUAUAUACAAUCUUAAGAUAAAUUAUUUUAUUCCUACGAAUAAAAAAUCAGAAGAAUAAGUCACCCAUUUCAGUUUUAUUUAUGUAUAACAUCAAACGGGGUGCAAUAAAGUUCAAAACAUAUACCAUCCAAGGAUUUAGAUAAUUACCACCAUAUAUAAAAUUUAUCCCAAAACCUCUAAACAACGAGGCAAAAACCAUAUACAUGUCACGUACGAGUCAUAUUACUCCUAAAAAUCACAAAUCUCAAAAUAAUAUAUAUUUCAUAUAUUGUUUUCCGAUAUGGAUCGAGACUAUAAUUGAUAAAUCAAUUACCAUUGAGUAGAUGCAUCGAUGACCAAAUAUCAUCCAUGCCCCAAUAGUUUUCACCGGUUUGAUCAUCAACGGUCAUCGGUACCGAAUAAUCCGCUGUUGCAGUUGCCCCUGCCGUGGAAUAAUUUCCCGCUGAAUAGUUACCGUAGUUGAAUUCCAUAUUGGUAUGUUGAUACGACGUUGUUGUAGGAGAAUAAGUCUCCAUCGCUUGAUCUUGUGUACAAAAGACAUUAUGGCUCGUUGUGCUUGCAGCUUGAUCGUUGAUUUCUGAGCUCUGAUGAGAUCCAACGGAUGACGUCGUUGUUGUUGUUACAUCGGUUUGUUUGAUGUAUUUUUGGAUUCUUGUCCUCCAAAAGUUUUUGAUCUCGUUGUCGGUUCUUCCUGGAAGGUGUUUAGCAAUUUUUGACCACCUGUUCAUAUAAUUUAGAGUCAAUUAAUUAAUGACAUAACUAUAUAGAUUAUUAAUAUAAGAUUUGAUGAGCUAAUGAUUGUGUGGGGUUAGAAAUCUAAUCCGUGACUGCAUCGGACCAAGUACGUUAAGAUGAAUCCAAAACAUUAAGGUUUGCGUCUAUUUCAAUUAUGCUUUUCCUUUUUGUCACUAGACUUUUUACUUUUGUACUAUAUAUUAUUGCAUGUACUAUGUUUGGAUCUUUGUAAAAAAAAACAGUUCUUAAUAAUUUUGUUGUGCUAAUAAGCCUUACAAAGUUUAUUGCUUAUUCUUUAGUUAAAAGCGUUACUUUUUUGUUUGUUUAUUAAAAGGAUUUGUAAAGCGGAAUUUUAUGAUUUAGUAAAUGCUUCCUAUCAAAAAAUUUUUUUUUUAAGAUAUCAGAAAGGUGAAACUAGUUUAAAACCAGGAAAAAGGUUAUAAAGAAAAAAAAGUAAAACUCUAAUUCAAGAAUUAUGAAGAUUUAAAGUGUAAAUAUCAUUUGGCUGCUAAAGUCCUUUUUUGAAAGAUUUUGACAGGUAUGAUAAGGUCUUGACGGCUUGACCUAGACCUAAUAACCUAUUACACUUUUCCGUAAUUAGUAUACACAAAAGGAGUUAACUGUAGAUAAAAUGAUAACUUAAUCGCACUUACUUGAAAAAUGCGAUACUUUUUAUUGAAUUACAGAAUCAUGUACCUUGUAAUCUUGGGCCAUAUUUUCCAGCUCUUUGCAUAUAAAACAAAUAAAAAUUGAAAUUCGGAUAAAACAAAACAGACAAGGAAAUAAAUAAAGGCGCGUACAUAUUUCAGAAACGUGGGAAAUCACUUGAUAAUUUCGAGAGACUUAUAUUCCUUUAUAAAUCAUUAAGAAAAAUAUCUGGAAAAAUGUAGCCACGAGUUUCGAUUAAAAUAGGCACGAGGUUUUCAUGUUGUUCUUUAUAAAAAGCACGAGGUUUAAUGUUAGUGGCUAGAAAAUUUCGACACGUGCAAAUACCUCAGAACUAACGGCUAAGAACAAACUUCGAUCAAAGGGUGUCACAAUGGAAUUAAACGCUUUUUUGAUUUAGUCACCAAAUGUGUUGCUUUAUUGUCUUUUCAAAGAUCUACGUGGCAUAUAGCCUCAAGAGUAUAUAAAGGAUUCAAUAUUCGAAGAUUUUGCCUUUGUUCUUUAAUUCUUUCGUUACACAUAGUGUAUGUGUAUCUAUGUCCGUGUCUACAUUCAUUUAUGUAAAUUGAAACUAACCUAUUUCCCCACUUAGCAUGAAGUUCCAUGAUGAUAAGUUGCUCCUCCGGCGUGAUGUUUCCCCGUCGUACGUCCGGGCGGAGAUAGUUCAGCCACCGGAGCCGGCAACUUUUUCCGGUUCGUUUUAGACCUAUACAUUCAUAUAAUCAAUCAUCACAAUCAAUAAUUAACUCGUACGUAUGUGGAUAUCCCCAUAAUUGUAAUUAGCACAUAUGUGUAUAUAUAUUAUAAUCAUGCAUGCUUAUCAAAACAAAGUUAUAGAUUUUUUAUCAUCUUACAUACUUUUGUUUUAUCAUUCCAUUGUAAGAUUAACGUCUUUGAUUUUUUUUUUUUUGGAUUUAGAAAUAUUCUUUAUCAACAAACGAAUAAAAGAAAUCAUUACUCGUUUCUUAUCUAUAUAAAAUGAAAUAAUAGAUAAUAAAAAUAUAAUAUCGAUUAAUAUGUGUAUAUAUAUAUAUAUAUUUAUGGAAGAGACGACAGAAAGAAAAAUAUAUGAGGAUACCUUUGCAUGUUAAGACAAAACCCUAGUUCAUUAUAUUAACAUAUAUACAACGUAAGAGAUAUAUAUAUAUAUAUAUGUGUGUGUAUACAUGUUAUUGUGCUUAAAUAUAAGUGAAAUCUUGAUUUUAAAAAAGAUUAAAUGAACCUGCAGAUUUCGCGAGAGAGUUCCAAACGCCAUCUCCGUGGUUUGCAAUAUAGUUGAUGAGAAUAAGAUCUUCUUCCAUCGUCCAUGGUCCUUUUCUCACCUCCGCUUCACUUGAUGAUCCCGAACCUCCACUACUUAUUCCUCCUCGUUUCUCCAUUUUAUUCUUAUUUAUUUAACUAUCAGCACGAUCUAGUUUUAUAUAAUUUAUAUCUAGAGAGAGGAAUAUGAAAGAUGAGAGUGUAAGAGAGAAGGUUGAGGUGAGUUGAUAUUGAAGGUUGUGGAAGGUGAGCUACUGCUUUUAUAGAGACUAAAUUCACCGCGUGAUUAGCAACCCUUAAUCCAAAUUCUUAAUUAAUUAUGUAUUACAUUAGCUUAAUUUUUUCAAUUAAUCACAAUUUUUUUUCUUUCAUUUUUUGGAUUCAUUUUAUAUUAAUAAGUACAUGGGACUAUAUAUAAUACAUUAAAUUACCUAACCAUAUACAAUAACAUAUAUAGUUUCAUAUCAUCCAUAUGUCCAUAUGUAUAUAUAUAGGCUAAAGAGUGAAGAAAUUGAAGUCUUUGAUGCAUUCAUGCAUGGAUGAUGUAAAUAUAUAUACAUGCAUGCAUUGCUAAUUUAGUUUCACAUACAUAAGCAUGCUUCUUUAUGUGUAGAAAGUAUACCAACUCAUAUUGUUUUCCAUUUAACCGUGUAUAAAGUUAUUCAUUUAGGAGUGUAACGUGUUUAUGUGUUGUAUGUGUAUGUAUAAAACGCUAGUAUUAGGUUCCAUUGUAAUUAAAACCAAAGACACAUCAAUGUGUUAAGAGUACUUAAGAACAAAGCCAAUCAACAAACGAUGACGAAAAUUCAGUAGUAUCAUCUUUUUGGUUUAGAGUAGCAGCCGAUUUCUACAAUACACAAUUUUUCUGAUACUACGAAACAAGUACUUACCGGCAGCACAUUUUACUUUGGAUUGAGAUAUAUGUGAUCACCUAAUAAUAUAACAAACUUACAGUACCAAAAUAAUAUAAAUUAUUCUAAAAAUACUUGUUUGUCUUAGCGAUAUUAAAACACUAGAUUUGAAUACUCCUUUUUAAUUUAAGAAUUGUAUUCUACUAUUCUCUCAGUAGAUAUGAGUUUUUAGUCAUUUUGAUUUAAAUUUCUGUUAGUAGUGGAACAUUUUAAUAUGAUUGUUAUUUUGGAAACCAAAACUUAUUUGAAAUUUUGUGAAAGGUAUAGUUUAAAAUUUUGUGAAAUUUAUCGUUUAUUUUUAAACGGCUGUCUGUAAGUUGAAAAAAAGAGAAGAUUUUAUUUAUAAUUUUUUUUUAAAGAAAACAGUAAGCGCAUAGAACAAAUAUCAUCGCUUUAUUUGUCAAAAUGAUAAUCUUGAUAUAUGCUCAGUUUUCUAAUUUUAUAUGUACAUUAGUAUGAUUUGGUCUAUAGGUAUAAAACGAAUUAUUUACCAACCAAACGCUUAAUUUUGAAUCGGUUUCGCAGUUUUGGUUUGCAUCAGUUUACUUCCCGGCUUAAAGGAUCCGAAGACUUCACGAAUAGACUUGUAUGCCGUUCCAUUCUAGACUUUUAUGUCAGUCUAUUCCUCCCCGUAGCGUAGCGAGUACGCACAACCCUUGAUGUUCUAUAUUAUCGUCACAGGACUCCUUGUCGUUUUUCUAAGUCAACAUCAAUAUUGUCCGUACCUUCAAAUCCCCCUUGACCAAAUAUUAUUUGGUGGUAAUCGUGGUAUAUCUCGGUAAAUUAAUUGGCAGAACAAAUUCACUAUGUACUUCCACAACUCUAUAUGCUUUUGUAGAGGUACUCUCAUAAGGAAUUAGAUAAAGUAAAUUAGUAGAUCACAUUUAAUUGAUCAUGACGCUAAUUAACCUUUUUGUUUUGUUUUGAUAAUAACGCUACUUUACUUAAUCAGCUAGAUGUAACUGAUCCCAUACCCUAUUAGUAAACAAACUAUGAUCAGGACAAAGAAAGUACAAAGAUGGAGACACAAGAAGAUCUGGACCCUCUAAAAGUUAACUCACUCAUAUCCCUAACCAAAUUAAUUAAAAUCCACUUAUCUUAAAAGUGACAAGUGACUAACUCCUAACUUAAUAAAAACCUUUAACAUCCAAAUUAAUCAAUUGAAAUACCCUUCACACUUCAGUUAGCCAAUACUUGCUUUUGUUGCCACAUCCAUGCUCUUUUUUGCGCGAUAACAUGCUUUUAUCUACUUUUUUAAUAUAAAAAAAGUUGUGAUUAGAUGGACUUUGACGUAGCCUGUAUAGAUCUGCCAACGUUAUUGUUUUAGACUUCGAUUUCAAUUGCACUUUCUUUAUUUGUUUCAGCUGCUUAUGUUGUGGGUUUAUUUGAAAAAAUAAAGUACACAAAACGUAAACACAAACAAUGAUGUGUUUUUUUUUCUUUUUUUUUUCUUGUAACAAUACAAACAACGAUGUUUGGAAGUAUAAUUGAUAUGCUUUCGUGUGGUUUUAUUUUAUUUUUACGUUUACUUAAAUGAAAGUUUUAAUAUGUAUACAGUAUGUGAAAUUCUGUUUACAACAUGAAUGACCCGCUUGCGCUUUGAUACCCAACUCCAAAUCGGUACAUAUUUAACAAUUAACAUUUGAGAAGGUAAAUGAUUUAUUGAGCUAAUUCACAAUAUUUUUAAACGAAAAACUAAUAAAUAAAUCCUUUAGAUUUACAAGAGUGAUCGAAACCUCCUCGUUAAAGCAUAGUUAAAGAAUUUCUAUAUUUGAAAGGGCACUUGAUUUGGCGUAUCAUCCCAAAGUUUAAGUACUCUUAAGCCAUUUUUAAGAAAACCCUUUUUGUGUGGCUGCAAUUUAAUUAGGUGGAAACGACUCUUUACUUAAUUACUUCCCUCCUAAGCGCGUCGUAUGCACUUCUCUACUGUCAAGUGUCAACUAUUCACGACAAAUCAGUUUUUUCGUUUCUAUUGAAAAAGUCUAUGUUAAUUGUCUUUGAAUAACAAUAAAAUAAAAAUGUCCUUGCAGUUUUAAAUUUAACUAUACAUUGGUAUUAUCACUUGUGAUUAUUUUAGUACUAGACAAGUAAACAACUAUAAAAUUAAAAUAUCUAUAAUUAUGUAUAAACAAAUGAUUAAAGUCUAGAUAUUCUAUAAAAAUGAAUAGUGAAAACGAAUUAGAAUUCUCCAAACAAAGAAAAUAAAUUACAGAUAUGGACCAGAUAAAUCAAAUAGAAAUUUAUAUACUUUUUUUGAGUCUCAUAUUUAUAUAGGUAAGAGAUUAUAGGAAGAGAUUUUUAUUCUAAAACAUCUUCUUUUUAUAUAAGAUUAAUGACUGGUUUAGUAGCCACCGGCGGUGUAACUACGGAUUUCAAAUCCUGAUUGUAAAUUAGCGCAUCAUCCUUCCAACAUUGAUUAAUUUUGGGGUUCAAAGACAUAUAAAUAUUUUGGUGGCUAAGUGAAUUAAAUGUUUUAAAAAACAUAUUUUUAGUCCACAGUGAAUUACAUUCGUUGUAUAAUUGUAUUACGACUUUUUAUUGCAAUGAUUUUUCAGUUAUUAACUUUUUACAGUGCUGAAUGUCGAUAAUGUAAUCGUUGUUUUUUUUUUUUUUACAGAAAGAAUAAGUGUUUAUCGUACACGCAAGGAAGCGCGUGAAGAAGAGGAAUCUUAAAACAAGCAGAAACUGAAAACGUGGACUCAUCUAACCUUCACAAUAACCAAAUGUUUAAAAAGGGCAAAAGCGUAUUGCUUUAUGUUAUGGAAGAUUUAAUGGAAAGCCACAUAAGUAAGGAAAAAACAAAGCUUAUGGGGUUUAAUGGCAGUGUCAAGUGGCUUAAGCUUCAUUUAUAUGAGUGGCUAUAACAGUGACAAGCAUAAAAUCACCAAUUAGAUGUGCGUGGGGACCUUAAGAGAUGAAGGAACACACGCAUGUGGAUAUUUGAUCCCAACAACUAAUUUUCAUUAACAAAAGAAAUACAACAACUAAUUAAGUGUUUUUUUCUUCUCUGAAUCCAUCCUACAAGUUCUUUUUCUUUAUUUACGAGUGAAUUAGAUUAUAAAUAUUUAGGUAAAUGAUAAUUGCUAGAGUUGUUAUUAGAAAAUAGUAAAAAAAAAUGUUGAAAUUUAUUCUAUGUAGUAUGUACUGUAGAUUACAAUAUUAUAAAUUUGGUAGCAUAUACUAUCACGAAAAUUUUGUGAUAAAGUAGCGGGUUUACGGAUAAGGCAGGCCAAGAAUCCAAUAAGAUGUUGCAUGUAAAUCAAGUACAACCACAAGUUCCAACUUGGCCGAUUGUUUUUAUUUUAUUGCAUUGGACCCAUCUUAAUUAAAUCUUAAAUUCGGAUCCAACGGGUUGACACACGAAUAUUAAACUGUUCUGGUUUCACAGCUAUAACUUGUUCGAUGUGUGUAAGAGAGAGAUGCGGACGCAAAGGUAAUUUCCAAUCUAGGGUUUCUCAUUUAGCACCUCCAUUACCUCGUCCUCUGUUUUCGUCUUCUUCUUGUCAUACAUACAAUUACGUAUAGUUACAUUUAUAAUAUAAUAAAUAGAAAAUAAUUCACAUUUACGGUUAUGACUUAAACGACAAACUCAUCAUAUAUAUCAUUCUACAACUAUAUCAUAUAUUAUCUAUAAUAAAAAAAUUUCUUCAAAUAUGUAUAUUGAUAAAAAAAUAAUUUGAGCCUGCGAGUUAAAGUCUAGUUAACAUUGAACAUUACUAUUUCCCGUCGAUAAACGCAAAUCUUUUUUUUUUUUAUCUCCAUAGAGUUGAGAUAAAUUAGAUUUCUUUGUUCUUUGUUUCGCAAAACAUUUCGAUCUUGAUAUUUAAUUUCUUUUAAAUUUUGUUUUUCUAUACUUUGUAAAACAUAAGCGGAAGCGGAAAAAAUGCUGAAUGUGAUCGCGAACAUACAAACAAUUGAUAAUCUAUAUGUAAAAGCAAACAAAAACACAGUCAAUGCCAAGAAGAAGAAAGAAUAGAAGCAGAUAACAAGCCUUGUCACCAAUGUUGUUGUCGUAUAUUGGCUUACGGUUCCGGUUUACGGUUUCAAUCGUGUAAUUUGGUUUAGUGCUUCCGACCAGGCGCAUUGGGUUAUUAUGGUUUGGUUUAUUUCCCGUUAAGUAAUAUUGUAUUAGAAAAACAAACAACCAAAAAUAUAAAUACAGUUUGAAAAGGUUAAAAAAAAAUGUUGUUGUUGUAAAGCCGGUCGAGACUCGAGACCCUUAUAGAAUAGGCCUUCGUCGGAAGUGGCACAAGUGCUUUGAAUGUACUUGUUUAGAUGAUGACCGAGAGUGUAUAAAUUUUAAAUUCAAGUUUUAUGUUUUUUAUGAUUCCGAUUGAUGAGUGUACAAUUUCAAAUUCAAGUUAUAUAAUUCUAUAUAAUUCUAAAUUCUAUGGGUCCCUAUAAAUCUAUUUUCUUCUAUCGGAAUCAUAAUAGAAUUGUAUUGACCUUAGAAGAUGAGGUUUAUUUCAAAAGGACCCAAACUUUUCUAAACCUUCCUAGUGAUGAAGAGGGUUCGAAGAACUGGUGGACUGCGUGUUGUUUUUUAUGGUAAAGAGAUGAAAAGUAACAAACAUGCCGUUUUUCGGCCAAGUUUUAUGCUGGAUCUAAGGCCUCUUUCCGUACAAGUGGACAUCAUGCAGAGGCCCACAAAAUUUCAAACCUCAGGCCAUGCCACACGCCAAAGGUACUUUCCGGUCUGAUUCCUUGUUGAGAUCAAUAUGUUUUUUUUAUUCACUUAUUAAAUAUAAUCAAUUAAUUUUCACUUAGUUAGUUAGUUGUCUUUGUAUUUAUUGUGGAAAUUUAUAAUUGAUUGAUUGUGUCGUAAAAGAGUUAAAAAGAAAGUUGAAAAAAGAAAAGUUUGUUUAACGGGAUUAAUGGUUAAAGAGAAAAAGAAUUAAAGCAAUGCAACUUUGGUAGCGUGUCUGUUUUGGGUAUAAUUUCAUUGGUUCAAAUCCGAUCAUCGUUGUUCUUAUGGCAUUGAGUAUUAAUUAUUCAGUUACAAAAUCGAAAUUUCUUAUACACUGUUGUCAUUUUAGCUUCUACUGUGUGUGUGUGUCUGUGUGUUUCCAUGCUGUAAUCUUCAACUUUAGAGGAAUUUGAAGUUAUCUCCAUAUAUAGAGAUCCUAUUUUAUAAAUAAUAUAAAUUUUUAUGUAAAACUAUGGACUUUUUAUAGAUACCUUGAAUUUCUAUUAAAAAAUAUGUUCUUUUCCUUAAAAUUUAUCGUUUUGCAUCAUCAUUCAUCCGUUUUUUAGAUAUUAUUUCUUUCCAAGAACUGUAUGGUAAUAAAAAUGAGUACUUAUUAUUAUUCUACCAUUGGAUAUGACAUAUAAUAUCUAGAUAUGUGGCUUUAUAUGCUAUAAAAUUGUCUAUGGCAGAAACAUAAAUGAAAAAAUCUAUAAUAAAGGAAAAAUAAGUAUCACUAAACUUGUCUAUGGCGGAAAAACAAAUAUAAAGGAAAAAUAAGUAUCGAUUCUCCAUGAGGAUCACACAAUUUCAUUUUAAUGCAAGUUUGUGAUGUUAAUAAAAAAAAAGGAAAAAUAAGUAUCACUUACAAUACAACAAACAAAAGUUAAGUAUUAAUGUAAAUUAUUAGAAAUUUGGCUGUAGAUGAUAUUCAUUUUCAAACAUUAAACUUUAACGUUUUUUAAGAAAUUCAAAAUGAUAAUAAAUAAUAAAAUGUAAAUUAUCAAAAAACUAAAUUUUGUGGAUGAUAUAUGUGUAUAAAAAUAUUAGAUGUUUUAUCAUCUUUGAAGUUCUUGGUCAAUGUUUUAGAGUUGAGCCCUGUGGGACCUACUCCGUUUACAGAAAGAAAUUGUGGACUCAAUGUUUUAGAGUUGAGCCUUGUGGGACCUACUCCGUUUACAGAAAGAAAUUGUGGACCCCAUGCACUAUUUCGAACCGUUAGAUUGACAUUACAACACCAAAAAGAUGAUCACACGGCUGGAAAAAACGAUGCUGCUUUCAUGUUCAACACGUGUCCAAACGUGCUCGAGAAUUUUUUUCGCAAGCAUUAGAAAGGUACAAACUACCUUAUAACGACUUCAUGAUUAUUUCAUGACAAGAUUUAAUUACUACUUUACCCUUGGACUAGCAGAUUUUCUUUUGGAAAUAUUUUUCUUAUUCUAAAACAAGUAACCAAAGGCUAGAUUUUUGCCAACUCAUCACUCUUCACAAUUGCUCUGCUCCUAUUUAUAAACUCUUAAUAUUUUACCAUUAGCUUUACUUCUCCCAGCUUUUCCUCUUCCUUAAUUUAAUUGUCAAGCUUGAAUUUCAUUUCAGCUAUCAAUUUGAUUUCUUCAGCAUCCUUUCUUUGCAGUGUAGUUAACUGCUCUUUUCUAAAUCUCUAUGUUCUUCACCAACUCGAUCAUUUCUUAAAAUCUAGUGUUUCUUCUUUCCUUUUCGUAGUUUUUUGUUACUCUAUCUUCUAUUUUCCGUUUGCAUUCUUUGCUUUUUUUUUUCAUCGUAUGGAGUUCGAGUCAGUGAUUAAAAUGCAUUAUCCAUAUCUCGCAGCCGUUAUCUACGAUGAUAAUCUCACCUUAAAAGAUUUCCAUUCAUCUCUUACCGAUGAUGUUUCAUGUAUACAAAAUAUGCAUCAUAAACGUAGCCAGGUUAAUUUCGAUAGGUCACAUCUCCCAUCGACCAUAAACUCCUCUCCUGAUAUUUGUCACAAAAACCAAACAUCGAAGAUCUCAAACACAACCUCCGAUCAUAAUACUCUAAAUCUAAAUAUUGUUCCUAUUCACUUUGAUAUGCAGCCUCAAACAUACGAAAUACCCUCAAAAGAUACUUUUAGAGGCAUCAUUCCAUCUCCAUGCACCGAGGCUUUUGAGGCAUAUCUUCAUGGCAUAUCCAACGACCAAGAUCUCUUCGAUAUGGCCUAUAGCACCUCACUAGGUGUUGAACCCAAGGAUGUACCCAACGUUUCACAUGUCCAACGUGAAAAUACUAUGUGGGAAAAUAAUCAAAACCAAGGACUCGUCUUUGGGACCGAGGCAAUCUUCAAUCUAGCCAUGGUUGACUCUAACCUAUACGAUGCGGCUAAAUCAAUGGGUAUCUCGAGCGCAAACGUUGAUCCCAUCAUGAAUCGACGUCAUCAUAAUCAAAUAUUGAUCAAAACCGAUCAGAUCAAGAAGCACAAGAGAUUUCAGAUGAGGAGAGUAUGUAAACCCACGAAAAAAGCUAGCAUCAUCAAAGGUCAGUGGACUUCCGAAGAAGACAGGUAAAUUCCCUUUUUUUUUUUUUUUGGAAUUCUCAUUGAUGUUUUUGAUUAUAUGGUAUGCUUGUUAUUUCUUAAAAAAGAGUAAUUUACUACACAAGAUUUUUUGAUGAUUCUACCUAUAUUUAGGCUAUUGGUGCAAUUAGUGGAGCGUCAUGGGACUAAAAAAUGGUCACAGAUUGCUAAGAUGCUUCAUGGAAGAGUUGGAAAACAGUGCAGAGAAAGGUGGCAUAAUCAUCUCCGUCCUGAUAUCAAGGUUUUUUUUUUUACCUUACCCUCUUGUUUUUUUUUUUUGUUUUCAUAUUUAUAUAUAUGAUACAAUGAAUCAUACAUAUAUCAUUAUAUCAUUAUGUAUAUAUGGUCGUCAGUGUGUGUUUACAGUAAGAGAAGCAUACAUAUAUCAUUAUACCUAUGUUUAGAUGUCCAUGACACAUCAACGAUGUGUUCAUUAUGUCACUUCAAUUGACAUCGUAUCAUGAUAUGGAUAUAUAAGCAAAUAUAACUACACGCUUUCAAUUUAUUUUUAUGAUUUACACAUAAACUAAAUAUAUAAUUGUUAGAAACUAAAUAUCCAAUUGAAUGUGUUUAUGUUGAUUUUUUUUUUUGGGUGAUGAGACUUUAAUUUAAAAUACUGAUUCUAUUAUAUAUAUUAUAUUAAAAAUUGGUAUACAAUUACAACUUAUUUUUCCACAAAGAAAACAAAAUAUCAUACUCUGUUUGUUCAGAUUCAUAGAGAAAGUUCUAAAAAAAAAUUAAACAAACUUUUUUCACAUUUGUCAAUAUGUCUACGGUCCUAACUCAUGCAUGAAUACUUUAAACUUUUGUUUGUAUAUACUUAUAUGUCUAUGACAUUUUAAUUAAUGCAUUUCGUCUUGUUGUUGUGGACAAAUAGGUCACAAUUGGUAAGCAUUCAAACUAAAGACAAUUUCACGUAGAUUCUCUCGUAACAACGUAACAGACAGAGACAAAUAAUAAAAAUAAGUAAUAUGUUUAUAUGUUACAGAAAGAUGGUUGGAGUGAAGAAGAGGAUAGGAUACUAAUUGAAGCCCACAAGGAGAUCGGGAACAGAUGGGCUGAGAUCGCUAGAAAACUCCCUGGACGCACUGAAAACACAAUCAAGAACCAUUGGAACGCGACUAAACGCCGACAACACUCGAGGAGGAGUAAAGGAAAAGACGAGAUCUCCCUUGCACUUGGCAGCAACACUCUUCAGAAUUACAUCAGAUCUGUUACUUACAACGAUGAGCAUACUCUCAUGGCUGCAAACUCUGACGCAAACGAAAACGUCGGUUCAAGAAACAUGAGAGGUAAAGGUAAAGCUGUAAUCGCUGCAGUCUCUGAGUACGGAGAGAACAGUGAUGAGAAUGAUUGCAAGUAUAUCGUUGAUGGUGUGAUGAACUUGGAUUUAGACGAUGGAAGAAAGGAGAAAACGGCGUCGUUGGCAGUUGGGUCAGGGUCAACGUCUACUUCUGGUUCGACGUCUGGAUCAGGAAGUGGUGUAACCGUGGAGCUUGAUGAACCCAUGACAGAUAGCUGGAUGGUGAUGCAUGGGUGCGAUGAAGUUAUGAUGAAUGAGAUUGCUCUGCUUGAGAUGAUUGCUCAUGGCCGUCUUUAGGUCGCAAUUUAAUCAAGCCAAACUUGAUUAUAUCUUUAAUAUAUAAAACUAUGCUUUAUGUGAAAUCAAAUUUGUGCUUUUAAUUGACAUGUAAUAUAUAUUGUGGUUUAAUGAAUGCUUUUUUUCCCGGUCUCUCGGUUUUUUUUCUUGUUCCUUUUCGGAAAACCUCUCGUUUAACAAAGAAUCUAUAGAUAGUCAAUUUUCCGUCGUGUGAUUCCACAAGUCCACAGCAAAUGCACUUAAUCACUAUUCAAUAAUUGUGUAUCUAGCAGGAGGGUACUAGUGUACCAUCGAAAUAAAAGUAAUUUGCUUACAAAUCACAGUUAGAGUUUUGUCAAAAUGUUGGCAACGAACUGGCUGUAGACUGUAGUGUUUGUAUAUUUCUUUCCCCUUUGGUGAACAGAAAUCAUGUUCUUUGCUUUAAGUACGUAAUAUUUGGUAUCCAUAUUCAUUAACGAUCUUUUGAAUUAAUUUCAUAGCAAAUCGAACUUUUCCAAUCAAAGUUAUAAAAUAAAACGCUUCGUAAGAAUUUUAUGUCGGACUAAAAAAAAAUCUUGCUAUUCCUCAAAGAAUAAAAAAAACAUUAUAGGUGUUCACCAUAAAUAAUAGAAAAUAUAUAUGGCCUUGUAGAUAGGUACGUAUACCUUUUUCCAUUUUGAGAGGUUUUUUGCCUAUUUACAGAACGCACGAGACGAACGACGCCGUUUCAAUGCAACAAACGGAGGAGGUCCCACCUGUUCCUCUCUAUCCACCCUGUCUUGGUCUCCGACUUCUCGGUUUCUGUGGCUCACCGCCGCCAUUCGGAUGCUUCUCGGAUUUAUACGAAUCCCUUAGCUUCCGAAAUUUCUAUUUGACUUCUCCAUCACAAUUUCACGAUUACUGUAGAAAGAAGAAACUUCUACAUUUCUUCUUACAUUUCGUAAGUAUUAAGAACACCAUCAGUUUUGGCUUCUUCUGGAGAAUUUAUGUAUAGAUUUUUUUUUUUUUUUUUGACAUCUUCAUAUAUAGAUAAUAUAGCACAAUUCCUGAAAAAAAAUUUCGAAGUCUCGUCUUCUUCAGACUCGGAUUACAAAUCUGAAUUAUUAUUAUCUCUGUCUCUGUAGGUGAAUCGAUAAGCUACUUGUAUUCCCUCUCAUUUCGAUCUGGUUUCUCUACCCGGCGUUGAUCCAUUGGGUUUCGGAUCUGAAGAUCCGAAUAUUCAGUACGGAUCAACUGUUUAUAGGAAGAAGAAGAAUGAAAUCCCAGGGUGUUUCGGCUUUUACCAGCUUCGAUUACUGGUUUAAUUGGAGAGUGUUUCUCUGUGCGGUUUGGGUGUUGACUCCCAUGAUUGUUGCUUUGUUCGUCAUAUGGAAGUACGAAGAUAGCUCAGUACAAAACCAUCGACGAAUUGAUAAUGACAAUGGUGAUAGUGAACGCAAUGAUGAUGAGCUAUGCAUUGAUGAUGUUUGGAGACCUUGUUUUAAACGAAUCCAUCCCGGUUGGUUACUGGGUUUCCGGGUUCUCGCCUUCUGCUUUCUUCUAGCGAGCAACAUUGCCCGGCUCGCUUUUCGUGGAUGGCGUAUUUACUACUAUUACACUCAGUAAGCUCUUCAAAAUCUCAUUUUACUGUGUAAAAAUCUUCAUUUUAGGGGUUUGUUCAGGAUCACUGAUGCUUUGAGGCACUGAAGUUGUUUCCAUAUUCUUGAUACGAUUGAGACUUGUUUGAUUCGGUGUUGUCUUGGUUUCUUGAUAGGUGGACAUUCACGUUGAUAGCAAUCUACUUUGGGGUAUAUUUUGAUUUCAAUGUUGUGAAUAUAUGUUAUGUUUUGUGUUCAGAUAGUGAUGAUGAAUGUGUUUAUUUGGGUAUGUUCUGUAGAUGGGAUCACUGCUUUCCAUUUAUGGGUGUUUUCAACACAAAAAGCAACUGAGCACGAGAUUAACGGCUGAUCAAGUAGGAAAUGAUGCAGAGAACGGAUUUCGUUUGCCCCUUAUAAAUGGGGAGAACGUGGUUUUUCUCGAGAAGGGAAAAACUUUGGACUCAAAGGCACUACAGUCCUGUGUCCAUGUCUUGCAGAUUAUAUUUCAGGUAGACACAAAUCCUUUUGAUAUGAAUAUAAUUAGUAACUUUUAGAUCUCUGAGUAUAGCAUCGUGUAGAUUAUCUGUGAUGAUCAAUGAUGUUGUUUUGGCAUUUGUGCGUUUUGGUUUUGUUGAAAAACAGAUGAGUGCUGGAGCGGCUGUGCUUACAGACAGUAUAUAUUGGACCGUGAUUUUCCCGUUUCUGUCUUUACAGGACUAUGAGAUGAGUUUCGUAAGUUUCGCGCCAUUUCCUCAAGAAUUUUCCUUACCAUAUACACUGUACUAGUAAAAGCUGGUGCAUGGCACUUUCUAUGUUGCAUAAGUUCUGUUACUUGGAGUUUUAUACUUGCCUUGAAUUUAUUUGAAUCAACCUUGACCGGCUUGAAAACUCGAUCUCAACAUUUCGACUGCAAAUUGUGUUUUCAGAUGACCGUGAAUUUGCAUACGAGCAACCUCAUUUUGCUGCUUUGUGACACAACUCUUAACCGUCUGGUAAACACUCCUUUUCUCUUCCGCAUUUAAGAUGUGACCAAGCGUUUUUUUUUUACAUUAAUGUAUCAACGUGAGUUUUUUUUGGUGUUACUCGCAGAGAUUUCCCUUGUUCAGGUUCUCUUACUUCAUCUUGUGGACAGGAAGUUUCGUUAUCUUCCAAUGGAUUCUCCAUGUUUUUGUCUCCGUAGGGUAAAAACUCGUCUUUUUUGUCAUCUUAUAUCUUACACUUUGUUUCUUGAUCUUUCCUAAGUUUCUAUUCCUCGAUUGAUUUAGGUGGCCAUAUCCAUUUCUCGACCUGUCAAUGCCAAUGGCUCCAGUGUGGUAAGCCUUCAAAACAUUUACAUUCUAGAUAAGUCAGCAGUUUUAUAGAGAAGAAGAAUGAAAAUAUUUUGUUACAUCAAAAUGCUUCAUUCGCUAGACUAUUUUGCCGAUCCUUAAUAGUUUACGUUCAUGCAUCUGCAGGUAUUUGUUGGUAGCACUCCUGCAUUUUCCUUCUUAUGGCUUCUAUGCAUUAUUCGUCAGUAUCAAACACAAACUCACUGCUUAAAGUGAUUUCAAAUGCAAGAGUUUUGCCUCGAAGAAGAGUCAAUUCUCAUUUCAUUUCAUUGGUUUCAACAAUGAAAGAAACACAGUGCAAACAGUACUUUUUACCCAUAUGUACUCAAAAUCUCAGAACAGAAAAGUAUAUAGUUACCACAAUUUUCAAAACAUUCUCAAUCGUUUUGUCAUUGAAUAAAUCUUUAUAGCUGAUCUAAUUUGGUAGUGUAGAAACCUUCUAACGCGAUGAAUGUGAUCUGUUUCAACCAGUCAUCAAAUGGUUAAGUCUUGUGCAAACCAAAUGCUUCAUCAGCCUGCAAGAGAACGGCUUGUGCUAGUCUUCCCCUGUUUGACCAGUUUAGUCAGAGCCAUAUCGAUCUGACCAAACACUUCCUCUUUAGAACAAUUUCCCUUGAUCGUUACCGUUAUAUCUCGGUACAUCGAUAACACAUCUCUGACAUUUCGGUUAUGAGUCUUUAACCGGAGUUUCACCUUCUCUUUGGUAUCAUCAAACCGUUGAGUGAGCCUAGCAGCGAUCUCUUCUGUCUCCGGAAGAGAAUACUUCAAGUGGUAUAUCUUCCCAGUGACAGGAUCUAAUCUACGCCCGAUCACUCUAUCGAUAAGAAUAUCUUCAGGCACUUCAAGGAGAAUGAACAAAUCAGGCUCGAAUCCAAAUCUCUUGAGAGAUGUUGCUUGUGAUAAACUCCUUGGGUAUCCAUCUAAAAGCCAUCCGUUUUGCUUCGACAAAGCUUCUUUCACCAUCGUUACAAGUAUUUCAUCAGGAGCCAAUUCUCCUUUCUCCAUGAAUUCUUUUGCUAGUCGUCCGUUUUCGCUUCCGGAAUCGAUUUCAGCUCGAAGCAAACCUCCAGCUGAUAUUUGAACCAAACCAUAUUUCUGAGUAAUGAGCUCGCAUUGUGUGCCUUUACCUGAAGCUGGAGCUCCUGAUAUUAUGAUUCUCAAAGGCUCAGCUUCUUCCGCCGCCGCCUCUGCCGCCAACGCCGUGAUCUGAAAACUAGUGGCGGUUUGCUUCCGGCGAAGACAGAGUAGGGCGUUUCUGGUGGAUGAAAAAGAUGACCGUGAAACAGAUUUGUUAAAACUGAUGCUGCAGCAGAGUGACUUUGAAGGUGAGACACAUGGCGGGCAUAGAGUCAUCGCCGGAGAAUUCACACAGCUCGCCAUUUCUAUUUCCUCUCCUUUAUAUCUAAAAGCACUACAGAGUUAGAUUUCACAGGCUAAAACUGAUAUGACUUUUUACUUCGAAAAGCAAAAUUGGAGCUUUCUUCUGUUUUAAUAUCCCAAAAUGUAUUUUUACUUUUAAAGUGCAUUUCCAUAACUUAAUUUCAAGCUUUCAAUAGAGAAUAACGGAUUCGAAAAACACUACAAAACUCGGAUCCAAAUACGAUAUCAAUAUACAUACGAUCAAGCAUCAAUUAUCGAGGAUCUAAGCAAAACAGGAUGAGCAAGAAACUUUGAGCUAACAGAAAAUCGAACGGCUGGAAAUGGAUCCGACUCAUAAAUGUAGAGCAGAAAGAUGGAAAACUAUCGAUUAAAGCUUACAAGUAAACUUAAACAAAGCGUUGGAGAAAUAUAAUCUCAGCCAUGAAUAUAUUUGAGGGCAGUAACAGAGAGAAGAUGUACCACUUGCAAUAAGCCUGAGUAUCUGCGAAGCUGAGACGUUUACCGGCGGAGAGGGAGAGCGAUAUUUUCCCGUUUCCUCUAUUUUUAUUGACAGCGACGUGUAAAUAAAAUUUUUUUUUUUUGAUAAGGUGUAAAUAAAUAUUUAUGAACUCACCUCAGUAAAAGUAGCGUAUUUAUCAGAUGAACCCCUAAAAGUUUUUCAAAUUUUUAAUAGGCCCAAAUCUUUUGGCCUUCUGAUGAUGUGGAGCCUUUCAGGAAUCUGAGAACCGCGCGGCGUUGUAUAGCUUGCCUUCCACUACAACGGUAAAAAGGAUCUUGACGCUACCCUGAAUUUGAACUCACUCUCUCGAUUUCUCUCCAUUUCUCUGAGCUCGUUGCUCUUCAAGUUUCGUCUCGCACAGGUGUUUGAUUCUGAUUUAAAGGUGAGUUUGAUUGAGAUUAUCCGUGCAUUUCUCAAUUGUAUUUGCUCGAUUCGUGAUCGGUUUUAGUGGAGUGAUUGCGAGUUUCUACUGGUCACCAUCUCGUAACUUCCUCACACAUUUCCUCUGAAAUUUUCGCUAGCGUAAUCUGUUUGCUAAGUUUGAAUUUGGCGAUUAGUUUUGAGAUAUCAAUCGGUUUCCGCAUCAGGAUCAGAGCAGAUUUUGGUUUAAAUUCGUGGAUGGCGAUGGAAAAUUAGUGUUGGUGUUUUUGAUGUAAUCGCUAUAUCACGCUGAUAAAAUCUGCAGAUCGUCAAAUUGCAAUUGGUCAUGGAUACACACACUCUGAAAUCUGUCUCUGAUUUGCCUGGAAACUUCCGCUCAGCUUUUAGUUUCAGGUAAUAUCCCUUUACAGUUAGAUUUAGUUUUGAUCUUGUAGUCACUGUGUGCUAAUCUAUUUAUUGCUCGCUUUAGAUGUAUUUUUGCUUACUCAAGGAAUGGUUGGAUGAAUGUUAUCUUCAGGAACAUGAUGAUGAUUUGCUUUUCUUUGGUCCUUUAUCAAACACUGGUUGUGAAUCUAAAACUUUCCUUUGUGUUGCUUCUGGCUCGUUUGUCUUCAGAUACUUCAAUUCGCUGCAAAGCGAGUGCUUUCCACUUUGCUUUCACUCCGAUAUCAACAUGGUUAUUUCAGCGCCAACGGGAAGUGGUAAAACCGUACUUUUUGAGCUAUGCAUUUUGAGGCUCCUCUCCAAGUCUAUCUCUAACGAAGGAAGGUUUCUCCAUGCUAAAGGAGCUCUUAAAACAGUAAGCUUUUGAUCAUGAGAUUUUUUGAAUGUUUUAAUGCCUUCGUUUUUACAAUAAAUACACCAAUACUGGACAAUAAGUUUAUUUAUGGUUUCUUCAACCUCUGUUGUCAAGGUUUACAUAUCGCCGUCCAAGGCUUUAGUACAGGAGAAGCUGCGUGAUUGGAAUCAAAAAUUUAAUUCAUGGGGAAUCAGUUGUUUGGAGCUGACAGGUGAUAAUGAAACCUACAGCACAAAGAAUAUACAAGACGCAGAUCUUAUCUUGACCACACCUGAGGUCAGAUAACAAUUUAUAUUGCUUGGUGUAUUUACUGUCUGGAACAUGUUUAUAGCGUCUGAUUUUCCCCAAAGCUUUUAGCCAGAACACAAGCAAUAUAAGACAUUUCAUUCCGUGUUAACGCAAAGUACAUAGUUUGUAUCUCCUCUGGCUGUAGCUUACAUUUUUUCCUACAGAAAUUUGAUGCAGUGAGUCGUUAUCGCGUUACCAGUGGAGGCUUAGGCUUUUUCAGUGAUAUUGCGCUUGUGCUCAUUGAUGAAGUUCAUCUGCUGAAUGAUCCGCGUGGAGCUGCUCUGGAGGCAAUAGUCAGUAGGAUAAAGAUUCUUUCUAGCAAUCAUGAACUAAGUUCAAGUCCUUUAGCCUCCGUACGUCUUCUGGCUGUCUCAGCUACUAUCCCAAACAUUGAGGAUCUAGGUAAAAUACAGUUCACAGUUCUAGUCAUAUUUUGCAGAUUUUAUAACAUAUUGGUUUUUUUGCUUUGUUAACCUGCUUCGAGAGUAGAAAUUGAAAAGACUUGCUUCAAAACAACUAAAGUGAUAAUACUUAUUCAAUUACUGCAGCGGAAUGGCUCAAGGUUCCUACCGCAGGAAUUAAGAGGUAAACUAUGGAUUGCUUUUAGAAAUAUGCCCUUACGUGGGGAAGUGUUUUCAUUUUCUUCAUUGUUUCCCUUCCCAUGUUAUAUAGGUUUGGUGAAGAAAUGAGGCCUGUUAAGUUGACGACUAAAGUUUUUGGUACCUGUCGCAUCUCAAAGUCAAUAUUUUGGCUCUUUAUUUAUUUUUUGUUGUUUAAAUGUUAAGAUGCCCGGGUUGAUGAAUUUGGUUAGCUAUUGAUGAAAUCCUGUUUUCAUGAAUUUUAAGAAAAUGUUUCUUGUCUUUCCUGUAAAGGUUAUGCUGCUGCCAAGAAUGACUUCUUAUUUGAAAAGGUAUACAGUUUCUGCAUCUUGGUUUUCAAUAGCUAUACCCCCUCUUGUCCUUUUCGUAAAAACGGAAACUAAACCAAGUCUUGUUUUCCUUUCUUUUCUUUCCCCAUAUCCAGCGCCUCCAGAACUAUAUUUAUGGUAAGCGGCUUAUCAUGAUUUUCUUCUGUUAUUGCUGUCUUGCUUAGGUUGUAACUUACACCGUUCUGUUGAGGAAAUAUAUAAACUUGCAGAAAUUUUAAUGCAAUUCUCAAAAGGAAAAUCUGCCUUAGUUUUCUGCUCGACACGAAAAGGCGCUCAAGAGGCUGCACAAAAGCUUGCUCAGACUGCAAUGACCUAUGGCUAUUCAAAUCCAUUUAUUAAAAGCAGAGAACAGCUGGAACGGUUAAGGGAGGCUUCGCCAAUGUGCAGUGACAAACAAAUGCAAUCUUAUAUUCUCCAAGGCGGUAUGGUCUGUUUCAUCUUUUAGAGGUUUUGAUCAUACCUUUGAUUCAGCAUUGUCCUGCAAGCUGAAUAGCACCGCAAUGUCCCAAUUAGUUGGUUAUCACAAUGGUGGUCUUUGCCAAAAAGACCGCAGCCUCGUGGAAGGGCUCUUCCUUAGUGGAGAUAUCCAAGUUCUUUGCACGACCAACACUCUUGCUCAUGGAAUCAACCUGCCUGCACAUACAGUUGUCAUAAAGUCAACUCAACAUUUGUACGUCUUUGCGUAGAUGGUUCCAUUAAGAAUUUUUUUUGGAACUUAAGUUAAUAUCCACUGACAUAAUUUUCCUUUCAGCAACAAGGAAAAAGGUCACUACAUGGAAUAUGAUCGUUCCACACUACUACAGGUGUGUUAUUCAAGCAUGUGUAGUUGUCUAGAUGAUAUUGCAUUCUAAUUAUCUGUACAAGCUACUGGAAUGUGCUCUAAAUGAUAUUGCUAGCAGGAGAAGUAAUCUCUCUUUUGCAGAUGUGUGGCAGGGCUGGUCGGCCUCCAUUUGAUGACACGGGAAUGGUUAUUAUUAUGACUAGAAGAGAGACGGUUAUAUACUGCAACUUUUCUCUGUGCCUGAAUCUCUUACUUUAUGUUAACCUUCCCUUAUCUUAUCUGGCUGUGAUUUAUUAAAUGAUUACAGGUCCAUCUCUAUGAGAAUCUUUUGAAUGGAUGCGAGGUUGUUGAAUCACAGUACGUAUUGGCCGAUAAACUUUUUGGAACUCUUUGCUUUUCGGCACAUUCUUCAAAAGCUAUUUGUUGACUUUAAAAAACAUUCUUCUGUUGUUUUUAUGUUUUUGUCUCAGAUUACUGCCAUGCUUAAUAGAGCACCUAACCGCAGAAAUAGUUCAACUUACUGUCUCUGACGUUUCACGGGCAAUUGAGUGGAUGAAAUGCUCAUACCUAUAUGUCAGAAUGAAAAAGGCAUGCUCUUAUGCGCUCUCAAUGAUUCUUACGGUAAAUUUUUUUUUAUCAUAUAUGGUUAAACUAACUUUUAAGUUCGUAUGGACAGAAUCCAGAGAAUUAUGCUAUUAAGAAAGGAAUUCCUAAAGAUCGAGUUGAGAAGCAUUUGCAAGGUGCUCUAGUGACGUAGUUACUGUACUCAUUUUUCCCUUUUGAGGUUCUCAUUUGUCCUAGAUUUUAUCAGAGCUUUGCCUUCAGAAGAUCAAUGAGCUGUCACGUUAUCAGAUGAUUUGGACUGACACAGACGGUUUUGUUUUGAAACCAGAAGGUAUUGAGAUUUAUGAUUACUUAUCUUCGAUUUCGAAACAGAAUUGACUCGUUAUAUUUUGUAGAGCCUGGAAGGCUGAUGACAAAGUAUUAUCUAAAGUUUGACACAAUGAAGUACAUUAUCCAUGCGCCAACGGGCUAUAGCUUGGACGAGGCUCUUCAUAUUGUAUGCCGUGCGGAAGAGAUAUCUUGUAUGUCAUUUCUGCUUCGGUACAUAGCUCUUUUUACUUAAUGAGUAAACUAAUUCUGUUUAUUUGGAAAAAUGAAGGGAUACAGCUCCGACGCAAUGAAAAGAAGACCUUAAAUGAUGUAAAUGCAGAUAAAGAAGGGCGGCUUAGAUUCCACAUCAACGAUAGUAAAGGAAAGCGGAAAAAACGCAUCCAAACCAGAGAAGAGAAACUAUUUGUGCUUGCAAAUGAUUGGUUGACAGGGGAUCCUUCAGUCCAUGAUUUAUCCAUGACUCAGGUCCACCAAUAUUAUAUUCAUGGCUCCCUCUAAUCACUUUAUGACACUUACUUCCUACCUCAUCUGAAAAUUGGAUCUUUUGUCUCAGGACGCUAACUCGAUAUGCUCCAACGGAUCUAGAAUAGCCAGAUGCAUGAAAGAGUACUUUAUAUACAAAAAGAAUUAUAAAGGAACGAUUAGCUCAACUCUUCUAGCCAAAUCACUUUAUCAGAAGCUCUGGGACGACAGUCCAUAUUUGCUGAAACAAUUGCCUGGCAUUGGAAUGGUUACAGCAAAGGUUUGAUGUCUGUCUGCUCUUUAUAAGAUCGUUCACUGCACCUUACCUUUCAGAUGCUUCAAUGAUUUUUUUUUUUCUUGGUAACUUUUGUCUAAAUACAUUCUUUUGCUAGGCGCUUCACUCGAUGGGAGUCAGAUCAUUUGAAGCUCUUGCUGAAGCUGAUCCAAGAAGGAUAGAGAUUGUUACCGGUCGAAAAUAUCCUUUUGGAAAUCAUAUAAAGGAAUCUCUAUCUUCCUUACCUCCAAAAGUAGAAAUCAAGGUCGAAGAAGUUGAAUGUCAUAAGCAAGGUGUAUCUAAACUAGCAGUCACAUUGACACGACUAUCACAACCUCUGCAAUCCACAAAACGCCAUUAUGCUGACAUGGUUGGUUUCCUUAACUUUCUGCAGUUAUAUUCUAACUCUGCUGAAGAUAGUGUACCUGCAUCUCCACGUCUCUGCAUAGUCUUGUGAUCUUCUCAUUAGUAAAAGAUAAGUACUAUAUGAGCUACUAAUCUGUAUCCUUUUCUGGCAGAUUGUUGGUUCAGAGGAAGAAAAUCUUAUCCACUUUCAUGAGAAAAUAAGGUUAUGCGCGCUUGCUUUUCUUCUGAUAACGAAUUGGUUCAUGGACUUUUUACCAACUCUCUCGUGUUUCACAUAAGCCUCUUGUAAGACAUUCAUGUAAAUGUAACUAAUCAGUGAUACUUUUAUGGCAGCAGAAUGGAGGACUUCUCCAGGUCUGUUUACCUGUCGGUCACUCUAUCAUCAUCAACCAACCCAGUGUAACUCUUCGUCGAACAUGGUUUAAGAUUUGAAAUAAUUCUAAUCUUCUUUGUUUCCUCUUUCUAGUCCCUAUAGCGUAACCAUACUCCUGGAAAGGCCCCAACAAGCAAAGGUGACUGUGAAGGCUGAUCUCAUCUUCGAAGAAUACAGUUAGGUCUUCAAAAUAGCAUCACUGAUUUGGUAGCAAAACUUGAUAACCAAGUAGUGAGUAAGAAAUUGAAACAUGAAGUAACUUAUCAAGUGUGUGUAUUUCCGGGAUUUUGUUUUGUAGUUGGUAUUGAUCUCCAUGAAACGCUUCUACUGAAGAAGGCAAAAAACAGCAAAAUAUAUUACCAAAGCGAAAACAGGCUGCCACACUAUUAUCCUCCGAUGGUGGAUGUCUACAUAGUGGAUGAUGACAACACAGUUAAAUCCGGACCUUCAAACCAGAAUGAUCAAAAAGAUGAAAUGUGAGUCCAUUUUUUAGUACUUUCUUGCUCAGAAUGUGUCUUAUUAUCAAAUUUAUUCCCUCUACCCAUAAAUACAUAUGUUUGUCAUGAAUACAACUUUCUGCUCAAUUUACUUCUACAGGCCUAGUUUCAAGCUCUUAGAUGAAGAUUCAGAAGAAGGUUAGAUGGUCACUACAAAUUUAAAUCCACCACAAGUUAUUUUCGUGUGCUUUGUAUUCCAUUAACAAUUUUUCAACCCAAAAUUCCUUGCAGAGAAAGAGCCCUACGUGACGAUGGAAGAAGACGACUGCGUCAUUAUCAAUGAACAUACAGUUUUUGACCACAUACGUGAAAAAGCAAAGUGUUUUCCUUCAUUGGCCACUUUGAAUCAAACCUCUCCGGCAUCAGGAAAAUCAACUCUGAAAAGGAAGAGCUUAUUGGAGAAUUCUCCUGAACUCGAUCCUCUAUUUCAGUAUAAUUCUGUGCUUGGUUCACCUACAAAUACUAAAAAAAUCAAACAAAGCGCACAGAAAAUUACAAGCCCGAGUUAUGCAAGCCUUGCAGACAAUAAUGGUGAGUAAAUCAUCAUUCAUUCUGAAGUUUAUUUUACGUUUAUACACUUUUGGUUAAACUCUAACUAUUAUCCUCCCCAUUGAUCUGAAAAAGGGAAAACAGAAAGACCAUUCUCUGAUGAAACAGUAUUCAACUACAUAAGGAAAAGGUCCAAGAAUUCUCCGGUACUCGUCACAUCAAAAAUCGAGGAUCCCAUAACCAUCUCUUCUCAAGAAGGAAGAAACGCAGAGAUAAGUCCGUAUAAAGCCUACGGAUUAAUGGUUAGUCCUUCUGCUAAAAGACAAAGCAUCACAUUCGAUGCUACUGCAGAAAUGCUGUCCUUUGAUAUCUCAAUGGCGAAGAGAACCAGCACCAACUUAGAGCAGAAGAAAGCAUUCUGCUCGAUGCUUCCAAGUAAGUCUAAAGUCUCUGAUUCUUUUCUUGGAUUUAAAAGCAUCUUCUCGUUUCUGUGACUUUCUCAUUUACACGCCAACACAAAAACUAGCUCCUAGAGAGCACAUGCUAAUGAAGUAAUGAUAGUGGUAGUAAUAAAAUUGGACCGAGGUGGUUUGUAAGUAAGAUUACAGUAGAUGGGAUGCAGUUACAGAACUGCAUGACGUUUUGUGUUUCAAAAGAAAUUUGUAUCUAAAGAUUGGAAGUAAACUGGCACUUUCUACAUGGAUUUCUAAACCAUGAAGACAUGAAGUGAUGCAUGGAUCUUAUAAGUCUAUGAAGACGAAGAGACAACUCAACCUUAACGAAAGUAAUAGAUAAAUGACAAAAAAAAAAUUGUAUUCUGCACUGGAUCAACUGUUUACGAAACAAAAAAAAAAGCAUUAAAACGAGAAAUAUAAAACUACAGUAAUAAGAAAAAAUUGAUGCUACGAAGAGAAACUGUCUUAUAAGCACCCUGACCCUGAAUAUUACUCACACUGAAGUCCCUCCGCUAAAACCGCACUCCGAAGAUCAGCAUAUGUCAGCACAAAACUCAAUUGCUUUCUCUAUUCCCUUUGAUCUGUAAGGUGCAAUGCUGUGGUUGAUACCAGCUUGAGUUGGACCCAACAAAUCAUUCUCAAUGCACUUAUACAUUUCUUUGCAGAGGUUAUCAAUCACAGGACAUAAAAAUUUGAGUUGAUUCUUCAUCAUCUUUAUGUCAUCUUCACUAUAUUCAUCAAAAGGCUCUUCUAAAAUCUUGGAAAGUCUCUCAACAUUACCUUCAAGUUGCUGCUGCUGAUCUUCAAACAGAUUCUUCUUCAUCUCUCUAUCCAAAUCGCUCAUCUCAUCUUUGAACAGCUCUUCCCCAAACAUGUAGAAGGCGAAAGGAUACGAAUACGAAAGAAUCCGUCUUGAUCUGAAUAACAGGUCGACUCCAUCUGUUAGCCAAGUGAGAUCUUUAAACACCAACUGAUCAUUCUUUUCUGAAAUGAACUCUGCCUUCUCAAGAAUGCUCUUCCUACGUUUAUCCUCUAGCUUUGAUGAAUCGGUAUGUGCUUUGAAAUGGUAAUAGUAAUGCGUGUACCUGUUUAAAUCCCUCUUGGCUCUCUCCAUUUGCCUCACUUUGUCCUCUUUGUACCUACCACAACUAUGACCCGAGAUACUCGUCCAGGUAUGGUCUCUUCCAGUAGCUCCACCACACAACCAACAAAAAUGCUGCCCACAAAUACAAGUCAUGAGAUUGCAUCCGUCACUCCUGUGGACAGGUUUGUUGCAUUUGGGACACACCCUCGUGUGAACUGUGAUCCAGUUAACUGUCUCAGACUCAUCUUCACACUUCUUUCUCCAUAGCUUCCACAUCAGACAAGAGCAAGGAGAGUGAGACUCGCUCAGACAGCUGAAACAGAACUGAAGACCACAAGAACACUCGACCUCGACCUCCUCAUCUUCCUCAGCUUUUCUUAUCGCGUUCCCGCAAUGCGGUGUGCUUGGACACCACUUGACCAUCUUGUUAUCUUCCACGUAUGACUCAACGAGGAAACGAUCAAACUUUUCAGCUAACUCCGGAGAAACUAGCUUCCUAACUACAUCUUCAUCGCAGAUCGCGUUGCACUUGUGAGCCAUGCAUGUAAUCCUUUUGCUCUUGCCUUCGUUGAUGUUCACAGUAAAAUGUUCCUUCCAACAAUCGUUGCAAAAGCAAUGACCACACUCCAUUCUCGUCAUCGCAGAACUUGGUAUAUCGUCUUCUAUGCAGAUAUCACAACUCAUCGUCUUCCUCUUCCUCGAACUAAUCAAGGAAGGAUCAAAGACAGUAAGACCAGCACUUUUGAACAAACUGUCUUUGCCUCUGUCACCAUAAACUCCAAUCAACUUAUUCACGUUCCACUGGUAAUGAAUGAGAAGAGUCCUCGCUUGGUUCUCCUUAACCGAGAGUAAUUCCAUAACCCUAGCUAAAACUUCCUUCUGUGCCAGUACAAGAGAUUCCUUCGUGAUGAUCUGGCUCGUUGAUUUUUUGGAGGACACCUCUUCAUGAGCAUGAUCAUCAUUGUAGUAAUCUUCAUAAUUAUCCUCCUCCUCUUCCUCUUCCUCCUCGAAGCUCAAAUAAUCGUCAUCCAUCGAUUUAAACUUUUUAUUAGAAUCAGAUUACCGAGAAAUCGUCGGACGGAGGCGAUCGAGAGCCAAAGGGAGAGAGUGUAGACGAAGAACACGAAAAGUCCUGAUAUGGUGGCGACUGGCGAGAUCUUCUUCACAUAAUAUUUGUAGGACUCACUCGAAUAACGCAAAUCUUUUGGGUGUUAGUUACUUUUAUAGAUAUAUCUUUUAUUUUAUUUUUUUUGGUGCGAAAUAGAUAAAUAUAAGUAUGUUUUCCUAUUCGAGUUGAAUUAAUCAAGUAAAUCUCUUCUUCUCCUUAUUGUAUAUUUUCUAUACUGUACAAAAAGGAAAUAAUGUAGGUGAAUUUUUUUUAAGGUGUUCGAAUAUAUGCUAAAUUUUCAUAGCUUAAUCUGUUGGGUUUCUUUUCUGAGUUCUUGAAAGAUUAAGUUUUUUUUUUUUUUUUUUAUGAUGACUCUUUGGGCAGGAAUUAUGGUAUAUAGCCAACUUAUGUUGGUUCAUUGAUUGAAUGAUUCAUAUUGAGAUAUCAAGCUUUAUAGAAUAAGAUACUGAUAAAAGUAUGUAUUGUAUGUUUGUAUGUAUCUUAAUUUCAUAAAUUUAUAUAUCUUACCUACUUUUUAAAAAUUGCCCCUUUUAAACGACUUACAACAUUUGUAUUUUUAUUUAUUUUGUAUUUUUUAGAUUUAAUUUAGACUCUUCUAAAUUUUCCUUUUUGUGUUGUUUUUUGACAAUUAUUUUGUUGGUUGAUUAGAUUGAACUUGUGACAUGAAGGUAAAAUGAGAGAUUCAAUAUUUCCUUUGAUCUUUUAUUUUGUGAUUUACGCUAGGUUUCUCUUUCGUCUAGAUCUUGUUAGUUUGGUCAUUCCAUUUUCUAUUUCGCAAGGAUUGUUUAAAAGUCUUUGUUUUCUAUGUUGUUUUCAAUUUGUAUUUUCUUUCUUGUUUUAGACUGUUGGCUCAAAAAACAUUCUUCUUUAUGACUUGAUUUGUUUUUUUUAAUCGUAUGACUUGGAUUUUGAAUUUCAUAAUUUAGGAAUAUGUGGAUAGGCAAAAACAUAAAUAAAUAGGAAUAUUGGGUCGUUCUGUAAACUGGAAGAACUCUAGGGGUAGCAAAUCCAAAUUUCGCUUCUAGUUUCUCUCCUCCUCGUCUUGCCUUGUUUCCUUGCAAUUUUAUUUUGAUAACAAAAAGCCCCUCCUCUCUCUCUCUCUACCCCACCCUUCUCUCUCUAAGCUAGCUCCUUCAAACCCUAACGACGAGAGCAGUCGCUAUCGGCGACGUGAUUCUCAGGUUUCUCCUUGUAAUUCUGGAAGGACGACGGCGAAGAAUCUCCGCCGCGGAUUUAGUCUUCAUCGACGAUCGCUGCGCCACUAUUGUUUUCUCCAAUUUCUUCUCAAUAUGUCCAUCCAUUGUUUUUGAUUUUGGUCAUCUGGCCUGAAUCCGAAUUUUGGCUGUGAAGAAGAGCGGCAGAGUCACUGGUUAUUCCGGGAGCACCUGUAAGAUUUAUUUCCCUUUUUCAAAGAUUUUUUUUUUGUUUUUUUUUUAUUUCUGAAGCUCUCUGGGUUCUUAAAAACCCUAAGUUUCUGCUGAUUGCUGUUACUAUUCUGGAGUUAGCUUAACUGGUUAGGGGUUUCGAGUUGUUGUGUGAAUUAGGAGCUUAAUCAAUAGCAUAUGCGAAGCAUGAAACCAUAGUCUGUUGGAUCUCGAGAGAGAUAAUUGUUGGUUUAUAAUCACUAAGGGGAAGAUGAGACUUAGGUAGUUGUUGUACGGCAUUGAUUGCACAUUACAUCGUUAGGGUAUCGUUUGGUCUAUUAUUCUUUGUUGUACAGUAAUCUGAUGGACACUACAUUGUAUCAGAGUCUUGUAUGAGCGACAAGAAGCUCUGCAUUAUCCAAGUGGAUCGAUGGAAAUUUCCGUUUCCUCUCCAAAGCAAAGUGUGUUAUCUCCACCCGAUUGUAUGAGUGACCCUGAGGAGCAUGAGAUCAGCGAAGAGGAGGAUGACGAUCGCAACCAUAAGCACCGUAGGAAAGAAGAGACGAGGUCUCAGUCCUUGGAACAAGAUUCUUCAGACCAGACAUUCUCACGGCCGUACAGGAAAAAUUAUAGACAUUUUGAAAAUGGCAAUACGUUUAGUGAACAUGAAAAGCGGUCUCAAGGGGCAGCGUCAGGACAACGUGUGCAGUUUGAUAAUCAAAGAACAAGAUCUAACCCAAUGUUUUCAAGGGACACUGGUCCUGGUAGAGGUAGAGGAAGUUAUGGCUCUUGGAACCAGCGUGAUUCCAGGUUUAAUCCUGUUGAUCUCUCAUCUCAUAUGGUUCCGGGCAUGUUUGGAGGAAGGGGACUAGCUGGUGUUUCAGCUGCUCAAAGUGCACGAUGGCCUGCUUUUGGAAUGCUUCCUGGAGUUCCAAAUGGUGGCUUGGAUGGUUUCCAUCACUUAACUGGAUCCCUAAGACCACCAUUAAAUGCUUCACUUAACAUGGGUAUUCCUCGGCAGCGAUGCAGAGACUUUGAGGAACGUGGUUUCUGCCUCAGAGGGGACAUGUGUCCGAUGGAGCAUGGAAUCAAUCGUAUUGUUGUCGACGAUGUUCAGGUAUGUUUUCAUGAAUUAUUUGUUUUGGAUCGGAUUUUAAUUGAAAGACACAAUAGAUCCUUGAGGCUUUGCUGGAAAUUUGAUAACUGUUUGCAUGAUCCUAUCUAUACUGAUUUUCUUGAUUAAGUUGCUAGUAUUGUGACCAUUUUAUGCCCUUCAGCAGUACUUCUGGGUGACAUAAAAUUAAACUCUUUAAUGUUUUCAGUGUUAGCUCUACGUGGCAUGGCUCUACUUUAUUCUGAAUUUUAGAUGCAUAUUAUCUUGAUUCUCAAAUAGCAAAUACUUUGUAUUGCAUGAUAAAUUUCGUAUGACUACUAUUUUGUUACACUGUUCUUCUCUUGUGUAUACUUAAGUGAUUAAAUUUCCUUCAUUUUCCAUUUGUGCAGAGUCUAUCACAGUUCAACCUUCCCGUUUCAGCCCCUGGUGCACCUCAUCUGGCAGCUUCUUCUAAACCAGUGCCUGCACAGUUUGGGUGUGCUAAUUUCAUGAAUACUAAAGGAGCUCAUGGGAAGAUUAACGAGGGUGGAAUGGCUGUUGAUGGCUUGGGUUAUGGUGAUGCAUAUCCUAGUGUAGGUGGAACUGAUUUUUACGAUCCUGAUCAACCUUUGUGGAAUAACAGUGCUGGUGAAACAUCUGGGGCAUUAUCUGCACUAAAUCCUCAUGGGAUUGAUGAGAAUGUAGCUCUGGAUGACAAUAACCAAGAUGGUCCUGAAAAUGCGUGUGGUAUUCGAGACUCCAAAAGCACAAGUCAAUCGGUUUGGGGCAGAAUGCGUGGUUCUAAUAGUCAAGCAAAUUUUAAAGAGAAAGCUAAUGCAGUAUUAAAUUCAUCAGCUGGUCUUGAUGAUCAAUUGAAGGAAGUCUCAGUAAAUUCAUCCCGCCACGGUAAACAAAACCAUGUUGGUGAAAGUGUCUCAAAUGAUGCGAUGAACAAUACAAGAAAACCAGCGCAAAAGGCAAUGCGGACUCUAUUUGUGAAUAAUGUUCCCCACGAGAGCAACAGAAGGGACCUCAUUCUUGCCCAUUUCCAGAAAUUUGGGAAAGUUAUUGACAUUCACAUCCCAAUAAAUAGUGAGCGAGCAUUUGUUCAGUUCUCGAAACGCGAAGAGGCUGAAUCUGCUCUCAGGGCACCUGAUGCUGUGAUGGGUAACCGCUUUAUCAAACUUUGGUGGGCAAAUAGAGAUAGUAUACCUGAUAAUGGGCUGUCCACUGGCAAUGGUGCUCCGAUGAAAGGUCGUGGUAUGACUGCUUCUGGAGGGCAGAACCAGCUUCCUAUUGCUUCAGCAUCAAAAAGCAACCAUGCAUCUUCCAUUGCAAAAGGCCCCGCCUUUCACACCGGUGGAGCUCCAUCAUCCUCUGAACAGCCUAAGUCUGUGGGGGUCACUAGUGGUCCCAAGGUUACUCCGCUUCAGCAGAAAAAAGCAGAAACUCUUGAGCAGUUGAAGGAGGAACUUCGAAAAAAGCAGGAAAUACUGGAGCAGAAGCGUAAUGAGUUUCGCAAAAAGUUGGCGACGUAUCAAAAACAAGUAAGAACAAGUUACUAAAUCCCUUCAACCCCGUCAAUACCUUUUUGAGGGAAAUUACAGUUUAAGCAGUCACUAGAAAAUUAAGCAGAAGUAGAAGUAUGAGAUUCAUAUCAUAUUGCUCUAAAUCUUAUUUACUCGGACAAUAUUCAUAUCAUUUUGCUCUAAAUCUUCUCAGGGUACGGUUGUCAAGUGUGAGGAAGCAGAUGAGCCAGAUGCUAAGCGCGUUAAAGUAGACACAGCCUCUAGUUCUGGUGCCGCAAUCUCAUCACCAAAAACAGAGUCAUCAACAGAUAAGAAAGUGCCUAUCCAGAAACCACUGUCUACUGCUAAACUAAGCACAGAAACGCAAUCACCCGAUUCAAAAAUCUUGAAGCAAAGACCUUAUUCAUUUACCACAAGUUUGAACACUCUUAUGGUAAAUAGGUAUAAGUUAGACAACCGCACCACUACCAUCAAAGUGGUUCCUCCUCUGCCAACCGGGUUAGCCGAUGUACGAUCCCUUUCUUUGCUCUACUUUAUGAAUGUGCAAAACUUUCCCAUUUUUCAAAUUAGAUACUAUUGAACUCUACCGGUAUUAUUAGGUCACUUACUGAUGGUUUGAACUACUUUCUACUUCUAGGUUGCUGUCUUAAAGGAACAUUUUUCUUCUUAUGGCGAAGUCUCAAAAGUGGAACUUGAAGGCAGUGCAUCAAUUGAUAGUGGCAAGAAUCAAGAUGAAACAUAUAACGAAAACUGUGGAGCUUGUGUCACAUUUGUGAAACGCAGCGCAGCCGAGAAAGCGUUUGCUAAUGCAAAGUGCUGGCAAGAACACAUGUUGCAGCUCGUGUGGGUAACACGUCAAAGCAACCAAAAGAAUAAUAGUAGCAAUACUAAUAAUAAUCUCUCAGCUUCUCGUGACCACCUUAGCAGCAAAAACAAGCCCACUUCUUCUGUUUCUAAUGACCCUAAACCAGCAGAUGAAGUCAAAGCCUCCUCCUCUACGGAAGAACCAGAGAACACAAACGUCUCUGGAGAAGAAAAUUCUGUGGAUGAACGAGAACGAGAGGCCAAUGAAAGCGACAAUGGCAACCAUAAAAGUAACAGCGAGUCCAUUGAAGGAGCUUCUAAAGAGAUUGCGGCGUCAGGUACCAAUGAAGAACAGUUGGAACAGAGAAAUGAUUAAGUUGGGAAAGAAGAUUCGUCAGUGAGGUCAACUUUUGUCGCAGAAACAUAUUUUUUUUUGUUUGAUCUGGUAUUAGUGUUGUUUUCUCCGUUUUAGGCUCUUUAGCCAAUUCGUGAGACGUUAAUAUUUGUUGGUAGCAAAGAGAUAUAUAUUUAUAUAUCUAAGUUUUUUUUUUCCUUUUUGUUGGAUAGAAUGUGACAAUAAGAAAAAAGAGAAACGAAAAAAGAAGUGUAUAUGUUACAUUUGGCCUUCCAAAGAACAGUGGUUGGGUACAAUUUCGAAUUCUGUUGUACAUACAUAGUUGAAUUUGGACACUUGCUUUAGCCGAGACGAAAAAUAGUGUGGAAUCUAUAAACGGCACGCAUUUUGAAAGUUUAUCCAAUGUUCGCAUUUUGAAAGUUUAUCCAAUGUUCGCAUUUUGAAAGUUUAUCCAAUGUUUAUCCUUAUUUUGUUUGCUAAGAUCGAUUCUUGGAACUUGGAAGUAUAUUAUUUCUUUUAAUUUUCAAAUUUAUUUAAGUCUAUUGUAGAAAAACGAGAUUGAAAGUCGAUGAUUCUCUUAGGAAAAAAAAAGAAGGAAAUUCGUGAAUCUCGAUAGUGACACAGCCGUUCACAAAUUUCUUGUUCAAAAUGACAAACGAGACAAGAGCCUCAAAGCUGAUGAGAAUUUCUUUGAUCAAGCAAUAACUUUGAACCAACAGACUCAAACAGUUUCAUGCAUUACAUGUUUAAAGAGAUAAGAUAUACAUAAAUUUUUCAAAUCAAAUUCUAUUUUCCAGGGACGAAGUUGGUGGCGUAAGACCAGGCAUUGUUAGCCACAGGGUCCGCAAGAUGAUCGAAGAGAUUCUCGAUCGGACCUUUACCAGUAACAAUGGCUUGAACAAAGAAUCCAAACAUAGAGAACAUUGCAAGACGACCGUUCUUGAGCUCCUUCACUUUCAAUUCCGAAAACGCCUCUGGAUCCUCCGCUAAGUUCAAUGGGUCAAACGCUCCACCGGGGUAAAGUGGGUCAAGCCCUUCACCAAGAGGCCCACCUCCGAUUCUGUACCCUUCAAUUAAGCCCAUCAACACAACUUGAGAAGCCCAUAUGGCUAAGAUGCUUUGCGCGUGGAUCAAGUUAGGGUUUCCGAGGUAAUCAAGUCCUCCUUCGGAGAAGAUCUGAGAUCCUGCCUUGAACCACACGGCUUCACCGAACUUGACUCCGUUUUUGGAGAGAAUCUCUGGGAAGGUGCAGCCUAAAGCGCCUAGCAUUGCCCAUCUACUGUGGAUCACUUCGAGCUCACGGUUCUUUGCAAACGUUUCUGGGUCGGCGGAUAGACCGGCGGUGUCCCAACCGUAGUCUCCGGGGUAUUCUCCGGUUAGGUACGACGGUGUGUUUUCUGAGAAUGGUCCUAAGUACUUGGGACGGUCUGGUCCGUACCUGUCACGUGUGGUUAAUGGUGAUUAGUUAGAUUAAAACUGAGGAAACAAAAAAAAACACGGAUUGAUCAUUUUGUCCGGAUAAACCGGUUUGAUGCGAUCCAGAAAACCGAACUGAGUUCAACACAUGAGCUUUAUUCAUUUUAAGAUAUUAAAAAAAAAGGAAAACCGGAGAGCGAGAUUGAGGAUGGAACCAAAUGCUCUGAGGAGUAGACUUGACGGUACGGCGCAUGACGACGCGGCCACCGCCGUUGGAAGCUCCAACUUUGCGGAGGAGAUCGUUGGAGGGCUUGAGGGCCGUUUGGCCGGCGAAUGAAGAGUGUUGGAUUGCUGACGUGGCCAUUCUUUGAAUCUGAGAUGAUGUGAUGUUGGUGUUAUGCAGAUGAAAUGGGUUUUCGUUUUUUUUUUAUAAUAGAGAUCCGAAAGAGUUUAUCUUGAAGGAGAUUUGCAGAUGGAUAUGUCUGCGAGUUCUGAUUGGUUGGUUUCAGAUUUUCCACAAACUCGGAUCAAGUGGGGCAGGAGAUGGGUAGAGGUUGUGAUUGUGCCACGUGGCUGUAGGAGAUCUUGUGCCAAGAGGAUAGUGUUCCAAGUCCAACACACUUAUGCGGCUUCGCUUAUUGGUUAUGCUUGCGAAUUGCGCGAUUGCGAUGAUAAGCUCAUAUCGUUACACAAUGAGAACAACACUAAACAACGCAUUGCCCAUAUUAAAUGUAUGCAGGUUGAGACCAGAAUAAAUAAUCUAUUUUUUUUACAACAAAUAAAAAAUCUAUUAUAAACCAAUAACUAACAAUAUCUCUUUUAUGAAUACAACAGUGAGGGACCUGAAGGCCAUGAAAAAAUUCCCUUCAUAAUCACCAAACUACUCCGAAAUUAUAGUCUCCUGGCUAGAUAUAAAAAUCAUACAAUAUUUGCAAAGGAAUCAAGGUAUGGCCAUAGCAGCAAGUCUAAGCUGUUUCUCAAGAGGCAAAUGGUCUCUGAAGGCUACACAAAUGUGAUGCAUCACCUUCACAAGCAUUGGCGCAUAAUCUCUUUCGCUUCGCUCGAUAUGCUGUGAGCUUCGCCUUGCAUUACCGUCUGAGUCAGUUGCAAAAUUGUAAACACGUUCCAAUGAUGUCCAUAGAAACGAGAUGAAAGGCUCUGCGACAACUUCCCAGUUGGGAUCAGACAGGAGAGAAGUUACGGUAACAGACAUAUCGCUCAAAACCGUGGAUCGGUCUAGAGUGAGAAACGGCAUGUAUUCGCAACAGAUGCUAGAGAGGAGACCAACAAAGAGAAUAGCCUGUCGAUGAAGCAAAACCAAUUUCAACGUUAAAAAUGAAGAAGAAGAGGAAGAUAAUCUCUUUCGAUGGAGGAUAUCUUAACACUGAUGUGUCUUACAUUGGAAGGAUAGCUAGAAACGCAGCUGAUUUCAACAGCAUCAAUGAGCCACUGUCUUUUGAUUCCUCCUUCGGCGUGAUGCAGAGCACCUAUUAUCUCAAUGUGCACAUCCCAGAUAUCUAACAAAGACGAAAAGUUUGAUUGUAUCAUGAUCUUUGAUUGUAUCUAGCAUGUAUAUAGCAAUUGAGGAUAUUAACUGACCUGACUGUUCACAAUUUAAUAUAAUUGCCUUCAAUUUUCCUAACUCGGAAAAUGGAAUUGAGCCAAGUCUUGCUAGCCUGGCUUUUGCCUGGAUUUUCUUUAGGUUACCUUGGAAGUCAAUCUUUUCGUUUCCAGGGUCAAGACUUGAAACCUGCAUGCGAGAAAAAUAUCAGUUAAGUGGCUAGAUGUCUACAAAGAUGAUAUAUACCUUACAAACCCAUGCAUAAGGCAGCUAUUACAUAUACCUGUAGAAAUUUGUAUAACCAAUCCCGACCCGACUUCUGCAAACAUCUAACUGCCUCAUACCAUUCUUUCACCGGACCCAUCUGAUCUGCUUUCGGAGAUUGUGAUGCUACUGGUAAGACCGCAAAAAGCAAUUCUAUGCAUUUUUCAAUCUUUGUGAUGUAUUCUGAAGAUUCAAGCGAAGUUCCUUCGAGACACUGACUCAGACCUUUCCAACAAGAGACCCUCAAUGAGCUUUUCUGAUCACAGCUAUAUUCUUCGUCUGAAGAUAGCGAGAUUACGAAGCAACAGAUAUCGUCAAACAGUUUAUCCAUUCUUGAACCUGAGAAUAUUCUCAUUAAAUCCCCUAGAUGACAGAGCAGCCAUGACUGGAGACUCUGCUCUAGUGCCUUGAAUCUGGAUAGUUCAGACAACUCGUCCAGAAAAGCUAGAAGUUUAUCACAUUGACUUGCGUGGGCUAGUGAAAAUUUUAAGCACUCUUCCCUAAGAGUUAUUUCCUUGGGAAGAUCUCCUGAUUGCGAUGCAUCAGUCUGAGUCUCUUGUUUCAUUAACCGCCUUAUUGUUGCUCCCCAGUCCAAGUUUGGCAACCUCGGAGCAUGAGACAAACACCGCAAAGCACUUGCCACUGUGCCAGUAUUCAGAGAGCUACCCGCCUAAAUAUCAACAAAGAUUAAUACGUAUGGAACAGACUGAUAUCUCUAUCCUGAACUAAAUCAUAUUUUUAUUUGACUGUUGCAGAAAUUUAAUGGAACCUAAGAUUUUACAAUUUCAAGUUUCCUUUUAUGUUCCAACCAUCAAGAAUUAGAGAAGGUUUAAACUAUCAGAAAGUUUUAAGCAGACAUACCGAAGGCAAACUUGGAUUUGUCUGGCCUCGAGCAAGUUUCAUGACCAUGGCAUGCUCAGGAACAUUGUGGGAGAUGGAAUUACGGUGAGAGUCAUCAGACUGGAUUUCAUUACUGAGACUUGAUGCUUCCCCGGACCGCAUGUAAUUUCUAAGAAUUGAGAUUGCCCAUGCAGCAUAAUGUUGCAGCUGGCGAUCCUUGGUAUUUUGUGCGAUAAGGAAUAUUUCUUGCACAGUUGGUGUCAACUGCUGAGUAAAAUAUGAGUUUGAAAGCAAAGGACCUGACACGUAAGAGAUUUCCUGUAGCAAAAUAAAUGGACGUUAGGAAUCCUUUCACAUUAACCGGCGAAUAAAAGAGAAGACUUUCGAGAAAGAUGGACCAGAGAAUUUACGUUUUCCUCAGAACUGGAAGGAGGAGCACGGGGUAGAGGAUGGGAAUACACCAAAUUCCCAGCACUUGCUCCUAAAACAUUAACAACUCCGAGCAUGCCACCAAAGUGAAUAACUGGUGGGUGAAGUCCAGAGUAACAUGUCUUGAACAGCUCUAGUAACCCUUUUACAGACUCAAUCUCAACAGGGUGGAUACCUUCAUUCAGGACAGAACCAAGGAGGUCUCCCGCCCCGAUACAGGACGCCAUCAACAAACUCUUAUGAAAAGCACCGGACUUUUUAACAAUUAACAACUCAGAAAUAAGGUCCUUGAAACAAUUGAUUAAAUGAUCUACCUCAUGUGUAUCAAACAGUUCCACUUUUUGGCAGAAAGUGAUCACUAUUGGAAUUGCAAGACAGGAACCGGCUGAAAAAACUCUCACUGAUACACUACUAUUAGAACCUGGAGUUUGCUUAAGAGAAUCAGCAUAUGGGAUCCAUGAUACGAUCAGGUUUUUAAUCUUCACAACAGCAUCUUUCUUCCCAGCUCUGUAUAUUGCACCAACUGACAUACCCAAACCUAUGAUGAGUCCAGCAAUACCCCAUGUAUCAUCAUCAAAAUCAUUAGAAUUCUCAUCCAACAACUGAGGUAAAUAUGUAACGUUGUCUUCCUUUCCAGGUGGGAACAGCGCAGAUAAGCUUUCUAGGAUAUUACACGGAGUGUGUAGGAAACGAUGCAAAAUUGAAGAAAGCAACCUCACGAUCCUUCCUAAUAGCUGUUCCUCUUGAUUCCUGUAGGACUUACUGUCUAUACCAGAACUCGCAGAGACUUCAGUCCGAGUGAGCAGAUCUUGGCAUGAAAAACCCAAUCCAACCCCACAGGCUCCUUUUACAAGAGUGCUUUUACUGCUGCACAAAACCUGCAGGAUAAAUAUUAUUUUUUAGCUGCAAGCUUACUUCAAAGUGAAAAGAGCUCAUGUAACGAGUGAGAAAGAUUAAGACUGAUUUUGCAUGCAUAUUCUUCAAAAUUACUACUCAGUAUGAGUUUUCAUGAAACAGUUGAACAAUAAUUUCCACAAGUUACAUUGACCAAUAUGGUCCGUGGCGUAAUUAACUCAUAAGUAUAGACAGUACCUCAAGAAGCCCAGAUAUAUUCUGAAAUUUCUGCUUGUGGUCAGUCACGUGUAAAGAUGACGAAAUCAAUCCAAGAGAAAUACCAGCGGUCCACUGACGGUGUUCAUGCUCAUGCUCCAACAACCAACCCAACAGAAAUUUUGACGCAGUCGCUUUAAUAUUAUGAGCAGCAGCUGGCAAAGCCUGAAAAAAAAAAAAAAAAAAAAAAAAAAAACAGAUUAAACCGUAUAUUGAGACACUUGUGCACUACAGAUAUGGAAGCACAUUUAUAUAAAAUCUUACUUCACAUAGUGCCCCCAGCGCCAGUGCUAUAUUUUCUGCAGACCUGGGAAGAGUUUCUUCAGCCAUGUAUACUAAACUCUACAUGAAUAACACAGCAGAAUCUCAAUAAAGGUUUGAUCACUUCAAAAAAUUAUUUUGACUAAGCUGCUACAGAAACACAUUAUCUCGAACCUUCAAGAUGUUGUUUGCAGCUUUAGAAGUUUUAUCAGAUGAUAAUUCUGUAGCCGUUGCAUCAAUGGACAGUAUAUUAGCUUUCAUCCAACGCCGCAUAAAAACUUUCAGUGAUUGCAAUGAAAUCAGUGCAAGGGAAAUAUUUCUUGAGAUCUGGAGAGAUUUGAUUACUACUCUAAAUGCCUCCUCGUAUUGACCAUGGACAUCACGAAAGCUCUGCGACUAAAAGUAUGCAACUAAGUACGCUGAAGCAUAGAAAAUCUCCUAGCAGAAAGUUGAAUAUUCUUACUCUUGAUGACCCAAACUUCACAUCUCUGGGACUAAAAGAUAGACAUAAUAAUGCCGCACCUGGUAGUUCUCCGGUCUUCAUUCCUUUCCCUGUGAGUCAAAUGGAUGGUGCUAUGGUUAGUUCAUGCGAAGUAGUAAGAAAUUUACAUAACUGAUUAUCAUAAAUAUUUAGCGAAAAAUUCUAUCCAUUAUGAAAACAUGAAAAGAAUUAAGCACUCGAUAAGGUCUAUCCAUUAUGAAAACAUGAAAAGAAUUGAGUAUUCGAUAAUCUUAACACUGCAUAUGAUGGUUCACUACAAACGCGCUUCCCAUUUGUUUAACUGAAGAUGGAACUAUAAAUUUCAGCAUUAUCUUAUUAGAAUGUCAAGUUACAAAGCACAACAAGAACUGAUAAUUAUAAACAGGUGAAGUUAGUUAUUAGGCAAAAAAAAUGCAGACCUGCAGGGAAGAUGACCUCAGGUAUCACAUCCAGCAGCUUCUCAAUCUUACUACCUGGAACUCUCUUCUCUCUUACAUAUCUACGCCGGACGCUGAAAGGUCAGAAAAGAAGCAGUUUCAGUACGCUCCUCAUGAGGACCUAAGCCAGAAAAGUUCAGUAGACUACAAGCUCUAUACCUAUGCUCGUAAAUCAUGAUCUUGAUUGAAAGAGCUUCUAAAGCAUUCAGAAUUUUCGCAUUGGUCUCCGAGAAGAGCAAAUGUGUACAAUUCUUGUUCAGGUCAGAAAUUUGUUUGUCCAUAAGUGAUACCUGGAAAAAUAAUGGAUCAGAAUUACAUUAAAAAUGUCAAUAUUAGUAGUUAAGGACCAAAGGAAACCAAAGAUGGCCUGAAACACACGUAAAAAAAAUACAUACAAGAUACAUAAAUUCAGCACGUACCUCAUACUGACCAAGGGCCAUCAAGGCAGAGACUCUUGCCUUUGUCCAUCGGGAAUCAUGAGGCAUCUGCAUAGAGCUCCCAAUUUCCCACAAAAUGUUCAGAACCUUUUCUGCAUCCUCAGGAUAUGCUUCAGCAUCCAUUGCACCCCACUUAAGAAGAAGGCAGACACUACAACAUAUUCAUCAAAAUAAUGCUAGACGUCAAAUAUUUGUUUAGGCACCUCAAAUUACAAUGGCUAAAAGAUCCAUGCACCACUUUGAACACCUUAAUCGUGCCUGUAAAUAUGAUUCGGGAUAUGAACUCCGCUAACCUAUGAGCAAGGAGAGGAUCAUGUUUGAUGUUUUGAGCAUGCUUCUUAAUGACACCCCAUGCCGUAUAGAAAUCUAGAUGGACAAAGCAGAAGUUACAAGAUAAAAUAUGACGUGAAAUACAAACGAAUUGACUAACAGAAACAAGCAUCAAGAGAGUACCAAUGACAUCGGCUUCACAAAGAUGGGAAAGGCUCUGAAAACCAAGAGCUCGAACUGAGGAGUCUUGGCUUUCUAUACAGGCCUAUCAGAGUGUGAGUCCAGUGGAAAAUUUAAUGGCACUCCAAAAGUUUCAAUAUAUAGCCAAAGCAGUAACAGCAAACUCGUUUGAGAAACUAUACCUGAACGGACAGGAUUAGGUCUACUCCCCUAUCAGGGUGGCUCUUGCAUACAUCAUGAAUGGAAGCAGCCAUACUAAUGCAGAUAUGUCUCUCCGAAAUAAAGUCUACAAAUCCUUUCGGACGUAACACCUCCUGAGUACUUAAAAUAAUUAGAAACAAAUAAAAAUAGUACAACUUGACUUCAUCAAUGUUGAGCAAAAAUUCAUCUAGUGGUAGAGAAUAGCUUACUUGCAGACUCGGAAAGGCACGGUCAUUGACUACCCAGGUCUGGCAAAGUAAUCUUAUGGCUGUAGCAUACAACAAACUAAAAUGAACCAUCAUCAGAGCUACACAUAUCAACUUCUUUUCAAUGGCAGUACAGAUAUUAAAAAAGGUAUAGCGCAGAAACCCGAUUCAACAAGAUUGAUAAAUGUAGGCUAAAGCAUGAAACAUCAUAUACUACUCUUUGGCUUCUAAAUCUACCUGUUAUAUUAUAUCAUAAGCCCAUAAUCUGAAAAGUUAAAGCUGUUUCCAAAGACUACCCGUUUACUAAAGAGCAAAGGUGAAUAUCGAGUAUUGCAAUGACCAAGUAAAGGUUUCAACCCUAUUAUGAAUACGGUUAAAAAGAAACAUGAUACACAAGAAAUUAUCAGAAAAUGGUGUACUGACCCUUUCGCAUCCUUGUGUAGCAUUGGUGUAAUAGUCUGAACUACAAGUGGAAUCAUCACCUGUUGUGCAGCUAGUGAUGGGAGCAAUCCCAGAAGUUUUGUCUGCAAGUCAAAGAAAUUAAAUGGGAACUAGACUAAAGGAAAAAUAAAUAAAAGAAACAAACACUUAAAUUUGAAGAUAAAGGAGUUAACAAAAAAUGAAUGAGAGUAGUCUCACCAAUAGACUCUGACAAGGAACGUCAGUUCGAGAUAACAAGUUGCUGUAAUAUAGAACAACUAGCAAUAGCGGGACACUCAUCUUCGGGUCAAUGCCACCAAUAGCACUCAAAGAAUCAAUAGCCUCAGGUCCUAGGGAUGGAUGCAUCACCAAGACACCAGCAACAGCACCAAGUAAAAUAGGUAUCACUUGCGAAAGACUAAACGAUCCAGAUAACUUUUUCCUAUCACAAAACCUUUCAGCAUGUUCCAUAAGUAGUGAAUUCCAAGUCGCUGAUCCAGGAUAACUUUCCUGUGUUUCACUUCCAUUGAUGUAAGCCACUCUGAGGAAGGAAGACGUGGAAGGUGCAUAGUCAUUCUGGAAAAAAAAAGAACAUUCAAAGACUCAGUGAGCAAUUUGAUUCUUAGUUUCUUUUGAGAAAUAUAUUGAUAUGGGCAUAAAUCAAAUAAAUAUGCGUAACUCUCGAAGGAGUAGCCAUUUAAAAUAACCUAACCCAUGAGUGGAUCUAUGCAACGUAUUAUAGAAAAUAGCAGGUUCCUCCACAGAAAUUAAACCUGAUGCCAGAGUUGCUGCAUCAUCCUAAAUACGACAGAGCCCACCCGGCUGAGUGGUGAAUAUUCCUUACUUGUGUGGACCUCAAUCUUUGGUGCAUUUGACAUUGUUACCAAGACAUUUUCUACGAUGGAAAGAACCUUACUUGCUGCACCUUUGACUGAUUUAGAAGGAGAAGACAUCAGUGCGAUGAUAGGGAAAAAUAAUAGAGGCUCCACACUUGAACAGGCUGCAUCUACCGACAAAUUUUCUACAAAAGAAUUGAAAAGAAUCAAUUCUCAGUCAACAGAAAAUGCACACAUCACUUUUUGUUUGCCAAAAUAUAAAGAAACAGGGAGUCAUGCUAUAGCAAGACACACCAAGUUGACUAGUAUAAAUUAGCUACUACACUAAUAGACAAUAAAUCGAGCAAGAGUGUAAUGACAAGAAGACGGAGACUCGGAUAUACCAUUUUCACUUUUCCAUUUGAGCAAAAAAUGCAGGAACUUUAAAAUGGAGAGUUGCUCAUGCUCAACACUGGACUUGGCAAGCAUGAAAACUAGCGAGAGAACCACCAAGGAUAAAUCACUUGAAUAUGUUAAUCCAAGGUCUUUCUGAACAGCUAAUAAGUGCCUCAAUGAUUCGAUCACAGGCUCUUGUUCGGUGUUUUGGACAUGAGGAGAGGCACAAAGCAAAAGUACGGUAUCUACCAGUUGCACACCAAGCAGAUGAACUUCCAUUACUUCCUGUUAAUAUAGAUAAAUGAAUGAGUGUCGGAGAAUGAGCACAAAGAUAAAGAUGAAGGCAUGAUGAGGCAAUAAGCACAUACCAAUCUAGUUCCAACCAAGUCUCUCGCAACCACAGUGUAGGCAUCCACUAGAGUCUUGACAAUGCAGCUGAAAUUUCUAUUGUCCUGAAUAGUUUCAUAAAUUUAGAACAGCGUCCUAGAAUUGCAUCUGAUUACGUGCAUUCAACAAACUGACUGACAGUGAAAGCUAUCGAAAUACUCAGGCAAACAUGUAAACUUACUUCCAGAUUUUUGCCCGGGAUAUAAUUCAGGCAGCGGAUAAGCAAUCUGAAUACUGGCAAUGCUUCGUGGCGGCAUGAGCAACAAAGAGAAGCCAUUGAUGAAACUAAUUCCCUCGCAAACAAAGAUGACGAUGAAUCUGUAAGUGGGAUACGCAGUAUUGUGAAAUUCAGGAACGGCUCCAAACAUUCACAUACUCCCACCAUUCCCAAUCGCCGAUUAUGCAUCACAAAGAGUGAUACUUGGUGAAGAAGCUCCGUCUGUGCCUCCGCUCGACUAGAAAGAAUCUACAACCAACAACAAGGAGAAGCAUCAAGGACUUACUAAUUUCGGCUUAAUUUUCACGGAACAUGGACGCAUCCAUGGAUCACAUACCCUGACAAACGGAUGAUUCUCCGUCGAAUUGAACUUCCAAUUCCCAUCUUUCUGUUCGUAACCAAUUCGAAUCAAAAACCCUAAACCCUUCACAAAGAGGGGAACUAAUUUCGAGUCGCAUCCUUCGAGUGCUGAUUGGAGUUCCAGCAAACCGCGGGAGAGGUCCAGAACGGAGUCUGAUACUAAUCGACAUAGCUCACGAACGGAUUGAUCAACGACAGUGGGAGAUGCGGAGGUGAGGCAGAAGGAGAUAGCUUCUCUUCCGGCUUCGGAUUCCGAACCCAAUCGUUCUGGAGCAGAUCGUAACUUGGAGAAAACGGAAAUCACAGCGAAUCUCUGUAUGGAAGGUUGAGGGACGCGAGUUUUCUCCAGUAACGUAGUAUACGAGGCCAUCACUUUGACCAGAAGAGAGAAAAGAAGCAACGGUCACUUCGGAGGCGUGAACGGAGGGCUGAGGAAUUUUUCAGCUCCGGGAAGGGAAAGUCCGACCAGCCGGCACUCGAUAACGGGCCGUCCCGAUUUGGCCCAAUAAGCCAAAAUCAAAAACUAAGGGAAAUUGCGUAAAUGAACCCUGACUUUUACCAAAAACAAUAACUAAACCCCCUAACAUUUUUUGAGGGAUAUAAAAACACCCACCUUUAAGGUAAUGUACGUAUCUAUCGAUUUCCGACAAAAGUAUAUAAUAUGUACCAUCAAGAUAACAAAGGUUUUAUGCAAUAGGUGGGUAUGUCAUUUCCCAAGUUUUGAAAAAUGUCAAAUUGUUUGAGUCGUUUAAUAUCAUCAGUGAUAGACGAUACCGGUUUCGAAUGCUUAAAGAUAUUCAAAUACAUAACAUAACAAGCAAUGUAUGAAAGAUCAGCAUGAUAGACAGGCCGUACAACAAAAGAUGUAACCCAAAAGUUAUAAAAUUACUCAUUAAACAAAGAAAUAAAGUACAAGCUCACACUUCAAUAUAAGGAUUGAUCAUGGUAGAGACAAGUAUAUAUUAUCGUCAAUGUAAGGACUGAUUUUUCUUGCAUAUGUCGUUGAUGCGUGGUGAAUAAUAUCUCAUUUAUCUCUCAUAUGAUUCAACUCCUAACACAUACUAAAAAACUUGACAAUGGCUUAAAGAUCCAUGUUUACGGUUACCUUCGAUGACUUAGAAUUUGUCUCAUCCUUUAAACCAGUCAUAAAAUCUUAGUUAGAGGAUGGUAUGGAUUUCUGUUAGAAGUUGAGUUCUCUCUAUCUAAGAACUUUCAUUUUGUGUUUAUUUUUAUAGACAUUUUUAACGGUAUAAAAUCCACUUUUUAAAAAAUAAACUCCAAAAAUUCAUCUGGAUCUGGUAUGAAAUAUCUCGCUAUCUCAGAAAAGAGGAAAGAAAAACAGGUUUAUUAGGUUCCAAAAAAAAAAAAAACAGGUUUAUUUUGUUUUUUAUUUCACUCACAAGGUAUUUUUAUUCGGACACGACAGAACGUCAAAACGAACGUACAACAUAUUGACAAAAUAUUCUAGAAGGAAGAAACUGGGACAUAAAAGUAGAAUUACACAAUUGCCGUUCCAACAGAAGCCCACAAUUUUAUGAUCCAAACGACCUCCUUCCCUUACCCUGCUCGGUGGUCUCAGUGGUCAGACUAGUCUCACGGGCUUCAUGGGCCUUAUCUUGCACAUACUGGCCCAUCUCUUUACCUUUCUGACCAGCAUAGCCUACCGCAUCAGCCAUACGCCGUUUGGCAUAGUCCAAUUGCUCCGGGACUGUAUCACUCGUCCCACGGAGGUAGUUUAGGACCCAUGAGACCGAGCUUAGACCCGUCAGCCCAAACAUCCCAGAGGCCAAGAUUCCGGUCACAGCAAGACCGAUGGUGAGAGCUGCCGGGACAAUCACCGGACUGAAGAGGAGGAAGAGCGGGAUUGAGAGCAUCAAACCUAUCACCGAGCCAGCUAGAGUGAGUCCAGCUAGGGCUAGUAGUGAGCCACCGAUGGGAACUCCUGCUAUAAGUGCCACGAUCUGCAUGUAUCAAUUAUUAUCUUUAGUUACUUUAAAUUUUGUUAUGAGUAAUGUCAAAAUUGUUAAAUCCAAGGAUGACCAUCUGGAUAUGAUCCUAUAUACAUGCUUGCAUAUAACCAUCUAUAUGCAUGCAUAACCACCUUUUGUAUAUUUUUGCAUAUAUUGAUUUCAAUAGUUCGGAGCGCUUAUGAUUUUCAACACAUAUUAGUGGAUAAUUUAGUUCUUUUUUAAAAAAAAUUCAGAAACUUCUUUAAAUAGUUCUUGGUAAGAAACAAAAAAAUAUGUAAUAAAAGAGAAGAAACAAAAAAGAUACUUGGUUAGUGGAGGGGCCCCGACUCUUGUAAUCAGAACCAGCACCAUAACCAUAACCAUAGCCAUAACCAACAUCAUCUUCAUAGCUCGGCUGUAGAGGGCUACGUUUGUCAGUUCGGUCGACAUGCACACGCCUGUCCACGUUCGCCAUAUCGACUGAUAUAAUGAUUUAAACUAAAAGAGCCAAGUCUAAGAGAACACAAAAUGGGAUAUAAAGAGAUAGAACAUAUACGUAUAUAUAAAUGGGAUUGAAAUAUUUUUUUUCUUUGUAUAAGGGAAUUUGGAGUGAAGAAAAGAGGACACGUAAGGAUGUGUUGAAGGAAGAGGUGUGGCUUUGCAUGAUUUCCAAGUUUCAUUCUUUACCUGAUCAUCUUUUCCUCCUUCUCCUCCCACCGUAUUCAAAUAAAAACAAACAUUUAUUCGGUUUAAUUACCAUUGCUCUCCUUUCGAUGCAUCCAUAUUUCACUUGUGCGUUGUGAAGUUGUGUAACAAAGACAUCUUUCCUAUUAAAUAUUUUGCUGUUAAGUUAUUUUCAAUUUUGUGAAGAAGCAAAAGUUCUUCCAAUAUCGAUCAUUCGAUCCAGUUAAUUCGACCCGCUAAGAGAAUAUUUUAAUUUUAUCGAACCUAAGUUUAGGAACAUAAAUAUUAAAUGAUAGCCAAAGGUUGCUGGUAAUCAGUAACACUGUUUGUUUGUUAGCUACACAUUAAGUGACUAGCUAGAAAGCUUUGGGUGAAUUAUAAUGAGAAGAAAAACAUUUUACAUUUCACAUUGUUUCUCUCUUUUCUAGGUGUGGAUCUUGAUAUACAUUCUCUUUGUUCAUCAAAAAAAGAAGUUGCCCUUGUGACUUUAAAUUAUAGUUGCAAUAUUAAUUUAUGUCCACUCUUUUAAUGGCUUUUUACAUGUUUAUGUACCAUUUAUUUAUCUAUCUAAAAUUGAAAUUUGGUGGUAUGUACAAGAUGUGCCACUAAAUUAAUCAAUGUAAAUCGGAAUAAGCUCUCGUUUAACAAUAACUGUAAAUGAAAUCCAGACUAAAUCCAUAAACGUCUAAAAAAUUGGAUAUUUAAGACGUAUACGCUGAUUAACGGCUUUGAGUGAAAUUUCAUUUUUAAGCUACUUAAUAGACCAUUUUCUUCUCAAAAAGAAAAUAACCAACACGGAGAAAACUAAUACGAAAAAAGAAAAGGUAAAAAGAGUUAGAAAUUAUAUCAAAUUAUAUACAUAUAUUGUCUAUAUUGGUAUAACAAUUGAUUGAUCGCUUUUAUAACACGAGCACAUUGUGGUGGCCCAGUGGCUUUAGUUAGUAGAAUCCUUUUGUCUUACAGAGGUCUAAUCAAGAAGAAGAAAAAGAUAUAAUCGAAUCAAGCAAUUUCAACAGUAAAAACGACGCCGUCCGUGGAACAAGGCUUUUUCAUUCGGUUCUGUUAUUGGACAUUUCUAAGCUAUUGGGCGGUUCAGUGGUGGUCCACUGCUACUUGAUAAUGAGAUGACAAACUUCUCUCUCACUUUCUCUUGGUCCACAAAUUGGGCCCAUCUAUGGCCCAUUUACGUUUUCUUUUGGUGUGCUCUUCGCCUUUUCAGCGAUGAGAUUGAUUUCAAACUUGGAUUUAACCUGUUUAAAGUUAGGUCUAUGGCUAAAAUCGCAAGUACUAAAACAGUAGGUUUUCUUUGGAUGGGGACAUUAGUACAAUAGUUUCGCUGGAGUUUUAUAUGGUCACUAAGUCCAUUUUUUUGCAUAUAGAAAAGUUUAAUUGCGAGAAAAAAGGUUUUAACCCGUGACAAAAUAUAAAUAUCGACUAGUUUUUUUUUUUUUGGUUUUCUUUCAAAUUUCAUAAGAUGUGGAAAUUUCAUUGAAAAAUUGUUAUCAUUUUGUAAUGAUCUCAAUAAAGAAAAGGGAUGGGAGAACUGAAGGAGAAUGAAGGAGACGGAGGGAAUAAUUGAGGAAAAGUCUAAAGAUGUGUACAAUAUGAGAUGAUCUAUCACAUGGCAAAACAAUCAUAUUUCUGCAAUAGACUGUGAUAGUGUAGUAAAUAAAAUGUUACAAUUAAAAAAAGACGAAGACUAAAAUGAAAUGAUAGCAGAAUUUGUACCUUUAGUUACUGUUUCUGAAACUGACUCAUGUCUGAACACAAUCUUGAAUCCCCGUGUCUUGAAGUCGACACGCAUGGAUCAGAAAAUAUACGUAUGUUUUCUUUUUUGUCAGCAAAUAUACGUAUAUAUGUAGCUUAUGUACAUCUAAUAUAUAUCUAUCUGUACACAAUACAUUCAUAACUCAUAGACACACUUUUUCAUAGUGUAUAUUCUUUAUAUAUAUAUAGAUAUAUAUAUAAACAUGUGAAUAGUCAAUGCUUAAAAAAAAAACAUGUGAAUCUAUACACAACCGACGAGAUCCAUGUUAAAUAGCUCAACUGAUUCCUUCUAAAGUUGUUGUGAUAUGUUCCAAGCACAAAUGAUCUAAAGAGUAUUGAAGCACAAAUAAACAUGACACGUCUCACUGGCUUCGCUUUACGCAAUUGAAAAGGUUGAACUGUUAAUGUAAACCUAUCGAUAAAACUCUAAAAGAAAAAGAAAAAAAAAAACUAAAGAGGUAAUAAAGACAGUUUAUUGCCUUCGAUAUUUUAAAAAAAUGUAAUUCUAGUUUAGUUUUUACGUUUCAUAGAAAAUAUUAAUUAAAAAUGAAACUAAUUUUAGCAAAAAAAAAAAUAAUGAAACCGGAUCAUUAAAUAAUUUUUUUCUUCAUCAUGUGGAAUCUCGAUGGAUACUUAAUGGGUCUGUAAUAAACAUUUUCACCGGAUAUUCAAAACUAUAUACUUAGAUUACAUAUAUAUAUAUAUUUCUCAGUUUUUUUUAAUGAUACCAAUCUUAAUUAAUGAUCUAAAAAGGUGAAUUUGGAGUUGGUUUUGGGUGAGUUGAUUUGUAUGUGAAUAUGUUUUGGUUGUUAGGUCGUCGCCAAAUGACAUGAAAUAAAAAUGGACCGGCUUUAAAAAGAGAUUCCCUACGAAGACGUGUGCCUAAAUAAAGGUACUAAAACUUGAUGUUUUCAAUUUUCAGCAAUUGAUUAUUUAUUCAAACUUUUUCUUAAGUCGACAAAAUAUAUAAAAUCACUCGAUCAACUUAGAAUAUUAGCGAAAUGAUGUUACUGACCAGUGACUAGUGUGUGAUAUCAAACGACCAAUUAUCAGACUACUUUCCUAUGAGUCUAUCUAAAACUGUCGACAUGCAAUUUUCUAUGCUUUUAAUACCAUUAUUUAAUAUUGGUGUUGCUUCAAUUUAGUAUCACAAUUGAACGAAACUUUAAAAUGCUAAAAAAGGUUGGUCAUGAAUCGAUGAAAUAUGUGUCUAAAGGGGACUGUCCGAAUCAGUACACAUCCCUUUUUUCUAUCCUGCUAAUAAUGAGAUGAUUUUGGUUGAAAUACUUUUGGUCGAAGUUAGCUUAGCACAUUUUUAGCAACUAUUUUGAGGUUAAACUAUAAAAAUCAUAGUUUUUUAUGAUUUAUUUUAUGCUUACUAGUUAAAUCAAACUAAUUUAUCUCAAAAUUCGCAGCGGCUAUCCGAACGUGUCCCACCAAAUUCAUGAUCAUUUGUUGGACAAAGUUUUAGUUAUUUUAUUUUGUCACUUGAUAAGCACCAAAUACAAAUACAAACACAUCUCACUUGUUCAUUGCUUAUUCAACAUAUUCAAAAAUGUUCUCUGAUUUCCCAUGAAAAUUACAAGUUAAAUUACACAAACCGCAUAAGUAUAUACAUACAAAUAAACAUACACAUACAUAUAUACAUAAUACAUACAUGUCAUUAAGGCAUAUCCUUAUAUUGACAUAUACACAUGAUAAUAUCUUCAUCACUUCCAUCACAUCAACCAUCCUCUCUCUCUCUCUCUUUUUAUACUUCUCCGCCGCUAAUUCUCUCAAAGAGUGAGUGAUGAUGACUAAUAAACUCCCGUUGACCAGUCAACUCCUCCGCCCACCAUAAGCCGACGUCGUUUCAUUACCAAGACAACUAGCGUAUCUCAUGAGAUCAGCAUUUGUCUCCUCUAGUUCCCUUUGCAGCCUCAAGACCUGUCUUUGGAGCACCGAGAUGGCCCCAACGCAGCCAUACACCGGAUCUUUUAGCCGUGCCUCCGCCUCGUAAGCCAGCGAGUUCACAGCAUCUUCCCGUUGAUGCGGAGCCACCUCGUGGAGGAUCUUGCUCACGUUGCUUGCCCCGAAUAUCCGGUGCACGUUAGCGAACUUUGUAGGUUCUUCUGGCGGAAAGUAUGGUGCGAAUACGCACUCCGACGUGCAUUUCCGCCGGAGGAAUUUGCAUGCCGCGCACGGUGAGUUUGUGUAGUUCGAAUACGACGACGACAUCUUUUCUUAUAUAUACCCCCUGAUUAUUCAGUUGUGGAAAUGGAAAAAAACAAAACAUGUAGUCACAUACAGUAAAUAUUUUAUUAGGAUCGUUCUUGGAAUUACAAGAUUGAUUGAUAUGAAUCUUGAUCCACAUCGAUAUUGUGAAAUUCUAAAAUCUCCCCCGUGUAUACAUCAAUUUUGUUUUACACAGUAUAUAUGUCUAUGUAUAUGUUUCUACGUACACAUUAUAAAAGUUAUGCGUUUUCGAAAUUUUUUUUUCCAUUUUGUGUUGGUAACUAGCAGUAAUUGUCUCAUCGAUCAUCAAUAUAAAUGGUAACAAGACAUAUGAUGUUCUUAGCUCUUAUAUCUUCAAAAUUCAUUUAUAUAGUAAGAACGGUAACUGGAGAUAAUAUAGAGUUUCCAAUAUGAUUGGUUACACGACGUAUGCUUACAAAAAUCUGGUUACAAGACGUAUGAUGUUCUUAGUCUUAUAAUCCCUAAUAAAAUUCAUUAUUCUUCGUGUUCUUACUGCGUUAAAAAGCUGUUACCAUUUGAAUCCUAACUUCAACUAUUAUAUCUCACACAAAUAUAUACAUAUAUACUAGACAUUCCUUUAUAAACUAUUAGUUUUAGAUUGAAAACCUUUAGUCAAAAAAAAAAAAAACACAAUUAGUUUUACAAAUUUCAAAGAUCUUGGGAAAUCAAAACCUAUGUAAUAAACAAAACAUUCUACAUAUAUAUGCACAAAAUGCUAAAGCUAAGUGUCUUGGUGAACCUAACACAUAAUACGAUUGAGAAAAGUUAUAUAACUAGUUGUGUAGCUACAUUACAUAUAAACAAAUAAAGGUCCAUUUAUCCCACAAGAAAUAUGAACAAAAUGGGUGUCGCUAGAUAAAUUCGAAUUUACGGUAACCCACACUAUUUUACGUUCUAGCGUAUUGGUUGGUUAAAUAUGACGGUAUCAUAUACUUUUCAAUAUAAGAAAUCGAAGAUCUAAUUAAUCAUCAUUAAGAAUUUCUAAGAAGAUAGUAGAUGUAUAUUUCCGUAUUAUACACUAGACCUAGAUUUGUUUUUAACAUGAAUUUCUUAUAAUAAAAAAUUGUGCCACCAAGUUAUUUUGGUAAAAACCAAUGCAAAUUUGAAAUUUGUUUCUUUGAAAUUGUUGACUACUGAUUUUCUUUUAAUUCGAACAUAUUUUAGCACUCUUGACCUUACAUUUUUGUUCUUGGCGUUUAGUUUAGCAGCUUUUCCUGAUUUUCUCCUCACAACACUCUGUGUCUCUCUGACUCUGAGUUCACAUCUAUACAACAUAUCUUGGUUUAAUUUCUUGAAUCUAUAACCUAAAAUAUAGGUGUUCUAUAUACUAUAGGGGUUUGUGUUUCAGUAUGGUAUCUUCAAUAUAUAUAAGAGGCAUGAAAUCAAGAUUACUCCUUCAGUUGUAAUUUUUUGUAAGAAAAAGUCGUCCAAUUAUAACUUGGAAUUUCAAGAUCAGUGAUCAAAUCUUCAUGAUCUAAACUCUCUAAUAUUAUAUAACAAAUCAACAUAAAGGUACGUAGAAUCUAUAUAAUAUAAGUGUGUGUGUGUGUAUGAGUGAAUUGGCUGAGUAGAAUGAAACACUUUUAGUCUUACCUUUUUAAUAGAGCAACAAGAGAAAGUGCCCCUUGAUAUGUACUCAAAAUGGUUUGAUCUUCUAUGUUUCUCUCUUUCGUGUACUAUAUAAGAAGGGGCGAUGAAAAAUCGUCAAGAAGGUUUUCAAUUAUUGGGUUUCUUUUUGUUGUUCUUAGAGAGGAAACCCUAGUUGGAGACGAAAAGGAGUCUCUAAGGGGAAAGUUAGAGAGAGAAAGAGGAGACAAGGAUUAGCGAAAGAGAGAGAGAGAGGGCAAAAGGCAUUUUUGGUGGAAUGAGAAGAGAAAGAAGAUGAAUAUAAUGAGACUGCAAAGAGACAAAUUGCCCUCUAUUAAUUGAGGGCCUAAAAUAGUGAACUAAAGAGGAAUAACUCUGACCAUGGAAAUUGUAAAUUUUACUCCAUUAAAUUGUUUUCAGUAAUUACUAACAUUUUUAUAACAAUUUCGUAAUCAAUGAACUUUGAAGAAAUUUCUUCUUUUGUGAUGUGACUAAUUUAUAAGAUUUUUUUUUUUAAAGAGUGAUAUGUAGUAAUUUAUAUUAGUAAACCCACAUAUCAAAUUUCAUAAUAAGUGUACAUUCGUCAAGGUGUGUCGGAAUCGAAAUUGGAAUAGCCCUCGGACCGUUUUAGAUUUUCUAAUUCCAAUACCUACUUUUGAAUACUUGACAAAUACCCAUAUUAGUAAAGGCUGUAAAGCUAAUAUAUCUUCUUUUUUUUUGCUCAACUUCUCAUUCAUUAAUCCACAAAUGUUUUUACAAAGCAUUCUUAUCAACCUCAAUUAAGAGACUUAUCCAACCAGGCAUAAUAGAAUACAACUUAGAGACAUUAACAACAAAUGUGUAAAUCUCCUGAGCUAUUCUAUGAGCCACACUAUUAUCUUUUCUUUUCUUGGGAAGAAAGCAAGCUGGUGAUCUUCAAAUAUUGAUAGCAGACCUUUUAUAUCCUGCUGAAACAUACUUAAACAAGGUCAUACCUGCUCAAUAGCAUAGAAAAUAUUUUUAAAGUCAGUUUCAAAAAUAACUCUGGAGUAAUUCAGAUUUGUGACUAUAAUUAUCGCCCAUCUAAGUGCCUCAAUCUCAGUUUCAAGAGCCGAACCCAGCUGGUGUAAUUAGCUAAUAUAUCUAACAAAUGAGAAAACAUAACUUUUGAAGGUUUUCGUAAUAUGAUGCCUUCUUUCAAAAUAUCGGGAACCAAAACUUGAAUAGCUCUUCGACCAAUGUAGAUUCUUCAACUUCACUUCCGAGGCUUAAUCGCCUACAAUUGUUUUAUUUACCUCCGACGUUUUUGCAAGGUCUGCUACCGUAAAAAAAAUGUGAAGUCUUGGUCCACUUCUUUUUUCUUAUUAAUAUAUUGUUUUUAUUUGAUAUUCAGAAGAUUUUGGAAUACAAAGUUACAAAGAAAACAUAACUGUUGAGGAUCUGAGCAAAUCCGACAUGUGUACUGUCAUUUUGCUUGAUUGAAUAUAACUGUUAACAUAUAACCCCUCCUGAUUUUAAUGUUCACCUUUCGGGAAAAUAAUUACUAACUUUUAAAAAAAAAAUGUUUGUUAUGUUCAUUCAAAAUCCCACCCUGAUGUUUGAGAGCCACAUGCUUAAAUACAAACAAUUAAUUUAUUUGGCAAAAAAAAGAAUUAACAAAACAUGGUUUCUGAUAAUGGAGUAGCUUUUUCUUUACCUUGCAGAAUUUCUUUAAACAUAAUCAGAAUAUUUCAGAAAAAGAAUUAACAAAACAAUUAUCACUCUAAAUUAAUUUUGAAAUCAGUAUUUUCGCAUAUGUUACAUAAACACCAUUGAAUUUACUUGUUUGUAUUUUAAGGUUUGAAUAAGUGAUGUAUACGGUAUAACAAUGCGUUAUUGUUUCCAUAAACAUAAAUAGAUAUACAAAUCUAUAAGUGCAAUAUUUGGUAGCAUGUGCGUAGAUUACACCAAUGAUUAGAUGAGAUAAUCAAUCAUUGGCAACCAUUACUUUACGUUUUUUUUCUCUAUAUAACAAUACUUUACGUAUUUAGUUUCCUGAUUCGAUUUCAGUGUAUACAAUGUACAUGUAUGCAUAUGUAUAUCAAAGUGUAUACGCAUGCUGACAAAAUCCCUAUACAUAUAACUUGGGCCUGGCGAUGGUUGAUAAAAAUAUAUUAACCUCUUACAAAUAUGGCUAAUGUGGGUCGCUAAAAAAAGCUAAUGUGACGAUAGAAAACAAAUAAAAGAAGCCAAGUGUGUGCGCUAAAUUAUACAUCCGUAUAAAAAAAGGAAUUAAUAUGUAUGCAUGCACCUAGAAGGAAUUCAGGAAUCAAUGUGUACCGAAAUUUCUUGCUCGAUUCCGACCCUAUCUUUUCCUUUUUUCCUUUGAGCAUGAAAAGAAUUUUGGUGCGUAAUCUAGUAAAUAAUAUAUACAAGAAAAUUUAUUAAAUGGUGAAAAUGUUAGUAUAUCAUCUUAGAAUAAUGAAAUUUAAAUUUGAUAUAUAGUAAUAACUUGAAUUUCUGGAAAUGAAAAUUCCCAUUAUAAGUUUUAAAAGUAAAUUUAACAGUAGCUUAACUUCUAGAACCAGUUUUCAUAUAUAGUUUUUUACCAAUAGUUUUCAUAUAUAGUUGUUAUAGCAAAAUUAAAGAUAAAGAAAUUAUUUUAGUUAACAGGUAUAUAAAUAUGUGAUAUAAGUGGGACUACUUUUGAGAUUAAUGUAUACCUAGCUCGAUUGCCAAUUUGUGUGAAACCAUAAACAAAAAGUACUUAUGAUUUAGUAAUCAAAUAUAGGUUCGGACUUUGUGGAUUGGUUGUUGAAGAAAUGUGUUAUACGGAAAAAUGUCGACGGAAUUAUUGCAAGCCAAGUGUUAGUAUGGCCACAACAAUCAUUAGAUAUGCACAAUUAUGUGAUCAAAUGUUAUUUAUUUGAUGCACUUCUUUUCUCAUUACAUUAUAAUAUAUACAUCAAGCCCAAUUAGUGGUGUCCAAUCUUAUUUACAAUUCAAUAAUUUCCAUUCGUCUUUUUUUCGUUAUUUAAAAAAUAUAGAGAAGAAUCUAAGCUUAACAGAUAACUAAACUCAUAACUUUGUAUUGUCUUUUGCUUACAACGACAGCUUUUAAUAGGCAAACUUCAUACCUCAUACCAUUAAAAUGCGAACAAGUAUUCAUUGAGUCAUCAUUAGAAAGAGAUUAAAGAGUGUCAAAUCGGUGGCCUAGAACAAAUUUUGAUUUGCUUGUUUUCCGCGUCGAAUCGCCAUAAUGGAUUUUUUUAGCGUGCAUGAAUCAUGCCGCAUGGUGUAACAUAUUCUUUUGCAUUGGGCCUGAUCCAGUGAACUUACACUGUUUUGCCUCGAUCCAUUGAUCUACAAGCAGAAUAUAUAAUACGGCUAAACAAAGUCAACUUUGAUGCUGAUAACCAUUAAGAAAUGUUAAAGCAUUUGUCUGAAUUAAUCGCUUCUGUUUUACUUUAAGCAGAAAUUGUCAGAUAUAUGACCUGGUAUCUAAUAAAUCUUACAAAGUUUCUGUACAGUAAUCUUUGGAAAAAGAGAUUAGGGUUUAGGGAGUGACAAGAAAAUAGUCUCUGAUGGUUCUUCGUUUGACAGAGGAAGGAGGGUUUAGGACAGAUGAUGGGCUGUUGACCGCGGUUUCUGGUGUUCUCUCGCACGUUUUCUCUUCUUCUGAUGAUGAUAAUGACAAUGAUGAUGUCUUCUUAUUCUGAGUCUCCGGAGUUCUGAUGAUAGGCGUUGGUUGAUUAGUAGUAUAAUCAUCAUCUGGAUCUGAUGAAUGUUUUUGGGGACUCUCAGGUUCUUUGUUCAUCUCAAGUCUUUCUUUGGCUUCAGUAUUUGACAGUGCAGAUACUCUGCGUUUAACUCUUGACGCAGACGCUGAUGCGUUUGAGGUUUUGCAGCGGUUGUUCUCUAUGUUCCACAAUCGUACCUAAUUAUGAACAGACAAGAAGUCAGCAAAGGGCUAGAAAACACAUAACCUUUUGGUUUAUCACCACCAUAUGAAAUGUUUUGCUUACCGUGAAAUCAUCUGACGCUGUUGCUACCUUACCAAUCUCUGAUGGAGACCUACACAUCAGAUUGAGUUAUUAAUAUUAUCAUCGAAUCUACUCAUCAGGAAAGUUGGAUUCAAUGAGAAAUAGGAAAUAGAAGUUACCAAUCUACUGCAGUAACUUCGUAGUCAUGGCCUUUUAAGAUUGUGGGAUCUACUUGAGGCUUGUUAACCUAAAAUUGCAGUGGUUCUUUAAGCAUAGAUACGUAUUGAACCAUUGAUUUAUUGGAGAAUGUCAAACUAAGUGACAGAGUUUAAACCUGCCAAAUGUAAGCGUUACCAUCGCUUGAACCGCUCAAAAUGUGUUCUGCAUCAGGACUGAUCAUUGUCUGCAGCACAAGAUGUUAAUGGUGAGUGGACAGGCGAAAUCUUUAAUUAAAGCAAAUCAGUUGUGUGAUUGAUGUGAACAAGGCAUUUACCCUUACGAAAAAAGAAUCUAUUCGGCAACCAGAGAAAGAUUGUAAAGGUCCUUUGUCAAGCUGCAACAUGUUGUAUAAAUAGAUUCUGCAACAGGUUGUUGAAACGAAUUACAUAUUUUGUUAGAGCUGGACUCUCUGAUAGUGCAGGCUCAUCACAAAGAAUAGUUAAUGAGUGUGAAUCUUGAAAUUCUAACCUAUUGUCUUUGCACGAUGCUGUGAGAAAGGUUCCACUUGAGUCCUGGGACAAGCAAACUAUGCCAUGUGAUCUCUUUUCCUGAAACCACAAAUAAAAAAAGCCGGAUACAGAUUAAUCUAGUUUCCAUUUGCAUCGUUCAGAGACUAAUUCACUUAGAAGAAACAUGUGAUGUCAUCUGAGUCUAGGAGCAGCUUAGCUUACCUUAGUGUUUGUUGGGUCUAACUGUGGAGAUGCUUGAGCAAAAGGAACUUUAAGCUUCCUUGUGUCCCAAAAUUUCAAGGCACUGAUAGAAACGAGAAAAACAAAGAGAGCAAAGGAUGUAAACAACAUUGCUAUAUGAUCAAAGGAGAAGGAUUUUCUUCACAUAAACCCACUAAAGGUUUUGCAUGUACCUAUCUGGUGCUCCAGCAGUGGCAAUUGUGAUCUCGUCCUUGAGAUAAAGCACAGAGGUAAUGCUUGAUACAGCAGCCUGAAAACAUGAAGCCAUAAGCAGAGAUGAUAGGAUAAAUAGCUUAGAAUGGAAUAGUCAAGCGAAUGAGCAGGAGUAAAACCUUGCGACGUUUGAUUCGUUUUGAAAGAGGAGAUAGAUGAGCUCCUUUAACCAUGCCAGUAGAGCUGUGUGAAGGCCAGAACAACUAUCAAGAUGGUUUCAAGGAAAAAAACGAAAAUGAUUUGCACAAUUAACGUUUACAGAGAAGGACUUACUUGAUGCAAAACUCGUCUUUGUAAGAGCUACUUUUACAUCUUAAAUCCCAUAGCGCAAAACAUCCAUCUCUUGAACCAGAGACGAGAAGAUCUGCAAACAGCAAGAGUUAGAGCUACAAAGAUGGAAAAUAUCAAUUAGUAAACUAGGAAGAGAAAUUAGCAAGAACUAACCAGAAUUGGUUGGAUGUGAACACAAUGAUUUCACAGUUCCUGUGUGUCCUAUAAGGACUCCAGUACACUUAGUCUCCUCAACAUCCCAUACUUUGAUCUGUAUCCACGUUAAUAGGAAAGAAGAGUUUAUGAAUGUUGGAGACAUAAACACAAACUCAUAAAUUAAAAUGUUUGGGUCACUACUUACAGUUUGAUCACCAGAAGCAGUCAGAAGACAACUAUCUCCCUGCAAUAAAUUUGUGAGCCUAUCUUAAUUCCAGGGAAGAUUCAUGAAUUAAACGUAUAUAUAGUUCAAUAAUAAACAAAUGGCGCACCUUGAUCCAAGAAAUGUCAAAGACCGCAUUAUAAUGAGCAACCCAGUCACGGAAUCUGGCAUUCUCUACACAUAAUUCCAUUUGAAACAAACACAAAUCAGCAAUCGCAAUUUAGCCAAGAAAAACUUGGGUUAUCAACGGGAAUGAGAGGCGAUACCUGUAUUCUCUUGGUGAGAUGCAGAAGAGGCAAACUUCUUCUUACUCGAAUUAAAGAGACUCACAUGGCCAUCUUCAUCUGACACGGCGAAUAUUUGAGAAUUUCUACUACUCUGUACGUUUGGCAUAAUCGGUAAUUAUAAUCACACAAAAAAACAUAAUUCGUGUAUAGUUAUCUGAAAUUCGACUAAAAUGCACAACAAAAUUCAGAAGAUAUCAUCGAGCGUUGAGAUUGGUUCUAGAAUUGGAGCUACAUUAAGAAUCAACAGAACGAGAGGGGAAAUAUUCGGUAGAUCGACUAUAUACCUUACAAAACGAAACGGCCAACGGCGGAGUCCGAAUCCCGUCGUGUUCCACAGCCACGCCGGCUAUUUCUCUGCAAAUCAGCUCGGAAUCUGCGAAGAACGGUCGCUUCCUUCCUGAGACCAAAAAAAGAAAAAGUUUAAUCAGAACAAAAUCAGGAGAAGCUGAAACUCGUCAACGAUAGAGCUACAAGAUCGAAUAACGCAACGCAUUUGAAUGUAUGGAUAUACCUCGAAAUCCGUUGAGCUCUCUUAGACCAAUGUCGACGAAAACGGAUCUUGAUCUGGAGUUUUCCAUCGGAGAUUCUCUGCAGUCGAAGGAGAGAGACA
RNAcentral lists this long non-coding RNA (91386 nucleotides) under Eutrema salsugineum. RNAcentral describes it as "long non-coding RNA (ESAL_LNC000464)". Lineage: Eukaryota; Viridiplantae; Streptophyta; Magnoliopsida; Brassicales; Brassicaceae. The record is from RNAcentral.